GUUUUCUUAGUUCAGUUCUCUCCCCUCGGAUACUCUGCUCUGUGAACUCAAAUCAUCUUGGCCUCCUCAGACACAACCUUUAUCUCCCUCACUCUGGGAGAGCACGAGUUCCCCCUCACUAUGCUGUGCCCUGGAAACUUGUUCAAGACAGUAAGUGGAACCGUUUUAUGGCUCACCUUGUUUGUUUCUCAUUUCUCAGGGAUCAUUGGCUUUUACUGUCUAAUGUUCAAUAACUUGAGUCAUUGUUUUAUAUAUUUUGCCCAUUUUCUUAGUUGUUUUAGGCAAGAGACUAAAUACAGUCUCUUACAAAGUGGAAGUCUAUUCAGUCUGUAAUUCUUUUUUACUUGUCAUUUAAAAUCAGCAUUGUUAAGGAAAAUAUCUUAACAAAUUACAGAAUAUGUUUUAUGUUUACAAUUCAAGGACUUUAGACAAAUGGGCGCAUACAUAAACACCACCAAAAUCAACACACAAACCAUUUCCAUCAUUCAUGCAAGUUCUCACUCCCCAUUGUAGUUAACCAUCCCUGCAACCCAACCACAUGCAACCACGCAUUUGCAAUCUCUAGUGUAGAUUAGUUUGGAUAGUCUAGAAUUUCAUAUAAAUGGAAUCAUAUAGUACAUACUCUUUUGUCUCUUGCCGUUUUCACUCGGCUAAUGGUAUUAACAUUUAUCCUUAUAUGUAUUAAUAAUUCAUUUUUUUAUUCUUGAGUAUUAUUGUAUCAAAUGACUACAACAUGAUUAUUGAUAGAUAUUUGGUUAUUUCCAGUUUAGGGCGCAACGCUAUUAUUAGUACUUAGAUCUUUGUAUGAUUAUUUACUGAUUUUACCCUUCUAGUUAUAGUUUUUAUUCUGGUACAAAUUCCCCUCUGCUAUUAGCCUGACUUGGAAAAUUUUCUAAUAUCUUAACUUUUUUUCUUGGAACAGAUUUUACAAUUAUCACUGAUAGGGUUUUUAUAACCACUUCACUGCAUUGUCAUUAACAGAAGUUCUUCAGUUAUAAUUCCUGCAUAUAAUUUAAACUAAAUUGAAUUUUAACAUCUAAUUGCAGCUCUUUUCUUUCAUCUUAGACACCAGAGGGUAGUUUAUUUUUUUCUAAAUCAUCAAUCAAAAUAUAGAAAACAAGCUAGCAAGACCUAUAAGCAAAGAUUUUCUAUAAAUGGCUACCUUUAUUUUUUUUCUCUCUUAUAAGAAAGAUAGCUUAGAAUUUGGAGGGCAUUUACAAACUAUAGCCAUUAGUCAUACACUGUUAAUUAUAUCUGCUUUCCCACUAAUAUAUAUAAUUACAUAGCAAUAUCAAAGUUCUUUAUCAACUUUCCUAAUAUAUGGUCUCUCAGGUCUUUGAGCUUUUCCUUCCAUAUACUUAUCACAAUUAUAAGCAUAUUCUUAAUACAACUUCUUUAAAAUUGUAACAGCUUUUCAUAGGCAGUCUUUGAAGUCCACAAAUGAAAGAACUAUUUUGUUCAUUACUAUAUUCCUCAUUACCUAGCACAAAGGUUAGCAUAUAUAGAAUUAUCUGAAUAUCUUGUUUAAAAAUGGUGUUGGGUGCCUGGGUGGCUUAGUUAAGCGUCUGAUUUCCUCUUGAUUUCCUAUUGCAUCAUGAUCUCAAGGUUAGUGAGCUAAAGUCCUGGAUAGGGCUCUGUGCUGACAAUGUGCAGCAUGCUUGGGAUUCCCUCUCUCUCCCUUUCUCCCUGCCCCUCCCUGACUGUGCUCGCUCUUGUGCAUGGUCUCUCUCUCUCUCUCAAAAUAAAUAAACUUAAAAAAAAUGGUCUUAACUAUAUACUUGCCAUAGCACGUUUCCUUGGUAAUAUUCAUGGUCUCUUAAAAGAGACCAUGUUUUCUUUACAAUAUUUUAAAUAUUGUGUUUCAUUAUUAGUAUUCUAUUUCGAUUCUCCCUCACCUUCCCAGGGUCCGGCAUACUAUAAAUUUACCCCUACUAUGUUUUUAACAUUACAAAUCUUCCUCAAGACAGGUAGGGUUGUAUUUCACCAAUAGAAAACACAGAGUACAUACACACAAAAGGGAAGUGUCUAAGAGGCAAGUAAGAGAAAAUAUAGAAAGAUCCAACCUCUUACCGUGACUGUGGCCCUCUGUUGCCGGCCUCCGCUACUCAUUCUUACACAUCAUUGUUCCAGUUCUUUGUAAAGGCGACAUAACCCAACUGUCUAAUAAUAUUCAGAUAAUGAUAGUGACUACAGUUUUCUUCUUUAAGCUGCAGAAAUGAAUAAGGCCUUUAGUUGUACCUGUUUGUGAGUUUGAAAGGGGAGUUUGGGGAAAGAGGGAGAGAAUUUGAAGAGAAGGAUUUCUGGUAUCCUCUAAAUUGCAAGGAAGAAAUAUUUACAAACAAUCUGUCGUGUAUUUUAAGGAAAUUCAUAAUAAGUUGUUGAAGAGAAAACUAUUUUAAUAAAGGUUAUGAAUUCAGUAGGAACAGUGUUACUCUUAGGUUGUUUUCUUUAAAUUACAUAUUAAUAUUAAAGUAUGUUUUCUGGCUUUAAAAAUCCCUCCCUAUAGGCAACUAAAUAAACUAAAGAGGGUUUCACACGCAGUGUGGCACCUGCUUAAUAUUUUCUCUCUUCCUCCUGCCCCUCUCCCCUGCUCGUGUGCUCUCUCAAGAAAAAAAAAAAAUCCCUACAGGCAACCAGACAUAUAGUAUAAUCUUAUUUGUGAUGAAACAUAUGAAAUAUUAAAUAUAUCACAUUUUACAUGUUAUAAAAAAAUAGUAAAUAAUCUUAGUUCUCCUCUUACCCAAAAUAGAGUAUAAUAUAUAAAAGAGAAGCAGUGUACAGUUACAUUUUCCACCCGAUUUAUAACUUUACAUUGGACUGAGUAUUUAAUAUACUCUAUACUCAGGUAAUCAUCUGAACUAUCCCUCGAUUCUUUCUUUUGAUCUCCGCAUCUCCAAUCUUAAUUCAUGUACUGUCACCUUCUUAUCUUUAGCUUUCUUAUUUUUUUCUUAUCUUGAUUGGAGUCUGUUUAAAAUUAAUAAUUUAUAUUUAGAUAAAUGUAUUUCUUGAAAAAUCAUUCUUUUGAAUACUGUAAAAAAGCAUCCUUACAGCCUGGACUAAGACCGUGAUAAUUUUUAGAGUCAUCUUCAGUUUAAAGUAAUUUUGAACCUCUCACAAUUAUCAGGAUUUUUGUUAUUACAUGCAAUAUUCAUAACUUGUUUGAGAGAAUCAUCAAAGUGAUUUUCACAAAAAUAAGGCAACAUUUUCUGUUUUUUAAAUUUUUUAAGUAAGUUUUUUUGGUUAAGUUGAUUUAUUUAUUUUGAGAGAAAGAGAGAGAGAGCACGACAGAAAUAGGGGCAGAGAGAGGGGGAGAGAGAGAAUCCCAAGCAAGCUCCACACCAUCAGAGCAGAGCCUGAUAUCAGGCUGGAACUCACAAACCAUAGAUCAUGGCCUAAACUGAAACCAAGAGUCCAACACUUAACCGAUUGAGCCACCUAGGUGCCCCAUUGGUUUUGUUUUCAAAAUUAGUCACCUUGAGAGUUGACUUCACUUUAUAUUGCCCUAAAACAUCAAACACUUCAAGUUUUCUAUGAAAAACAGAUACAUUUUUAAAGAAGUCAUAUUAAAUAUAUGAAGAUGGCUAAAGAUAAUAUAUUCAAAGUGAAUAAAUUAUUCCAAUUUAUAGGUGGGCAAUUGUUUAUUCAGUGACUUCUUGAAUCUAACUAUUGGGCCUAAUGACAUUUCAGGGGAGUAGAUUUAGGCUAAAUAGAAUACAUUGCCAUAUGUUAUGGAGAACAUUUAGUUUUUAUAAGAUUAUUAGACAUUAAACACGUUAUUGUGGGCUACAUCUGAAUUUCUUCAGGUAGUAUCUAGGAUAAAAAAUUUGCCUUGGCAAAAUUGAUUCUUAGAGUCCUGAUUUAUGCUAAUUUGUGCUGAUCAGUUAGCUGUCUAAUCAUGGAAGUUAUGUUUGCACAAAUCGGUUUUCAGGGACACCUGAGUGGCUCAAUCAAUUAAGCAUACAACUCUUGAUUUUAGCUCAAGUCAUGAUCUCCUGGUUCAUGAGAUUGAGUUCCAUGUUGGGCUCUGAGCUGACAUCAUGGAGCCUGCUUGGGAUUCUCUCUCUCUCGCUGCCCCUUCCCACUCUCUCUCUCUCUCUCUCUCAAAAUAAAUAAAUAAACUUAAAAAAAAAAGUGAUUUUCAGAGUGACCUAGGUUAGCUGUACAUUUUAUUUAUUUAUUUAUUUCAAAAUAAUUUAUAAAUGUUUUGUUAUUACACUGUACUUUUUAUUUUCUUUCAAUUGAUCCUCCAAAUAGGCCUAUGUAUGGGCUUUUCAGAAAAAAAAAUUUAAAAAGUUGUUUGUAUCCUGCUAAAGUGAAGACAGAGUCUUAGAAGGUAUAAGUUACAUUCAAAAUUACAAAGUCCAGGGGCGCCUGGGUGGCUCAGUUGGUUAACCAUCUGACUUUGGUUCAGGUCUUGAUCUCACAGCUCAUGGGUUUGAGCCCCGUGUCAGGCUCUGUGCUGACAGCUCUGAGCCUGGAGCCUGCUUCAGAUUCCGUGUCUCCUUCUCUCUCUGCCCCUCUCCUGCUCGUGCUCUGUCUCUAAAAAAAUAAAUAAACGAUUAAAAAUUAACAAAAAAUAAAAUUAUAAAGUCCAGAUUAUCGUCUAAGGUAGUGUUGUUAAAUAGAUAGAUAUUACAAGCCAAAGUGCAAUUUUAAAUUACCUCAUCACAUAUUAAAAAAGUCAAAAGAAACAGAUAAAAUUCAUUGUUAUAGCGUUUUCCCCCAACAUAUCCAACAUUUUGUUAUUUAAGCAUGUAAUUAAGACAAAACUACUAAUAACAUGUUUAUAUUCUUUUUUUUACUAAAUCUUCAAAAUCCAAUGUAUAUUUUACACAUAAAAUAUAUCUCAGCUUAGACUAGUCACAUUUCAAGUACUAAAUAGCUACAUGUGACUAGUGACUACCCUACUGGAUAGCACUUAGGUAAUAUUUCAGAUUCUUAAACAAUUUUUUCCUCAAUGCAAUGGUGUUCUCUUUUUUAUAUACUCUAUAUCCGUGCAAUCAUCUGAAUUAUCUCUCGAAUCUUUCUUUUGAUCUCCACAUCUCCAAACUUAAUUCAUGUCACAUCAUCUUCACUCAAGUUAGUGCAGUAACUUCCCCAGUCACGUGAACUUCCUUCCUGUACCAUUCAUCCACUCUAUAUUCUUAUGCCCCAAUGACCUUCUUUAUUUGUGUACUUGACCAUAUCAUCCUCUGAUUUACAGUAGAGACCCGUACUUUUGUCUUAAUGUGAGGUAGGACCAAGGCUUAUACAUUUUUUAAACGUUCUCUAGAUAAUUUUGAUUACUGGCUAAAUUGUGAGAAUAGACACUAUUUCCUCUCCAUAGUCACAGACUGUGGUAAGUGUCAUUAUUUUGACCUAUUUGAAUACCUUACAAUUUUCUAAUAACUGUUGGUUUUGUGAUACCCAGGGCUGAUCCUAGCACUGAAUGCCGGCUUUGGCACAUGGUAAUGUAUUGUUAACAAAUAAAAUAUAUGUUUGGAAAUCUUUUAAUUUAUUCCCGUAACAAAAUUAUUUCAGUCAGUUCAUAGUAAAACCGAUGCUAAAUGCAUCCACAUUGGUUUCUAAGUUGAUUUUUUCAAUAAUUUUUUUCUCUCAUAAAGGAUAUUAUGAUAUUAGACUAAUUGGAAUUAAUCAACUCUGAAUUUGAAUCUAUAAUUUCCAUUACAUUUAAAGUAUGAUUAUGAAGGAGUAUUAAAGUAUGAGUUUAAAGUAUGGAUAUUCAGACAAAAUAGGUCAACCUAUCUAUGUUUUUAUAUUGAAAUGCAGAAAACGAGAUUGCUGGAGAAAAGUCAUAGAACUAUUUUUUCUUAAUAAAUCACUGUUUAUGUAUUAUCAAAUUCUUUAAGAUGUGACUAACAAUUUUUGUUCUAAAGCAGAAAUAUAUCCCUCCAGACUAUAUUUUCAUGGGAUAAGGGGAUUUCCAACCCACUCUUAGUGGAAAAAAUAUACAUUUAUACACAUAGUGUCAAAAUUAGAUUAUUCUUUGGUAAAAAUUAAAAAGAAAAUUAUCACCAAAGGGGAAAAUGUUUAAAAAACACUAUUAAGUUUUCAGCUAUGAUCAAAGUUAAAAUAAAUAAAUGUGUCUCUGCAGGCAUUAAGCUGUAUCUUCAAACUGCAUACAAAAUGAGAGCAACCUUAGGGAUUUUUUCCAAUGAAAAAGACCCAGUAAUGGGAUAAAAAUGGAAAUGGACUUUAUACAUACUUCCCAAGGCUUAUAUUUGAUAUGACUUUAUAAGGAAUUUAGUAAGAUGAAAUAAAAUGGCGAGAUCAAAGCACGCACACACAGAAAAGGAUUUCCUGCUAUGAAGCAUGUAAAUUGGCAUGAUGUGGCUAAUAAAAAUUCUUAUUUCUUAGGAUCCUUAAAUUGUGCCUCAAGAAAAAAAUUAAGCAUUAGAUUUGAUUAAUGUGAACAAAUAAUUCAAACAUUUUGAUUAAAGUAGGCAAAGUACUUAUUUUAAGUCAUUUUUAAAAAAACUUCUCUUGUGCUCGCUUCGGCAGCACAUAUACUAAAAAACUUCUCUAAAUAUGAUGUCUUUUCCACAGAAUUUUUGGAAUUGUGUCAACGUGUCACUGUAUGUUAGAAGCUGCAGUGUCUCUUGUUCUGUGUGACUGUAGUCAUCUCCACUCCAUCCAUUGAUGGUUCUGCUCCUGCGACACUGGCUUUUCAAUUCCUCAAACACACCAAGCCUAUUCUUAUAUUGAGGCUUUAUAUGCAGUGUCCCUACCAUCUAUAAUAGAUUUUCCUCCAUUCUUUACAAGAUGGGUGACAUCUUAUUUUUAGGUCUCAGCUUAAAUAUUACUUUUCUAGAAAAAUUACUUUUAUCAUACAAACAGGUUAGUCUCUAUUAUUUCUUUUUCUUUCUUUUUUUUUUUUUUAAUUUGAGAGUGGUUGACACACAGUGUUACAUUACUUUCAGGUGUACAACAUAGUGAUUCACAUUUUCUAUAAGUUAUGCUCUGCUCAUCACAAGUGUAGCUACCAUCUGUCACCAUACAACCCUCUAUUAUUUCUAUCUUAGUAGUAGGUUUGUUCCCUUUUAUAGCUUUUCACAGUCUAUAACUCAUUUACUUUUGUUUGAUUACUUGCUCAUUUGUUCUUGCCUCUCCCUAUACUAAAGCAAAAUGUCUGUUCAUUAAUCAUUUCAUGUUAGUGCAUAGGAUAGUGACUGUCACAACAUUAGCACCUGAUACAUAUUCGUUGUCUGAUAUGAAUAAAUAAAUAAGUCACAAUAUUAAGUUAAUGUAAUGUAUUUCAGUGUGUUUACGAUUAGUUUUAAGAAAAAUUUAUAAUUUCACUUUUAUAAUGUGGAAAUAUUUAUCAAAACUCUAGUGAUUCAAAUGAGGAAGAUUUUAAUUGCAACAGAGUCUAAAGGUUAGUAUUAGUCAUAGUUUACCAAAAAUAACCUAAAAAUUUUUCAGAUACAGUGAAAGCAAUUUGCAUGAGGAUAAUCAGAGCACCCAUGAAAUUAAAACCUUUUUCAAAGUGCAAAUAGAAUAAAAACUUCAAAUUUUCUGUUUUCAACAUAUAGUUAAAAAAAUUAGGAAAAUGAAACAUUAGAGAUUUUAAAAGAUAAAAGAAUGGUAUGCAAGAUUGCAAGCUUUUACACCAAAAUUAAACUAUAAAGCCACUCUUAUGGUUACCUGAGAUCAUGAGAUUACUUAAUUAUGUAUAUUAACGAUGUGGUUUAAGUUUGGUGGACAAUUAUGACACUUCUGAGCUAACUUGCCUGCUUCUACCUUUAGCCCUUCACAGUCUGUUCUUUAUAUAAUAGUCAGAGUGAUCCUUUUAAAACUUAAGUCAGAUCACAUGUCCAUUAUUCUAUUCAAAACCCACCUCAUGCACAGUAAAUGCCAGGGUUCUUAUGAUGAUCCACAAAUGUUUUCUGUACAGGACCGGAUGGUAGAUAUUUUAGGCUUUGUGUGUCAUAUGGUUUCAUCAUAGCUACUCAACUCUGCCCUUGUAGUGUGAAAGCUGCCAUUGAAAAUACAUAAAUAAAUGGGGCGCCUGGGUGGCGCAGUCGGUUAAGCGUCCGACUUCAGCCAGGUCACGAUCUCACGGUCCGUGAGUUCGAGCCCCGCGUCAGGCUCUGGGCUGAUGGCUCGGAGCCUGGAGCCUGUUUCCGAUUCUGUGUCUCCCUCUCUCUCUGCCCCUCCCCCGUUCAUGCUCUGUCUCUCUCUGUCCCAAAAAUAAACAAACGUUGAAAAAAAAAAUUAAAAAAAGAAAAUACAUAAAUAAAUGGGCAUUGCUAUAUUCCAAAAACAUUCUAUUUAGGAAAAAUAAGCACCGGGUUAGAUUUAAAUGCUAGGUCAUAGUUUACCAACCCGGGCCUCUCCUUCUGCUUCUCCCCACCCACACUCCAAAUUUAUUUGUCGUUCCUUUUCCUCUCAUUCAUUCUGCUCCGGUCACUCUGGUCUUCUUACUCUUCCUUAAAUAUGCAAAACACAUUCUUCUUUUAUCUCAGGGCCUUUAAAUUGCUGAUUACCUUGUCUUGGACACUGUUCCUUGGGUCAUUUCUUAUUUCAUUGAAGUCUCUGCUCAAAUGUCAUCUCCACAGAGAGGCUUCUCUAAACACCUUAGAUAAAAUGAGGAUAAAAUGAUAUCCAGUCAAGCACCUCUAUCUGCCAUAUCUGUUUUUUCUCUCUCUCCAUAUGUGUGUGUGUGUGUAUAAAAUAUUUAUAUAUGAGGGAAUAUAUAUUGAAUAUAUAUAUUAAAUAUUUUUUUUAUUUUUUUAAAAUCCAUUUUUGAGGGACAGAGAGAGACAGAGUGAAUGGGGGAGGGGAGAAUCCGAAGCAGGCUCCAGGCUCUGAGCUGUCAACAUAGAGCCCAACAUGGAGCUUGAACUCAGACCACAAGAUCAUGACCUCCACUGAUGUCAGACACUUAAAUGACUGAGCCACCCAGGCGCCCCUGUAUUAAAUAUUUUUAAAAUUUGGUUAUCUUCUGUCUUCUUCUUUUAGAAUACAAGCCCUAUGGCAGGGGAGAAUUUGGUAUUUUAACAUUUUUUUGCUAUAACACCAUUGCCCAAUUGACACUGUUUUAACAUAUAAUAAGGACUCACUAAAUAGUUGCUAACUGAUGAUUAAAUUAACUUUUUCCCCCCAAAAUACCUUAUCUGUAAUUUGCUCUAAAUAUAAACUCUAUCCCUAAAUAUGUUAUGAAACUGUGGCUUAUUUUUCCCUUUAACAUUAAUUUUUGUGUGUGUGUGAUUUAGAGGUAUUUGAGAACAUUUAUGUAUCACAGCCUCCUGCUUUCACCCUAAUGUCUUCCUUGUUGAUUCUAUUUUCUUCCACAAUUCAUAAAGAUGAUACCUCUGGUUCAGGAGGUAUUUUAAUCUUUGAAAAUGAAAAAAAAACCCCAUAACUAAAUAAGUCAAUAAAUACAUUGCAUGGAGUUGGUGGUAAGUGUUACAAAGAAGCAAAAGGGAACACAAAGUAUUGGUAAAUGGUCAGGGAAAGUCUUUCUGGUAGAUGACAUUUAAGUGUAGACCUGGAGGAGUAGAAGAACAUGAUAGACACAAGAAAGGGCAAACAAGUGCAAGGCCAGAAGGUAUGAAUAGAUUUCGUGUGCUAGGAAGAAAGAGUGCUGUGGAUUUAAUUGUGCCUCCCCGCCCCACCUUAAAAAGUGUUGAAGUCCGAAUCCUCUAUACUUCAUAUUGUGACCUCAUUUGUAAAUAGGGUCAUUACAAAUGUAAUUAGUUAAGUCAACAUGAAGACAUACUACAGUACAAUGGGCCCUUAAUCCAACAUGACCGAUGCCCUUAUGAAAAGAGAGAAGAUGAUGUGAAGACUGUCACACAGGAAGAAGAAGGCUAUGGGAAGGUGAAGACAGAGACUGGAUUUAUGUUGCCACAAGCCAAGGAACACCUGCAGCCACCAGAAACUAGGAAGAGGCAAAGGAGGGUUCUUCCUUUACAGGUUACAGAGGGAGCAUGGCCCUGUUGCAUCACUGAUUUCAGACUUCUAGUUUCCAAAACUAUGAGACAAUAAAUUUAUGUUGAUUUAAUCUACCUCAUUUGUGGUACUUUGCUAUUGUAGCCCUAUGAAAUUAAUGCAAGCAGGUGGGUCAACAUACCUGCAGAGGAGUAAGUAAACAGAAAAUAAUUUGGAAAUGUUGUUUAUAAUUUUACAGAUGAUUUAAAUUCAGGCUAAAAUAUAUUUACAGUACUAAGAACAUACUAUUUUCUUUGUAAAUUGCUGAAGGUGAUAACAAAGAAGAAAAUCAGACAACCAUGCUAAUAUAAAUUGAAGAUAGAGAUAAUGUUAAAGAUUUUUCCCUCUAAGUGUUUAAUGCAAAAACAAAACAAAAACCCUAAUACACAGCAAAUACAUGAGAAGACCCAACAUAUAGAAAGAAUAUACCAGGAUUCUCAUUCUAGUGGGAAGGUUCAAAGUCUAGAACACAUGAUUUAGUCUUCUACAUAACUGCAGUGCUCAGGGAAAAUUCCGUAAAAAAGAAUAGAGAAGUAUUUAUAUCCUCUAUUUGAUUAAAGGAGAUAAGAAGAAAACUAAGGAGGAACAAGGAAGUAGGACCUUUUACCCCUGGAACAUUUUUAUUUAAAAUGUAAGCUCAUCCACUAGUAAAGGUCUUCACUUUUAGCCAACCUUCUUGAAACAAACUACAGUCCACCUGUAUUAGUCAGAGUUCUCCAGAGAAAGAGAACAAUGUAUAGAUUUAUUAAAAGGAAUUGGCUCACACAAUUAUGUUGACUAAGAAGUCUCAAGGUCUGCAGUCAAUCAGUCACACACCCAGGGGAGCCAAUGUGAGUCAGAAGGCCUGAGAAUCAGAAGAGCUGAUGGUGUUGUUCUGGUUGCAAGCAGACAGGCUCAUGACCUAAGAAAAGCCUGAAGUCAGAAAGUGGUAGUGUCCUGGCUCAGUAAACAGGCAAGAGGAGUUUCUCUUCCUCAGCAUUUUGUUCUAUUCAAAUCUUCACUUGACUGGGUGAGGCCUACCCACAGCAUGGACAGCAAUCUGUUUUACUUCGUCCACUGAUUCAAAUUUUAAUCUCAUCCAGAAACACUCCCACAGUUGCACCCAGAAUAAUGUUUGACCAUUUGGUCACGUGUGGCCCAGUCAAGUUGGCACAUGAAAUUUUAAAAAUUAACCAUCACACUAUCUUUAUUUUUAUUCUUAAAAAACAUAUUUUGUUGUUGUUUUCCAUUUUAAACUUCCUAUUCAGCCCAUUUUGGUCUGGUUUAUUUCCUAUGAUUACAAUGAAAUGACAUCUGUCACAGUAAACAUUGAAUUCUUACAACAAACUCUUAUCAGGCAUUUUUCUGUUCUCUUACUUGACAUUUCUGGAGUAUCUGACUUUGAGACUGUUCUUUCCUUUGAGACAUGUCACCUUGCCUUGGCUUCUGUAGCUCCUUAUUUCCAUGGCUCUUCUCUUACCUCUUUAGCUUCUCUCCCUUACUGAAUCUUUUUUUUUUUAAAUUUUUUUAACGUAUUUAUUUAUUUUUGAGACAGAGAGAGACAGAGCAUGAACGGGGAGGGGCAGAGAGAGAGGAAGACAGAAUCGGAAGCAGGCUCCAGGCUCUGAGCCAUCAGCCCAGAGCCCAACGCGGGGCUCGAACUCACGGACCGCGAAAUCGUGACCUGAGCUGAAGUCGGACGCUUAACCGACUGAGCCACCCAGGCUCCCCUACUGAAUCUUAUUUUAUUUUAUUUUAUUUUAUUUUAUUUUAUUUUAUUUUGAGAGAUUUAUUUAUUUAUGUAUUUAUUUUGAGAGAUUUAUUCAUUUGUUUAUUUAUGUACUUAUUUAUUUUGAGAGAGAAAGAGAGAGAGGAACAGGCAGGGGAGGGGCAGAGAGACAGGAAGAGAGAGAAUCCCAAGCAGGCUCCACACUGUCAGUGCAGAGCCUGAUGUGGGGGCUCAAACUUGUAAAUCAUGAGAUGGUGUCCUGAGCCAAAAUGAAGAGUCAGACAUUAACCUGGCUGAGCCACCAAGGUAUCCCUCUUACUGAAUUUUUUUUUCUGGUUUCUCUUCUUCUGUCCAAAUUCUAAAUUCUCUGUAUUCUCAAGUAUUUUUCUUUGUUUCACUUCUUUCUCAUUGUAAACUUUCCAUGAAUUAUGUAUUCCAUGUCGGUGACUUUUAAUGCCCUGUGACUCAACUUCUUUCUCUCAUUCAGAGACUAUGUUGAGUUCUAGAUUUAUCUUAAACACAACACAAAAACUAAACUAAAAUGCUGGGACAGAGUUUGAGAGGGAGAAGUCUAUGAGUCCUUUAGGUAUCAGCAAACUCAGGAGUAAAAGAAGCAUGAAUCACAGAAGUUGGGCUGCAAGACAGUGAGGAAAAGCGUCAGCUGACUCCACAUGCCGAAGCUGGCAUAAUUCAAGAUGCAGGGCAAGGGUUGGGUGUAUACACCCUGACAUCAAUCAGUCAUUGGACUCAGGACGCUGUCAAGAAGAGGAUGUGACUUUGUGCAAAUUUUGUUCUUUUUAGUCUAGGACAUUCUCUGGAGUGAAUCUUGAUUAUAAUCUGUCAGUCAGCAACUUUCUUAACCACUGGGUAAAUGAGUUCUUUCUUGAAAGGGAUGGGAGUGAUCUGGAUAACACUGUGCACAAACCAGUCUCUCUAAUGAAAUCCUUACCUCAGUAAAUAGCAUUAUCCUAAUACCAAGAUAGAAACAAGAAGUCUCCCCUCUCCCUGAACUGUUUCUUCUCUUUCAAGUUGGAAACAAAACUGCUUCAACUUUCCCCUCCAGAAUUUACUUGGGAGACUUUCUACUAUAUAAUUUUCUAUAAUAUGUCUCUCAUUGAGAGUUCUCUUGCCAAGACCUUUAUCAAGAUCAUGGUUAUAUCACGUUGGAUAAUUUGAUUUUUUAAUUGGUCUACCCUCCAAUGGUCAUUACUAACCACCAUUAAAACAUAAAUAUAGAAUUUAUCUUUUACAAAUAUACUGGAUAAUUUUGUCUCGGUUCACUAUAAAUUACAGACACUUGUUUACAGGUCUGCUUUAAAAGCACACAAUAUUGGGGUGCCUGGGUGGUUCAGUCUGUUGAGCCUCCGACUUCGGCUCAGAUCAUGAUCUCUCAGUCCGUCCGUGAGUUCCAGCCCGGCAUCGGGCUCUGUGCUGGCAGCUCGGAGCCUGGAGCCUGCUUUGGAUUCUGUGUCUCCCUCUCUCUCUGCCCCUCCCCUGCUAAUGCUCUGUCUCUCUCUGUCUCAAAAAUAAAUAAAAACAUUAAAAAAAUUAAAAAACAUACAAUAUUUACAUUAUAUUUGAAGAAACAUCUAGUAAUAAGCAGGUUGUAUGAUAAACAUCUGCUAAUUUUCCUGGUUAACUUAUGUUCAUGUUUCUUAAGAAAAGGACAGAAGAAACUAUAGAUAUUAAACAAUCUCAGCAUUUUACCCUUAUAAAAUAUAGAAAAUAACUUCAUACCAGAAACUUCGUACAACAAUUUAUUGCAAUCACCACAACAUGUCACAGAGCUGUCUGUUGAAGGUGUGGUUUGAUAGGUCCACCUUGAAACUAACCUACCUGAGAGAACUAAGAGCCUUCUGGACAAAAAAAAAAAAAAAAAAAAAAAAAGGCAGAAAAUAGUCCCUAAUAAGUGAUUGGUCUAAAAUAAUGGUUUGGUGACUAUAUGCAUGAUUCAAAAUAGGGAGGGAGAUAUGGAAGGGAGAGAAAUGAAGGGGUAUUUUUGUACCUCAUUAAAUUUGUUCACUUUUCUAUGGAAUUAUGCCUGAGUUCAAAGGAGGACAUCAAAAAAAUUAAAAAAAAUUGUUCAGAAUUGUGUACUUCUGUGAACUAAAUGUUAUCUGUUUUAAAUACAAAUAAAUCAGUAUUUUUAAUGACACAAAAUACGAAGAGAUUAAGUACAGAUUUGUAUAGUUUAAAGAAUUGUUGGGGCACCUGGGUGGCACAGUCUGACUUCAGCUCAGGUCAGUCUGACAGUUCAUGAGUUUGAGCCAUGCAUCAGGCUCUGUGCUGAUAGCCCAGAGCCUGGAGCCUGUUUCAAAUUCUGUGUCUCCCUCUGUCUCUGCCCCUCCCCUGCUUGUUCUCUGUCUCUCUUUCUCUCAAAAAUAAAUAAACAUUUAAAAACAUUAAAAAAAAAAAAAAGAAUUGGCAGAGCUAAAGAAACAGCAUCUAAGCAUCCAAAAUUAUUCUAAAAAUCAUACCACAAAACUGAAUUGCCAGGAGAGCGGCUUACUCUGCCACAACCUGGAAGCUUCCAAGGCAACUUCAGCCUUAAUGAUUAUGCUACUUCUGCCAUCAUCCAUGCCAAGAAACGUGGGCUUUCAUGUUCUGCCUUUCUCCCAGUUUCAUUUAUUUAUUUAUUUUUCUCCCAAAUUCAUUUAUUUCCAAAUCAGUGUCUCGCAUGACUUACCCAAGCUAAGUCACAUCUGGAACUGUGUCUGCAGAGCUUCCUGAAAAAUGACUCUAGUUUUCUAGUCUCUGAAAUUUGAAGGCACACUAGGGUGAAGUUAGUGUCUGGUGCAACUCCCCAUCAUAUCUGUUACAGCAUUUUUUUUUUCUCAUACAAAAUAAUCUGUGAGAUUCUGGAAACACAAACCAGCAUGGCUUUUGAUCCAAUGUGCCAGAGACAGCACAAAGUCAUAGUAAAGAGAUUCUUGUGUUUCAGUGGAAAGCAACACACAAAUUUGAAGGGAAUGAAUAAACAGUAGCAAUAGCACCCACAUCAGGAGGCUGUUGUGUAAGUGUCCUCAAAAGCACAGAAACACCAUAAAAUUUAAAAACAGACAGAGGCAAUUCCAAUUGUGGGAGUAUUUUGUUUUCUGAUGUUGGUGGUACAGGCAGAAGUGAGGUGCAUUUAUGUGGUUUCCUCUGGCAGAUUAACUCAUUCAUUAACAGGCUAAAAUGACUUGCUUUUGAACGUACCAGAUGAAGCUAUGCGUAAAAAAGAAUACAAGUAAAAAAUAAGGGAAACUUAUAGUAGGCCUACGGACUACUCUGAUAAGGUUAAUAAUAAAGAAAACACUAAUUCUUAGUGGUUUGUACAUGUUCCGGAAAUAGAAAUUUUCCUAAUUCUUCCAUGCUUUGUGGCCAACAGCUUACAUAAGAAUCAAUGGCUUCAGAAACAUUGACAAGACUUUAAAAACAAAUGAGAGUCAUUUGACAAGUAAAGCUAUGAGUUAUUUUAAACAACUACUGGAACCUCAUAUUAAAACUUAAGAGAAGGAAUGGAAGAAAGAAAGGAAAGGAGGAAGGAAGGAAGGAAGGAAGGAAGGAAGGAAGGAAGGAAGAUGAAAAGACUACAGAAUCUCAGAAGAGGAAAAGUCAUGUACUUUUUAAGUAACUAAUAAUGCUAGCAGGUAAAAAUAUAGUCAGUAAAAUGCUAAGAAAAUAUAUAGUUCAAUAUAUGGAAAUUGUUCCAUCCUCAAACAGUAUAAUAAGGUGAUAUAUUGAUGGCAUGCAACAUAUGCUGAAGAGAUUUAUGUGAAACACCUCUAUAUUGAAGAUGAUGAGUGAACAGAUUUCCCCAGGAAAUGUCUUGCAUUUACAAGAUUUGUAAAUCAUGGUUAAAUUCAAUAAAAUAUUUUCUGCUGUGAAAGCCAGUGGAAAUAAAUAAUGACCAAGAUAUAUUUAAAAUGUGGCCUUCAUAUCUGGAAAUAAAAAUAUGUGUCAGCAUCUGUACAGAUAGUACCACAUCAAUGAUUGGUUUUAUUAAGGGUUUCACUUCUCUUGCAAAAAACAAACGAAAAAACCCUCACAUCACAUUUUUCACAGAGAGGUGCUAUUGUCAAAAAUUCUUGGAAAUGAAAUAUUUCUUGAGGAUGUUACAAAAUGGUUUUUUAAACAAAGAUGAGUUCACUAAGAGCACUUAAAGAAGUACAUGAAAACUUUGACCAAGAACAUAUAAAUCUUGUGCAGCACACAGAAAUUUGGUAGCUUGGCCAAAGAAGAGUUCUCAAUGAGGUGUUUGAGCUGCAAGGUAAAUUGGAGAAGUCAUUUUCAUAAAAGUAACAUCAGGUUUUGAUGAGUAUUUUGAAGAUGAGGCAUGAUUGCAGAAAUUAGCUGACUCUCAGAUAUUUUUCAUCACAUGAACUUAUGGAAUAAGGACCCAGUGUCAUGUGGAAUAUGUUUUGCCUUUGAAUGACUACAGUCAUUGCUUUAAAAGGAAACUUAAUCUUUGGGCAAAUCAUUCUUCAAAGGAAAUGUUGAAGUGUUUCCAGUUUUUCGGACUUGAUAGGGAGGGAAAAUAUCAGAAUAUUCUAAAUAUUAUUGAAAACCACCUGAAGGAGCUACAUAUCAAAAUCGAAGAGAAUCAUUCCCUGCUUUCAAUACAAGUGAGUGACUGGGAGAGGGACGUCUUAUCUAAAUCUUCUGUUCAAUCAGACAGUGGACUUUAGCAAAGAGGAAGAACUUUGUGAGCUGAAGGGUCCUCAUUCACUGGAGAUGAGAUUUGCUGAUCUUUCCUAGACAAAGUCUGGAUUUCUGUUCUGCCAUUAGUAUGAAAGCAGUAAACAUUUUGCUGAAGUUUUCUGCAACUUGUAUAGGCGAACAGGCUUUUUUAUUUUCUUUUAUUUUGUUUAGUAAGAAUCAUGAGCAAGGACAGAAAUCAUUUCAUUUAACUUGAAAAUGAAAUCUGUGUGUGUUAACCCAAAUUUGACCCCAAUUGAGUACUUGUAGAGAAAAAGGAAUUUCUUGUAGAGAAAAAUGAAUAAUUCAUAUUAAUAAGUUUUAGUUCAUUUUUAUUUUUAGUUUCAAAAAUAACUUUGAAUUUAUAUAUGCAUCUAUGAAAGGCUACACAUGUCUAUAAUAAUUUUGUACUGCUAAAUUGCUACUUGAGCCCCAACAUGUCCCUUAGUAUAAAAAUAUUGAUUGGCAUAUGACUUGUGUCAAAUUUGCCACAGUCUAUACAUUUUAAUUGAAGCUGCUUUGGUUUAGUUUUUGUAGUUCUGCUAUUCAAAAUGAUAAAAAAAUGUUAUAAAUAAAAUUAAUUAAAAUCAAUUUAUGAUUUUUAUAUAAAUUUAUUCUCUUGAGUCUUUCAAAAAAAUUAAAUCCCAUUUUGACUUACCAUAGCCAUUAACCAAAAUGUGUUGUUUGCCUUAUGCAUUUAUAAAAUUUAUGAAAAAGAAAGAAGUUAAUAAAAAAAAUAACUAUAAGUGCCUUGUGGGGGAUGUUCUUGAAAAAUUGACUAAAACCCACUUAUUUAAUAUAAAAAAUAGUCCAAAAGAUACCAUGUAACAUAUGUCAUGUACCACAAUAAUCUUGUGGAAUAGAAAUUUAUAAUAUGACAAUUAGGCCUAUUUGGAUGAGAAAAAUGGAUUUAAAAUAGAAAAUUUGUUUGAAAAACAAAAAUUAAGAAAAAAAACCCUGAAGAUAUUUUUACCAGCAUUUUUGACUUUCAUUGGAAUUGAUGUCCAUGGUGGGAAUAGAGAAUCAUAUAAAUAAAGUAUGCCAAUAAACUGGCCAAAAUAAACAGAUUCACAGAAAAAAAAAUUCCCUUCACUAUUAUUGUUGGGUUAUAAUCUCUAUAAUUUAUUGAUCACACUAAUGCAUAUAGGCAUUAUAAUUUUGUGCAAGGGCUAAAAAUAUUUAAAUGGCUCCUUCAGGGUAAAAAUAUUAAAGGAAGCUGAUAUCCAAUAUGUAAUAUUUAUUCUGAGCUUUAGUCAUCCAUGAUUUUUUUCAAUUAAAAAUAUUACUAACUGAGAAGGUAAAGCUCAUGAAUACAUAAUCAAUAUAAAUAAAUAUAUUACAGUAGUUAUUUUUUAAUGUUGCAUAGUAUAUACCCUCUUGCUAUAUAAGAAAAAAAUUGUAUUUUAUUUUUUUAAGUGUAUUUAUUUUAUUCUUGAAAGAGAGAGAGCACAUGUGGGAGGAGCAGAGAGAGAGGGAGAAAGAGAAUUUCAAGCAGACUUCUUGUCACCACAGAGCUUGGCGUGGGGCUCAAACCCACGAACUGUGGAUCAUGACCUGAUCUGAAACCAAAAGUUGGACGCUUAAUCUACUGAGCCACCCACAGGCCCCAGAAAUGGAUUUUAAACAAUCUUACAUGGAAGACUAGUUAGCAUUUCGUAAGUCUAUAAUUUCUGAAUGAGAAGGGGAUCUAUAACCUGUUGUAACAAAGAUGAAAAGCUUCCAGAAUCUCUUGUGUUAAAAAUACACAAUCAAACAAGUAAACAAAUAGUACUUCACAGUGUGAAAUUCGCCUCAAAACAAAUAAGACCACAUAUGUUAUUUUUGAUCCAUGAAAUUAGAGGAAGAAAUGCCAGUAGACACAGAAAUCAUGUUUGAAAGACAAAUAUUGCCUAAGAUUUCACAAGGAUUAAAAAUAAAAACAAAAAUAAGAAAGACCAGACAGGAAAGGGAGUGGGUUGUCUGAAAUGGCACAGCUGUCUCCAGAGAAGUUGCAAGUUUUUCAUUAUCACACAGUCUUUAACAGCCAAAAUGUGCAUCUCAACAUGAAAAUCACACAGCCCUCUAAAUACAGGAUGGGAAGCAAUUUCUCACUCCAAAACUCUGCCUUUGAAAAGCUACCUAUUAAACAAUUUGAGUUCUAGAAAUAGAGAAUGUGUGUUUGUUGUUGGCUCAGGCUCUGCUUUAUUUCUCCAAGGUCAGACUUUAAAAAAAAAAAAAAGGAUUAAAGGGACACUGAGGUGACUCAGUUAAGCAUCGUACUCUUGAUUUUGGCUCAGGUCACAAUCUCAGGUUUCGUGAGUUUGAGCCCCGCAUCAGGCUCUCUGCUGUCAGCAACAGAACCUGCUUCAGAUCCUCUGUCCCCAGUUCUCUCUCCACCCCUCUCUGGCUCAUGCUGUCUCUCUGUCUUCCUCUCUCUCUCUCUCAAAAAUAAACAAACAUUUAACAAAUAAAAUUUUUAAAAGGCAUUAAAAUCAACAUUACAGCCAUGGAACUUGAAAAUCUGUUACUAUAAGAAAGUAGUAUACAUGGAAGAGAAUCCUCAUGUAUAAAUCCAUAUUAAUUCUAUUAAAAUAUGUACAUAAUUACAUGGAACAUAAUUUUACAAGUUGUUUGAGAACCUAUUUUAUCUUUGUCUGGUAAUUAAUUCUUUGGAAGUACCACAGUCAGAGUUUUUUCCUCAAUGAGAAAAGCUUCAUCCAUACAUACCUACCACCUUUUCAUUCUCAUGGUUCCAGGUGACUAUAAAAAUCACAUAUGGCUGGUAUUGUAGGAUUAGAAUAUAAAGGGGCAGAUACAAUUUCCUUAGCCACAUGGCUAAUGAAAACUCCUUCCUCAAAAUGAAAUUAUACUCCUCUUCCUCCAGUCUUAAAGUAUUUACUUGUUCAGUUGGUGUGAGUAUCAACCACUAAAAGGCAAACGGGAGUGGAGGCAAACGGGAGUGGAAAAGUGAGAAAUUUUGAAGAGAAAGAAUAAAGGAAAAGGAAGAAAUAAAAAAUGGAGUGGAAUAUUUGCCCCCAUUGUGACAAACGUCAACUAACAAGACUCUUUCCUUUAGGAUUACUAACAACUACUCUUCAUUUUUAUUUUAGAUGCUGUUUAUUACUUGCAUCCUGGUAACAUGGUAAUCCUAAAACUUCAAGAAAUAUUCUCCAAAAUGCUGAAUAUGUCUGGAAUUAGUAAGUAAAACCAAAUGUUAUAAAUGUGUAGCUCAUUAUCAUAUAAUUUGCAUAAUGGUGAAGAUCAAAUCUGAUGACAUGUAUCCACAUACCAUUAAAAUCUGCUAUGAUUAGCUUAACUAUUACUAGUUUUAGUAUCAUUUCAUGCCUAUGGCACUAUAAAGAUGACCAUAACAUAUAAAUAUACUCUAUUCAUUUGAAUGCCCUAAUCAGAAUAAUGAAAACAACCCAAACUCAGUAGAUUUACAGUGGGGGAUAGGAGAGAAUACUAAAAACUCUCAGGCAAUAAUGAUGCAUCUUAGUUUUUGAACGUUUUAUUAAGAUACAGUUUAUGUACCAUAAUAUUCACCCACUUAGCUGAACAAUUCUAUGGCUUUUCGGUAUAUUUACAGAGCUGCACACCAUAACCAUAAUCUAAUAUUAAAACAUUUUAUUUAUAACACAAAGAAAUCUCAUAACCAUUUAGCUGUUGCCCCAUUUCUACCCCUACAGAAACCCCAGGAAAGGACUAAUAUACUCUCUGUCUUUAUAGAUUUGUCUAUUCUGGACAUAGGAUCAUAUAAUAGAUAGUUUCCCAUCAGCUGCUUCCACUUAGCGUUAUUUUUGGAGGUUUAUCUAUGUUGUAGACUGUAUGUGCACUGUAUUUUUUAUUACUAUAUUCUUUAUUAUUAUUAUUAAUAUUAUAAAUUAUUACUAAACAUCCUUCCCUAUCUAUUUAUGUGGAUUAUUUUCACUUUUUAGCUAUUAUGCAUAAUCCUGAAUAACAGUUACCUUGAAGAAUGAAACAAUAGUAAAUUGAUAAAUAGACAUAUGCUGGCCAUCCUGGAACAGAACCUUGUUUCCCAAGAAAACUGUUACAAAGACACAAAUCAAGGUUAUAUUAAGAUAUAGUUGAACUUUCACUUGAUAUGAUCCAGUUUCUCAUUUUAUAAAGCAUAUGGACAUAAUGUUAUUUGUCAAAGUCUUUAUUUUCUUACCAAUUAUUUGGUGUUACACUGGACAUCUGAGAAUUUAACUUUUAGGCUAGAAUCUAAUAUUUUUCUGAAUCCUUGAUUCUAUUAAUAGUGUCAAAGUAUAAUUUUCAAAAGUUAAAGACAUCAAACUCAUACAAAUAUAAAACCUGUGUGUGUCAAAGUUGUACUUUACUCAUGAAUGAGGGAACAAUAAAAUAGUAAAAGUGGUUCUAAGGGCAUUUUAGAAACAUAAUUUAUAGGCAUUAGGAAAAGAAGAAUGUUAGAAUUAAGAUUCUGUCAGAUACUAAGCUAAGGGCAAUAAAAUCAUAACCUUGGGGAUUGUUACUUUUUUUCCACGACAAAAAUCUUUAGGUUAACGAAACAAAUCUGUUAUCUUGACUUUAAUCAGCAUGUAAAUAAAAAGUCAAACACUGGUAAAUUUUCCUGUAGAAUAAAAUAAUUCAUGAAAAUGCCAUUGUAGGACAUUAAAAAAACAUCCUGACACAUUUUCCACCCUUAUCUAUUUUCUGACUUUUGGAAAAAUUUUCUUAAUAACACUGUGCUACAGGAAGUUGGUAGAUGUAGCUAAUGUUAAAAACUUUGUUAUUACUGAAAAUAUUUUUUCAUCUUUGUGUUGUAUGUGUUUUGGUAAUCACUGAAAGAGUAAUAUUGGGGCACCUGGGUGGCUAAGUUGGUUAAGUGACCAACUCUUGAUUUCUGCUCAGGUCAUGAUCUCACUUCACUGUUCCUGGGAUGGAAACCCACAUCUGGAUCCACCCUGGGUGUGGAGCCUGCUUAAGAUUCUCUCUUUCUCUCUCUCUCUUUCUCUCUCUCUCUUUCUCUCUCUCUCUUUCUCUCCCUCUUCCCCCCGACCACCCGUUUACACACAUGCUUAUAUGCUUACACACGCUCUCACUCUCUCUCUCAAAAAAAAGAGUAAUACCAUAUUACCUUGAGGAAAGCAUAAUUUUAUUUGCUAAGUUUCCAUGACUUUUUUAUUUUCUAACUUUGUGUGUUUGAAAAUGUUCCUUUUAAUAGUUAAAUUUAGUUAAUAUAAUAGAAGGUUUGUCUUAUCUAUAGCUAAGCAACAAAUCUCAGCAUAAAAACAAACACAUGAAACUAUUGAAUAAAUUGGACCAUGGCAUGGGAAAAUCUCUCUAUACGUUUUAAUUGAUCUCUCCAUUAUCCAGGGCAUUAUUAAAGACCUAUCCUAUCAUGUCUAUUUAACAAGAGAAUCAGACAAAAUUAAUAACCUGUGAAAGUAAAAUGCCAAGCAUUUAUUAAAUCAAGGUACUAUGUGUGGUUACUUUUAUAUUCCUGCCCUGAAGAAUGAUAUAAAAAAUUAUAGGAAAUUUUAAGAUGUACACCUAAAGAGUUAUUGAUUUGGAAAGUACAACUGACAAAUUAUAGUUUGUAAGUCAUAUGGAGUCACAUAAAAAUCACAUGGCAUGAGCUACAGUCUCCUGUAUGGAGGCACACUUCUCCACACAGGCUAUGCUCUAAUACUAAUAGAAAUUCCAAAUACUGGCCCUGAUCCAUUCUCCACUUAUCCUGAAAUUAACAAUAAUGCAAGCAAUAAUGGUGAUAUGCAUUGAUUUAGCUAGUUUUCUGCUCUUUUUUAAAUUUUUUUUAAUGUUUACUUAUACUUGAGAGAGAGAGAGAGAGAGAGAGACAGACAGAGACAGAGACAGAAUCUGAAGCAGGCUCCAGUCUCUGAGCUGUUAGCACAGAGCCCAACCUGGGGCUCAAACUCAUGAACUGUGAGAUUAUGACCUGAGCUGAAGUUAGAUGCUCAACCAGUUGAGCCACCCAGGUGCCUGGCUAGUUUUCUUUUCUUAAAUUGACAGGCCUACCCAACUAUAUUUAGCAGAGGAAGUAAACUUACUCUUUAGACUCCUCAGCUAUUCUGACAACUUCAUUCAUUUGACUACAAACCUUUUUUAAGUAAACUUGAACAAAAAGCCAAUUCCUCAUGAAAAGAACUACAAAAGAAAGUCUUGGAGCAACACAUGUAACCUACUCUUCCAGCAGCCAGACAAAUAGACACAUCCCAAUUAGUCCCCAAGGAAAUUAGACAUUACUUAUAUAUGGGGCUGCUGAUGUACCAUCCAGAAUAGACAGUAGGAGCCUGUGCUUAAACUGAUAUGUUAUUUAAUGAAAAAUCAUAUAUUUAAUAUGGAGACACACUGUGUCAGAGAAUUAAAUAGAAGCUAUAAUUUUAUUACUUUACUUUUUCCCCCUUUUUACAGUGGUUUUAGGGAAUUAUAAUUUCCUCAAUUCCUUUUUUCCCCCAAAGUAAUAGAUUUAUAUUAAAAAUGAAAAAAAAAAAGGUGUGAAAGGUUAUAUUUUUCUCCCUUUGGUACCACCAUUUUGUUGCUACUGAGGGACUAUAGAAGAGGGUGGCUACUACUGUUUCAUUAAACCAGGAUCUCUGUGAAGUUCAGCUGCAGAACAUGUGUUCUACUUUUCUUUUGAAAAUGUGCUCCAUUAAAACCACAUUCUUUUGCCAGUCCAAAUUCAUGAAAGUCUACAUGUCUCUGUUUGAAUUAUCCAAAUUCUGCCUGUGAGGCAAAGGAUGUAAAGUAAAAAUGACGAAGCCACAACACAACAGUCUUGAAAGUUGCCAGUUGUUGUAUGGCUGAUUGAGAUUCGGCAACUGCACCAGUUGAGAAAAGAGCCAAGACAGGUGAUAGUGACCAGUAUACAGCUGUGUGGAGCCAGCACUCAUAGGCUGGUGCCUGUUAAAGGCUUGAAAGAGCCUUCCAGUAAUUUUAUUGGCCUCAAAACUGGAAGUGGCAUCUUGUAUUCUUCAAUAGAAUCCGGAAUUGAGGCCUGAUGAAGGACUUAUUACAAAUAAAUAAUGAUAUAAUAUAAAGAAUAAUACCAUACAAUUAUAAUAUAAUAAUAAAUAAAAUAAUUUGUCCCUAUCACAGGUAAUCUUUCCAAUCCCCCAGAACAAAUGGGAAGAGAAAUAACUAUCGUGUCUAAUCAGAAAUCACUUGCAAUUUCAAACAACUAUUUAUCAGGACCUCUUGAAAUAAGACAUUCUAAUCCUGGAAAUUUACAAAAGAUGCAAUGAGAGAGCAUCUACACUACUUUCUGAUAGAAAAAUUAUACAGGUAGAGUAAAAUUGAGUACUUUUUCAGUGGUAUAAAAUAUGUUUGGUCAAGGGUCUGUGGUAGCGGUGGUGGAAAGAUGUGGCAGGAAAUGAAAGGGAAAGGUAGAUUGCUACCAGAUCACAGGAUUUUUGCUUUCCUGAAAAUUUUGGAAUUAUUUCUGGGAAGUCAGAAGGAUUUUUGAAAAGGGGAAAUUACAUGAUCUAAACUAUAUUUCAGGAACAUAACUGUUGUGCAAGGAAGAAUAAACCACUAGCAAUAUUUCAGUCAAAUGGGCACUCUUUCUCGUAAGCAGCAUUGCAAAUCGCUAAGGCAGUUCAGCUCGACUACUGAAAAUAAGGAAAGCAUUAAAAAGUUGUGGGUAGGUCCCAUCUGAAGAGAGGAUUAAACUAUCAAAGGAAAACAAAAGGUUCUAAAAGCUUUGAUCUAAAGAAUGAUUUUAGAUCAUUCUCACAAUGUCCCAGAGAUCAAUUAAUGCAAUUCCCCAAGAAAACUCAGAACAGACCUGGCAAUCUCCAGGGAGUUUUGGAACUUUCACCCUCUGGAGUUUCGGAACCAGCCAGAUUAGAAUCUAUACCUGUGCAUAUGGACAUCUGUGAUGCCAAAGUCAUCUUUACCAUACAUUUUCACAUUCUACAAGCUUAACAACUAGUAAAAAUAUAAAGUUUAAAGACAAUACCUCUUCAAAGUCACAUUUAAUUGUUAAACAUUUAUGUAAGCUGGGAAUUGAGUAGGCCACCUGGCAAUUUUACAAGGUGAAAAAAUGCUUUACUCAAAAUGACAGUUUUUGCUUCUAUUUCCCUGGUGUGAGAGUUCACUAAUUAUUUGCCACUGUAAGUAAGUUUCACAGUGUUAAGAAACUGAACUUAAGAUUAUUAUUGUUCAUGUUGGACAUUCAGAAUCAUCCCUGAAGUAUUUGUAAUCUCAAACACAUUUGUUAUACCAGUGUGAAACAUUGUUUAUUCAUGGCACUAUAUGUAUUAGUUAGGUAAUCUUUAAUUUUAGAUUAAAAAAGCCAAAAAAAAAAAAGCAUAUAAAAGUGCACUUUAAAAGCCAAGUGGACAAUGACUUGAAAAGAAGUUAAUUUCAAAGAUUUCAAGUAAACUAACAGUUACAAAAAUGUCAGAAACACUAACUAAACCAGAGUGAGAACACUUUUGUUCUAAAAGUAGAAUAUUUAAACCAAGGCUGAUCCUUAGAUAGCACAAUUUGAAAAAAUAAGUUAACAAGACACAAAAUGGAUUUCUAAUACUAUUAAAAUUGCUCUAAAUUCUAGCUAUGAGAGUUAGAAACAGGAUGGUAAUAAACGUUGGAUCGUUCAAGUUGUCCCAGUGUAAUUAACAGUUUUUGCUUUCACUGUCAAAGGCAUCCCAGUUUGAAUAAUAAACUAUAUGAACACCUGAGUCAUAACACAUCCCUGAAAAUUAUCUUAAUUAUCCAGGAAGUGAAAUGUAAUUGAAGAAAUAGGCUUAUCAAAAUUGAUUUUCAGUAGAAGCGGAAAUUUUAAAAAUAUAUGUAUUUUAUUAAAACCUGACCAAAAAACCCAACAUAUACAUGCAACCAUAAUUUGGUAUUUCUUUAUUUACAAAUAAGUACAUUCAGUGUUAUAAAACUACUUUAAGGAUCACUUAGCUGCCUCUUACAAGUUUAAUAUGCUGAAAUCAGCACAUUUUUCAUUAGCUAUGUGUUGUCUGAUAUUGUAAUUUUGCACCAGUUUUCUUUUGAGUAGGUUUUGUAUGUUCCAUGGCUUUUCAUCUUCCCCCCAGCCUCAAUCUCUUUCUAUAAAUUAAAAGACUAAACAAAAUACCCUUGAAGUAUUCAGAUAGAUUUUUAUUUCAGUAAUCUACUAGUCUCUGUAUAUCUAUGGAUUAAUCAUCUAUAAUUUUUAUAUUUAUUUAUAUAUUUCUACUUAGUACUAUGAUUUUUUUUUUCAGUUUCAUCUACCAUUUUUUCCAUCGUUAUGCCUUCUAUUGCAUUGAGAAAGUUUUCACAUUUACUUCCUUCAGAUAAUUUUGAAAUAACAGACUUGAUUUUUAUCAUAUUCUGAAUAUUGUUUUAAACAUAAUUAGUGUCACCUAACAAAUGUGCAUUACUGUAGCACGUUUACCUACUUCUAAAAUUCCCUGUCCUCACAUUCAUCUAUUUACAUGGUAUAAAGCCUUGAGUUUAAACCCUUUUUCGCCAAACUCGAAAAUAAUAAUUUUAAUAUUUAACAGUUGUAUUUACUAAUAUUUAAUCAAUUACUUUGAUCAACUUCCCUACAUUUCUUUCAUACCAUAACUGGAUUUUACUUUUUCCUUCUAAAAUAAAUUAUUUUAAAGUCAUAGUGUGUUUUUUAAGCUUCAAAAUCUUUAUGUAGUCUAAAACUAGUCUUAUUUUGCUUUCACCUUGAAUGAUAUGGUAUGUCCACUAAAUAUUAAACUUUAACUUGACUAUGAUUUACCUUCAGUACUCUGAAGAUGUCACCAUCGGUGGUACAAAGUGUACUAUAUGUUUCCAUCAUGAAUUUUUCAAUUUACUCUUUUAUCUUUAUUUUUCAGUUUCAAUCUGUUGUGACCAGAUAUAAGGUUAUAAAUAUAUANUUUAAAAAAAAAAAAAAAAAAAAAAAAAAAAAAUAUAUAUAUAUAUAUAUAUAUAUAUAUAUAUUUUUUUUUUUUUUUUCUUACAACUUGCAUUGAAUUUUGUAUCUGGGAAAUUUUAUCAAUUCUGAAAACAUCUUGGUGAUUCUUCAAAUAUUGACUGUGUUAUUUUUAUUCAUUUGAAUCACUUUUAUAUCUCUGGUGGGGAUUCUGAAACAACGCAUCAUGUUACAUAUAUAAAAAUUUCUUUAUGCUGGUUUGGAGUUGACUUUCUUAUAUGUAGGUCACACAAGGCUGAUACUGACUAUAUUUAGAAUUUUCCUUUCAGUAAACAAUGUUUAUGGAAAACAUUUCUAAUUUAGUAAUUUAUUCUUUCACAUAUUUACCAUUCUUAUUUAUGACUGCUUAUUUUUGUUUCAUGCAUUUAUUUGUGUUGAGUAUAUCACUUUUUUUGAGCAUCCGGCACUAAUUAUUUCAAAUUCUCAGAUGGAUUAUAACUGAUUUCUCCUGGAGUGAAUGUGUAUUUGGUUGUUUAAUUUGAUACCCUAUCAUUUAUUAUUUAAUAGUUUGAAUGAUCUAAUAAUGCAGAUUGUAAGUACGUUUUGAACUGUAAGUACUUUGGUAGGAAAGUUUUAGCGAUUUUGAUUUUGUUUUGUUGUUAUUGGUAUGUAUGCAUGUAUAUGCAUUUGCUUGCUUUUCUUUGAUUUUUUAUUUUAUUAUUUUUUCCCCUCUUCAGCAAUCCUGUUGUUUUGAAGUUGCUUCCUUCUAAUCUAGAUAAGAUGCAGUUAUUAAAAUAGAGUUUGACAAUUUCUAUUUUUAUAAAUACAUCCAGCCUAUCAGAGAUCCAAUCACAGAGUCAGAUGACAACUUGGCUCAGUAGUAGGUUGAAAGUUGUGGUUUUUGUCCCUAUUUCCUUAGGUCAGGAGCUUUAUAAUGCUGCUGUGGUAUCAUAAUGCCAUAUCCCAAGCAGCAAGUCAACAGCCAUUUGUUUCAGCCCCCUUUCACAAUAGAGGGGAAGGGGAUCUAUUUCUUCCUAGUCCCAAGCUUUAACCCCGAGAGGGAACAGGGAGAACCAAGUCACAGAGGGCAAUCUUAGUACUUUUCUUUUCAGGAGCCCCACCUCCUUGCUUCCACUCCCAUCUUCCAAUUGUUCAGCUGGCCAGUGGCAUACACCAUAACAACUUUGCAAUUCUGGGGACUCACUUACCAUGUAUGAAAAUAUUUAUCACGUCAUUGGAUCUCAGCUACUAUAUAUGAAUCCAUGGUAUAUAUGUCCAAUACUUGUGUGAACAUAUAUAUUUGGUAGUUUUGGAUUAAUGGGUCUGUUUAAAACUCAUUGCAUCUUUUGGGGCACCUAGCUGGCUCAGUCAGAAGAGCAUGUGACUGUUGAUCUCAGGGCUGUGCAUUGGAGCCCCACAUUGAGUGUAGAGAUUACUUAAAAAUAAAAUCUUAAAAAAAAAGUGAAAAACAAAAAAAAUAACUCAUUGUAUCUUUUGACCAGUAGUUCAUAUUUUCAAUGAGAGAAUUAGUGAAAAACUUACUUAUGAUUUCUAUAAUAUCUCCAUGAUAAACUAAAGCCCACUCACACUGUAAAAGCUGAGAGAUCUGUUUUAUCAUUUUUUAAAUAUCUUUAUUAUUAUACAUAUAAAAUAACUAAAAAGUAGAAAAACUUAAACAUUUAUAAAAUAAUAUAAAAUGCUAUUUAGCCCUUUCGAUCAAAGGAUAUUUUGAAGGUAUUCAAAAGUUCUAGCUUUUAAUUCAGUACUGAAUUCUUCAAAAUUUUAAGAUGCGACUAGACUUGACCUCUAUUUUGGGAUCUUUAAAUAAUGGAUUAGAAGUAUCUUAUCAUUGUUCUAUCAUGUCUAAUUCUAAGAGAAACUAUCCCAUAACUAACACUUACAGAGGGCUUAUUUUGUCCCAGGCUUUGUUGUAUGCAUUUUACAAAUAUUGACUUGAUUAGUCGUCACACUUCCUAUGAGGUAAUUACUAUUUCUGAGUGUUCAGAAAAGCUUAAGGCACAGAGAGAUAGUUACUUAAUGAUAGCAUAGUAUGUAAUAAAUGACACAGUCAGAAUCUGACUCUUGGCAGUCUGACUCCAAAAGAAGAUUCUAUGUAGUUUUGCUCAUUUGACUUUCAAAGUAGACAUCAUUAGUUACCACAUGAUAAUGACUGACUUCUUGUCUUUGUCUGGUUAUGAAUGAGCUGUUUGACUUCUGCAUUUUUUUCCCUCCCCAAAUGGCCUUUCUUCAUUAUCAAAUGAAGCUGCCUAGCGAUACAACUGACUUGCAGACCUUUGAAGAUAUCUGCUUUUGUAUUUGACAUGGUGUAUUUUAAUGAUAUAUAGCCUUAAACAUACUGGCUACAGAUGACUCAGUGUAAAAAAAUGCAUAAUAAAUUUUAAUUCCUGAUAUAUGUUGUAGAACAAUAUCUACACAUGAAAACCAGCCAACUAUAUUUCUGGUAUAAUUCUGACUAUAUAUUACUGUAAACAAACAGAUUCUAAAUUGUGACAAAGAGUACAUUAGUACACUGUAUUUGACAUUGAGGGUUUUUUAAGUUUAUUUCUUUAUUUUGAGGGAGAGAGAGAGAGAGAGAGAGAGAAUCCCAAGCAGGCUCUGCACUGCCAGCAUAGAGCCUGAUGCGGACCCACAAACCAUGAGAUCAUGACCUGAGCCCAAAUCAAGAGUUGGUCGCUUAACUGACUGAGCCACCCAGGUGCCCAAACAUUGAGGAUUUAAAAGCCAAAGUGAAAUUAUUACCGACACAUUCAUUACCAAAGUUAAAAAAAAAAAAAAAAAAACAAGAAUCAACAAAACCAACUUAAUCUUUGGAGCUCAGUAGAUGUGGCCCAAUAUAAGUGGUUUUAUUCCUCUGCUAUAGCAAGGAAAAAGAAAAAAAAAAAGUUCCUACUAUUUUGCCAUAUCGUUUAAAUUUCACAUUUCCAUUUACUGUCCUAAUUAAUGUCUAUGUGGAGAGCAUUCAUGAUUUCAUUUUACUUUGAACAGCUUUGCUUCCUUUGCUCUCACUGGACUUUAGUCAGACCACCCUUUCAUUAAAUAGUUCAGUAAUUAAUCCACUUAUUAGUUAUAGACUCUUAGAGUAAAUCUAUAUAGAAGCAAUAUUGUUUAGGAAAGGGAAAUAUUGUGUAAAUUGCAACAAGGGGCUUCCUAAUUUAAAUGAAACAAAUAAGUGUGUGUGUGUGUGUGUGUGUGUGUGUGUGUGUGCCCGCGCGUGUGUGUGUGUUUGGACGUGUGUGUGUGCGUGUGUGUGUAUACACAGUCAGGACCUUAACUUGAGAACACGUGAUAUUGAAAAAUGUAUUUAUGUGUCUUUUGAACUCAAAAUGAAUUUUUCCUUAAAACAGUAUGAUUAGAUUUCUAGGUUAGCCUAACAUAGACUUCCUGUAUUAUAGAAAUAUAUAACCUGACUGAUGAAUUUUAGGAUUUGAGAACCACGAGGAAGGAAGAUGGGGAAAGUAGAGUCAAGUACAAUACAAGUCAAAAUAUUGUGACAGGUGAACUUUUUCUUUAGGCUGACAUCAUUUCUGUAUGACUUCCUGUCUCUGGUGCACAUCUCCUCACGUGCAUAGAAAUAGGUCCAUUGAAUGUGGAAACCGUUGUAGCACUAAAUGAGGGAUAAUGAGUAAAUAUCCAUUCCUUAAUUUGCAAAGGGAUAAAGAUCAUAGACUCUGGAACCUGAUUUCUGGGGCCCAAAUUUUGUUUUUUUCCCCAGUAAGUUUUGUGACCUUAAGCAAUUUACUCAAUCACCCUGUGUCUUAGUUUACUCAUUUGUAAAUAGUACCACUAACUAGCUAAUAACUAGCUCAUAUAGUCUCUAUGAAAAUAGACUGGAUCAUGUAUUUAAAACUUUUGGAACAAUGACUGACAAAACACAAGUGGUAUGGAAUUUUAGCUAUUAGUAUUAAUAUUGUUAUUAUUAAUAAAAAACACAAACAUGUAUUAGAGUGUCAAUUUUGUGUUAAACACUAUAACAGAGGAUAAACAUGUAAGAUAAAUAAGAACAGUUCCUGCACCAAAGAGUUUCAGGUGAGAGAAAACAGAGAUUGGUUCAUUUUAAAGAUGACAAAAUAAGGAUACCAGGAGAAAAUUUUAUGGAAAGAUAUUUAAAGAAGGUGUGAAUGUUUCAAUUCUAAAGUACCUGUGUUGAAGACAAACGUGACUAUCCGGACAUUGAAGGUGUGAGUAAUUGCAAGCAACCAAAGAUUAAAAAAUCAAUUUAGAUAUUGAGAGAUGCACACAGAAGGUGGCAUUUAAGAUUUUAUUUUUUAAAGUUUAUUUUUGAGAGAGAAAGCCAGAGCAUGAGUGUGGGGAGCUGGGUGGUGCAGAGAGAGAGGGAGACCCAGAAUCCAAACCAGGCUCCAGACUCCAAGAUAUCAGCAAAGAGCCCAAUGCGGGUCUUGAACUCACAAACCUUGAGAUCAUGACCUGAGCCAAAGUGGGACACUUAACCAACUAAGCCACACAGGCGCCCCAGAAGAUGGCAUUUUAAAUGUUAAGCAACAGGUAUUAGGAUCACAGUUCGAGGGAAAGGAGUCCAAGCACCAAAAGACUUUGAAGUAAAACAAGAAGCAAGCGUUAAGAAACCAGAAAACUGAGAGAAGCAAACCCCUCUUGGAGCAACUAGAAGCCAACGUGGCAAGACUAACCAAAUGCAAUUAUUGAGCUACCUUCUCUAGAUGUGAAUCAUUCUCUAUGAUGAGGGACAUGCCUAGUCUCAGAAUCUGGGAGUAUAGUGUAGAAGUGGGAGAGUUUAGAGAAAAUUCACAACUGACAUAAGAACACUUGGCCCAAAACUAACAGGUAUACAAUCUUCCUGAACAAUACAUUGUCUAUUUACAACAUAUAAUUGUACUAAAACAUUUUUUAGUCUCUAAACAGAGAAAGAACAAGUGAGGAAAAGAGUUUUAAAGUAUUGUAUAAGCCAUACAUAUAUUACUUAUCAUAUGACCAUGGCCACAAACAUAAAUAUACUGGAAAACUGCAAUACAGGACUGAAAUAUUAGGGUGUGCCAAUAUAUUGUAGGUCCUCACUGUACUGCUUCAAUGCUACACUAGGUUCAAGACAUUCUCAAGCCUCUUUAUUCCUCUAAAAUGCUUGAAGUAUAGCAGGAAAUUAGUCAAUGUGAAUUGAUGAAUAACAUGGGGACUGGCCAAAUUAAACCACAUUAAUCUGGGAAAGAUUGUCAACACCUGACUCCUCAUAAAGCUAUUUGCAUUUUCCAAAGAAGAGCUUGUUGAUCCCAAAUUAAUGUCUAAAUGGUAGAAUUUCAAGUAAUGUGGCAAGUUUUACAUGAAAAAAGAAAAAGUGAAAAAAAUAAAAUGGAACAAUUAUGCAUGGGAGUUUAAACAACAGAUUUGGCACUUUUCCUGUUUGACAGUUCCUUUGUUUCUUCCAAACUUGAGCACAAAUGUUCUUUCAGAACUCCAUGAUUUAUUUUGGCUUGUAUCUCAUUUCAUAGCCAUUCUUACGCUAUUUACAGGAGUGGGGAUAGAGGUAAUUGGUCAAGAGUAGCUUUAUAUGUAUGGGUAAAAAUCGCUUUGCAUAUUAGACAGGGUGCCUGGGUGGCUCAGUCAGUUGGGUGUGGGACUCUUGAUUUCAGCUCAGGGGUCAUGAUUCCAAGGUCGUGGGAUGGAGCCCCGAUGGAGCCCUGCAUCCAGCUCCAUGCUCAGCAUGGAUUCUCUCUAUCGGCCCCUCUCCCCCACCUGUGCAUGUGUACACACACGUACACACUCUAAGUAAGUAAGUAAAUAAAUAAAUGAAUUGCUUUACAUAUUGGAAGUGAGAGCUUAUUUGUAUUAAGAGAAAUAUUGGAAAUAUUAGAUAUGAAAUAAUAACAAAAUCUACAGGAUGGCAGUUCUGAUCUAAAUAUUUGGUUCAUUUAAUAAUAGACAUAGUUUACCAAACUGAUCAGCAUUUUUUCUCCAGAUAAAUUUAAGCAAUGAAAGAUCUUUCACCUGAAAUGUUAUUUCCCUGGAACUUAUAUCUUCUUAAAUGCUCUAAAAGUAAGACAUCUAACAUAGUUAAUAUGUAACAAAUAUGUUGCAGUUCAGGAGUAUGUCAACACCAUACACUUUUAAAACACCUUAAUUAGGUUUUUAAACUCUUCAGCCUAGGGGCGCCUGGGUGGCUCAGUUGUUAAGCGUCCGACUUCGGCUCAGGUUAUGAUCUCACGGUCCGUGAGUUCGAGCCCUGCGUUGGGCUCUGUGCUGACAGCUCAGAGCCUGCUUCAGAUUUUGUGUCUCCCUCUCUCUCUGACCCUCCCCUGUUCAUGCUCUGUCUCUCCCUGUCUCAAAAAUAAAUAAAACGUCAAAAAAAAGUUAAAAGAAAAAAAAAACAACUCUUCAGCCUAUAUUCUAUGUGUAAGAUGCUAAUUGUUAAAUGAUACAUUCUAGAAUUCCCUCAAAUUCCCUCAACUAGGUGAUUUCUAGAAUUUUAGAUUGGGUUUAUUGGCAAAAUAUGGAUCAACAUGAGAUUUUUUAUUUUUUCAUUGUUUAAUCUGGACAGAGAGUCAAAAAAAAAACUCUACCAAUUAAUAAUUAAUUUUAUUUUUGAAAAAAAAUUUUAACAUUUACUUAUUUUUGAGAGACAGAAAGAGACAGCAUGAUCAGGGGAGGGGCAGAGAGAGAGAGAGGGGGAGACCAGAAUCUGAAGCAGGUUUCAGGCUCCGAGAUGUCAGCACAGAGCCCAACGCGGGGCUUGAACCCAUGAACCAUGAGAUCAUUAUCUGAGCUGAGGUCAGAUGCCUAACCAACUGAGCCACCCAGGCACUCCAUAACUAAUUUUAUUUUAAAAAUAUAAGUAAUUUUUCAACAAAAGAAAUUAAAAUCCCAUGAAGUAUAGGAAUUAUAAAAAUCAUUGCUUUUUCUAAUAUAAUGGAUAUUGCCCUAUAAUAAACUCACUUAUAUAAAAAUUCAUUCUGUUUUAAUAGCAUUGCAGACAACACAUGGGAACAACAUUCCUCUUCCACUGAAAGCAAUGAAAAAAUUAACGUGAUUCUAGUUAAUUUUAGCUCUAUCCCUACACAAAUAAUCUGGUAUUGACCUUGUUAAUAAAAUAAAAUGUAUCUUUGGGUUACUGAAAUAAAUUUUUGAAAUAUACAUUUUUUUUUUUUUAGCAAGGGAGAUGUUAUUUCUGAGGAGCUAUUUGCAUGGCACUUUUAUUGUUAAAAUGAUUUAUAAUUGCUUAUUUAAAUUAUUCUGGUGCCAUUAACUAUCAUCUUUGGUGCUACAUACAAAAACAAAACUGAGAUAUAUCUGAAAAAUAUGUACUUUUCCACUUUAUUAGCAUCUGUAAAACACAUUAUCAUAGAUUUAUUAUUAACUCAUUAGAAAGAAUUCUAAACAUGGAGUUAUGAUUUUACUCUAGAUAUUUACAGUAUGCAUAUCAUAGCUCUAGUAAUAUAAAAUAUAAAGUAACUAGGGAUAUUAGCAUGGAAAAAUAUACAGCUAUAUAUGCCUUAUGUGUAAAAGUAAGCCAAAUAUAACUUUAUCAUGUGGUAAACAAUUUCAUGUUUACACUAGAUAUAUACCAUGAGUCAUUUGGAUCAACUUCUUGAGGCAUUUAAGAAUUUCAAAAGAUGGAUAAUUAGUGGAAAGAACACAGCUAAUUCAAAGGAGAGGUAAUGUUGAAUAAAUGUCUUAAUCUAAGGAAGCUUUAAGCGACCUCGAGCAAAAAUGUAGUUAGCCUGGUCAAAGUGAAAGGUAGAAAAGAUAAGUAACAAGGGAACAAAGGUGUCACUGGAAAUAGCACAGAAAAUUCACCGGAGAGGAGAAUUAAGUGGAGAGAAGGUUGAAAUGUUCAAAUGAGAAAUGAAUAGUAUUUGACCUAAUCCUAUCUUUAUAGAUUGGAGAGUGUAUUAUGUUUCUUGGAGAUUCCACAAAAAAAUUACCACAUACCUGGUGACUUAUACAAACAGAAAUUUAUUCCCUCACAGUUCUAGAGGCUGGAUGUCCACAGGGCCACACUCCCGCCCAAAGCUCUAGGAGAAAAUUAUUUCUUUCCUUUCUCAGCUCCAGGGGGCUUCAUCAGCUGGUAGUAAGUAGCAUUACUCAAAUAUCUCCACCUCAUCUUCACCCAGGCUUCUUGUGUCCUCUGUGUAUUCUUUUCUGUCUCUUAUAAGGACUCUUUAGAUUUAGGACCUAUCCUAAUUCAGCAUGCUCUCAUCUCUAUUCAUUCCUUAAUUCCAUCUACAAAGACUACAUGUAAGUAGUCACAUUCUGAGAUUCCAGUGGACAUGAAUUGAGGGAGGGAGAAUGACACUAUUCAACCCACUAUAGAAAAUAAAGAACUUUUUGUUAGCUUGUGAAAAAGAAUGGUUAAAAGAAAGUAGAAAUAUUGAGCACAGCAUAGUCACAAAUGUAACGUAAGUCUUGGUAAUGCCAAUAUACAGAAUGACAUUUGUUAUGAGGACCUGAGACAUAUGUAUCAAGUAGCAGUGAAAAUAUCAGUCAUCAGGAAAGAAUGAUGAAUAAUAUCGGUCACUGUGUCCUCAGUUACAGGUGGUAGAAUUGAACACAUGUACUGUCCCUGUCCCUCAUGAUCCCUAUAAAAUGACAGAAAAGAUGUAAAACUACACAAACUAAAAGAUAGAUAACAAUAGGGUACCCUGUAAUAUAGGCAGCAAAAGAUACCAAUGAGGAGCAAGUUAAUUCAUGCCUCAAAAUCACAGAAAAUAGGUGAAUGGGAGCUAGAAAUGACAGAUCAUAAGAUGAGGUGUGGGACUGGAAACAAGCAAUAGAUAAUGUCUAAAUUAAAUCAAAUAGAAAUAAAAGCAUAUUAUUUAGAAGUCAGAAAUCACAUACCAGAAGAAACAGCAAAGUAUUAAGGGCAGGCAGUGCAAAGAUGAGGAAGGUUUCAGCAGAAUACUGCUGAUUUUCAUUUUACACCUGUCAGUAUACUUAAUUUUUAAACUAGAAUUACGAAUAAUGUUCAUAAAGACUUAAAUGUCAUUAAAAGCAAAUACAAAAUAGCAAUGAAUAACUGCAUACAUUCAACAUUAACUUGAGACAGGCACAAUGCUUAGCACUUUAUCUGUUCUGAUUCAUUUGGCAUUUACAACAAUCCUCAGAGGUAGAUGACAUUAUUUUUGUCUCAAUUUUAUACAUGGGGAAACAAGAUAAUUUGCACAGAUCACACAGUUCUUAAGUGACAAAGACGGGAUUCAAACCUAGGGCUUUCUGCUUCCAAAUGCUCUUAAUUGCUAGACCAUAGAAUACUGUGAACUGAAACCUUUGAGGACACUGAACUCAGAGGUUGUGAUUGGGGUAUAUGGCAAAGCAAUCCUCUGGCGGCAUCCUAUUAACACUAGAUUAGAAGGGAAGGAGGCUACGUCAAAAUGCCCAACAGGAUAUUCCCAGUUAAGAAACAAUAAAGAUGGAGAAACUUUAAGCCAUAGAUCAUUAUGCUAUAAAAUGUAAGUGUAUCUUAUAUAUUGAAUAUAAGAUUCUAAAAUACCCAAUCAUCAUUGUCUUAGAAAAGAGAAAGCAUGACUAAUAAAUACUCUUCCUGUUUCUUCCUAAGUGUGACCUAAUAGGGGAUCCUUAGUAUUUUCCAGUUUUCACUGGGCAGCCCCACUUUAUGUUUCUUAUGCUAUAAUUCUUACCAGUUUAAUAAGUUGAUGUCCCAGCAUAAUUAUUAAUGCAUCCUCAUUCAUUCUCAAUAGUGUCAUAAUAUAUGAUAAAUUAUAUAGCUCCCUAUAUAAUUUAUGGAAGCUGCAAUCGUUGGCACUUAAAUAUUGACAAUUUUGGAAUUCUAGAAGCAAGGCACUUGUUCUUCCAAAUCAUCUGUAUAAUGUAGAACUUCUACCUGUUCUGACAAUCUUCUGGCUCUUUAAUUUAAAUUUUUGAUAGAAAAUGGGACUUAGGCAGCUCAAUCACCUCUCCCCCCCCNUUUUUUUUUUUUUUUUUUUGGUAGAGGGUUUAAAUCUUGGGAUCAGGCCAGGCAUCUUCCUACUCCCCCUUCUGACUCCCAAUCUAAUUAGGUUUCAAACAGAGGAACACCUAGGUGUCUCUUAGCUUUAAAUAUUUAAAUAUACUCUUGGGUUUCCCAGCAAUUUACACCCCAAACUUCAGCACAGACUUGUAAAUCUCUAAACUGUGUGACAUUCCACCCCCCUUCCCUUCCUGUGAGAUUAGUGGCUCCUGUGGGGAAAGGGACACUUGUAAGUUCUAAGAUUUACAAGAGUGCUGUGCUUUCUAAGGUGUAAAUUGCGAGGAAACUCCAGAGUGCCAUUAAACAUUUAAACUUGGUAAGCAUCAUGCCCCUUUAUCCUCUGGGGCAGCAGUUACUGAGAAAGAGCAAGGGGAACAAACAGUUGGGUCUCCAAGUCUGUCACUAAAGUGUGAAACCAGUAUUGGAGGCAUCCUGGAUUCAGUAGCAGAAAUACAAGCAUAUCCUUAAUGACUUGUUCUUUUAGUUGUCAUGUUAAGAAUUUAACAUGAUCAAUUAUUUAACACAUAACUGGCAUGAGCCUAGUUUUUAAAUGGUUGAAGCACAUAUAUCAUUUAAACAGUACAGUUAUUAAAAAUGUGCUUAAUGUCUAUUCCCUCGCCAUUAAUUUCAUCCAUAUUAUUAUAAGUACAUGUAAUAACUGAAACUUGAAGCAAAUUUAUAAAUUGCUUUGCCUUAAACAAUAUAUCUAUAGAUUGAAAAUAGAGAGGACCAUGGAGAGUGGCUUGCCAAAAGUCACAAAGGUAGCGAGCGCCAGUUGCAUUAAAUAAAUAAAUUUCAUAAGGGAAGGUCUUUCUAAUUUAUUUUGACUUCUGGAGUAGAAUACGUUCUCUGCACAAGAUUUUCACAGCCAUCCAAGAGAAUGUUGAAAAGGCUGUGGCCAAAAAUACUGUUCUUGACCCAAAGAUAUUCAUAUAAAGACCAAAAUGCAGGUGUUAUUGUCCCAGUGCCCAUUUUGUGCUGUGAAGCUGGGCCCCAGGAUUUUCUCUAGAAGUCAUAGUUCUACUUGCCAAAUUUAUCACCUAAGACUCCCAGGUGCAAAUAUAUACACACAGAGAAAUAACCAAUUUCAGCUGAAAUGUUUCUUGCAGUUAAGUCAAUGUUGUUGCCUUUGGCUCCUAAAUCUCCAUUUCUCCUUCACCUACUUUGAAUGAGAAGGAGGUGACAAAUGGUACUAUUCCAAAUGAUGAAAUCCUAACAACACAAUUUCUCCAUUCUGGAGAACUGGAUAGAAUGACUUUAUUUUCAAAUAAUCAUACCCCCCUUUUCUAGGCAGGAUUACCAAGGCAUAGGACAGAAUUUACUGGAGGUUUGGAGUUUCAAAUCCAGCAGCACUAGAAGUAAAGGGAAAUGGAAAAACAGAUGUAAUUGUGAAACUUCUUGUUGCCAAAAGAAACAUGAAACUACUGACAUGUUCUCUCUCUUUCUUUUCUUCCUUUGUGUCUUGGUUUGAUCCAGGAUCUCCUCAUGUCAGCCCUGGGGUCUUCUAAGAUCUUGGUUACCUUCAUGUGGAAAGUGUGUGUGUUCCAUAUUAAACCCUUCUUUGUUCCCAUAUUGUCCCUUCCCAUGCCUUAAUCUCCAAACUAUUAUUACUUCUAUUUGGAGCUUCCAAUAUUUAUUUCAGUUUUCCUCCCUUCUUUUCUCCUUUUAGUUUAGUUGUUUAUGCAACUUAAUUUUUUUUUCUGUUUCAUUGUUAUUUUUAACUUUUACUUUCUUAUCUCCUGUUUAUGCUUUUUGGAAACUGUUUGAAAUAAAUUUUAAAAUAUGUAUUGUAGCCUUUCUAGUUUAAUUUACUUUUCUACAGACUACCUCAUCAUUUUUUCCUUACGUAUCUUUCUUUCCAUUUUCAUUUUUCCAGAUGUUUUGGAGGAUGUUUGAGAACAUGGAAUUUGGAGUUGACUAGUGUGGUUCAAAUCUCUUAGCAUUCUCCAAUUCUGUAAUUUGCUUAACCACCCUAAACCAUAUUUUCUUCAUGUAUUAAAUUGAGAUAAUGAUACUUGACAGUGCUGUUGCAAAGAUUAAGUAUAAUAAUGUUUGAAACAGUUGAUCAGAAUAGUUGGCUUGUAGUACACACUCAAUAAAUAUUAUUACUAUAGUAAUCUAUAAGACAGAGGGAAAGAGGGAGUAUAUCUUUUAUUUCCAAGGGAAAAGAGUGAAAUUUGGGAAAUGUUAACAUUUAACUGGAGAUGAAAAAGUCUUACAGUAUACAUGCAGUGUAAUUUUACGAACAUGCCUUGAAGGUGUGCUUGGAAGAUAACUUGCAGAAGGUAUCACAGUGCUAAAAUAAGAACUUGAGUUGGAGACCCAGGAAAGUUUUUGUUCAAGUCACUACUCUCUCCCUUAAUUUGUUAUGCAGAUGUAAUCAGAUUACUUAACUUUUUGAUCCUCAAUGUUACAUAUGUUAAAUAGAUAAUAACACGUUAUCUUGUGGGUUGUAAGGAUUACACACAAGGCUUGCAAAGCUUCUAUCACGUUGUCUGAUCUAGUAUGUAUAUUAUUGACUUGGGAGUGAGUUUGAAAAGUUUUCACUUGUAUUAAGAAAAACAUACAUAUACAUACGAAUUUCAUUGAGCCAAAAGGACACAUUUUCUUUCUAUAUGCAUUGACAUUGGUAUUCCUUCCACACAUUCUGUAUAGAGGCAACUGAAAUGAAUGAGUUAUACUCAAACUUGGAAGAACCGUUUAAUAUCUUUUUAAAUCACGUUAUUCAGUAAAUGCUUCAAACUGGGCAUAAUCUAAGUGUAUAUAUAUAUGGACAGUCAAAAAGUUAUACAAUGAAUCACUUCUAGUGGUUCCUUCCUGUGGGUUUCUGGUUUAUUUUCAAGAGAAAUUUCUGUGGAAGGGCCCGACAGGUAGGCUGAGCUUUCUGGAUUUGUCAAGCAGAUCACUGGUCUAUAAACCUAUAGACCAAGUCUUAAGUGACACAUUUUAAGACUAGUCAACACCUAAAGGAUGAGCUAUUGUCUUGGAGGCAUCUUAAAAUCACAUAGUAGCAUGUAAACCAUUGGACACUAAGUUGAACCACAAAUUUUUGGUUUGUUUGUUCUUUUUUAAGUCAAAAUUUGGCCUUCACAUUUAUGCUGAAAAUGACUUCACACAUGUCUUUUCUUGUACCAAUAUUUUACUGCCAUAAGAAAAAAUAAGUAUUUCUGAAAUGGGUGAAUUAAUAUUUAAGAUUUUGUGAAGUCAUUCUAGUUCUGCUGAUUUUGUAUUAAAAGUAUAAUUAGAUGAUAAAAUUGGCUUUAUAGUGACAAAUAUUAAAUAUCAAUCUUCUGUUUUUGUACGUACUGGGAAUUCAAGGAUGACAUAAAGAUUUUAAGGUUUUAAUUUUGAAAUGAAGUGAGCAAUAUUAUUACUCUAUGAAAAAGUAAUCACACGCCCGCCCCUCUUCUAAAAGCAUCAGUUAUUUUGAUUAACCCUCAAAAUAUUUUAACUACCUACUGUGUCAAAUUCGUAUUAUCCCCAUUUUCACAAAAGAGGACACUGAGGCAAAAGAGUUGAAGUAAUUUCCCCCAUGAUUACACAGAUGAAAAGCAAUAUAAGGGGAUUCCAAUCCAGUCAGUCUGGCUCCAGAAUUCAGGAUAAUAAUAAUAUAAAUUUACACAGAGCAUAUUCCUUAAAAUUAAGAUGAAGAUAGUCCUUUUCAUAUACAUUUAAGAAAAAUAACAUUUAAUAUAAAUAUAAAUCUUGCACAGUUAUAUGCCUUUGAAAUGAGAGAAACCUUAAAAGAAAAUUGAAACAAUAUGCCUCCCAGGAUUGAUAAAUUAAUGCAACACAUGAUCUCUAGGUCUCUUAAGCCUAAUUAGACAGUACCAAUAUCAUUUAUCUAGUAUUAAAAUCUCUAAGACUGCUAAGAAAGCUUGUUAGUGAGUGAGUCAGGCAACCCAAGAUCAGCAAGAAAUGGUACCUCAUUAGUUGGUACCAAGUAAGUUAACAUACCUGUUAUUACUGCAGCAAGGCAAUUAUUCUUCUUGGUUAGAGAAAUGCCCUUACCUAGAAAAUUAUUACUGAUGUUUCAACCCAUAGAUGACUUAAAACCUCAUUAGGUCAUAGGCUGGUUUAGCAGCAGAUAUGAGAAGGUGAGAUAUGCUGGUUUGGAAUUAUGAAAGAAGACAUUUUUAAAAAAAUAAUAGCUACUAUGCCAACUGAUUUCUGAAGCUUAAGAAAGCCAUGCCUCUCUUAUUCUUUUAUAAUUUAUUUAGGAUUUGUGAACUAUUUUAUAAAAGUGUUUCAUACUUCUACCUGACUGUCAUCUAUCUGGGCCUUAAUUUUUUCUCCUCCCUUUAAUGAUUAUUAAUGAAAAUCUCCUAUAAAGGAAGUGAAUUCUUUUCACUGACAAAAUCUGAUAUAAAUAAAAACAUGACUGAUGAUAGAAGAGGUGUAGAGAUAAUUUUCAUAUAUAGUUAAUUCUCACCAUACUUUCCUCACCAUACUUUCCUCCUCCUUAUUCCACGGAGAGCAGGAUAAUCCCACAGUUCUCUUCAUUAUGGCCCUUAAAUUCAUCCACUAUUGUGUGCAUAUGAUGCCUGCAUGUUGGAAGCACUUUCUGAUAUAAGAGAUUUCUUCGUGGAGGAUGAAAAGAGGUUAUAUCCUUCAUUGUUUUCAUCUUUAUCCUGAGAAAAUAUGGAAGAUAUUUACCAUGAGAAAGAGCAAAAGAGACCGACUCAUGUUUCACAGAUAAAUAUCUAGUUUCCCGAGCUAUUAUAUUUUGCAUGACUAUAUUUUUUACCCUCUGGAAGUAUAUCAGGAUUUUAUACUGCAUGUUUUGGGAAGAAAGAGGGUUGGCACAUUGUGCUGUGGAAGGAAGUAAAUGUCUUUAACAGUCACUGUGGGAAAUCAAAUAGCUGUGUCCUGAGUUAGGAGAUUAUAGGGGACACAUUCCAAAGCAGAACACUGCUUUCUGGCCUUGCUGAAAACAGUGGGCUGUGUUUUGCUUAUCUAGUUAAUAUAUAUCUAGCGGUUGAGUCCUGCCUGUGCUCAUGAAUUCCUUAGACCUUGUUAUGUAUGGAAUAUCUUAUCUUGUUUUCCACCCUGCUUUCUACAUCUGCUCUAUUGUAGUCUUGGGAAUGCCUUAACUUGUUUCUCUGCACGCUUUCAAUACACUCUUACUGGCACAUAGCCCUCUGAUGUACUGAGGAUUAUUUCCAUAAAUAUAUGCUUAAUAAAUAUGGGAGCUUGAGAGCAGCUCGGGGAGACUUCCCUUAACCUUCCUCUCACUUCUCUUGACUUGCAGAGUCUUGAAUAAUCCUUUCUGCCACUCUCAGCUUUGCUGGGGAAAGCUGGAAGCCAAACCCACAACUCACCAUCCUGUAAUAUUGGAUAGUUAAUAUGAUAGAUAUAGAUGGGGAAUAUGAGGAGACCUAGGCAUACUUUAUACUCUAAGGAUGCUCAUAUUUAAAAUAUUUUCCUGACUUCCUUUGUCUCUGUGAUAGCUGUGUAACACUGACUUUCAUUCCUUCCCCUACCCCCCAAACUAAUACCUGCUAAAAUAAUGCCCACAUCAACUAGGUAAAAACUGUUUUUGGGGUGCCUGGGUGUCUCAGUUGGUCAAGUGUCUGAGUUCGGCUCAGGUCAUGAUCUCACGGUUCGUGGGUUCAAGCCCCACAUCAGGCUCUGGGCUAACAGCUCAGAGCCUGGAGCCUGCUUCAGUUUAUGUGUCUUCCUCUCUCUCUGCCCCUCCCCUGCUCUCCCUCUCUCUCUCUCAGAAAUAAACAUUAAAAAUUUUUAACAAAAGACUGAUUUUGUUUAUACAAAAUUAUGUUUACACAAAAUUUUUUAUACAAAAUUGUUGAUAAUUACAUUUGAGUCUCUAUAACAGUUUCUGGUAUAAAAGAAGCAUAAUAAAAUUAUUGUCAGUAAAUGAAAAUUCCUAGAGAAAAAACUAACAAUAUCAUUUAUCCUAACAUAUCUUACAAUUAACAGACCACAGUACCAGAAAUUUUUAGAAGUAGACCAUCUUCUUACAUUAGGUUCAUUUUGUUUGUUUAUUCCUAUUUGUAUAUUAUAAGAAUAUAUCUAUCCCAUGUUAUUGGAAGAGUGCAAUUCAUGAGUGAAAUUCAUUUUGACAAAAAGCAAAAAUAUUGAUUCAUGUGAAACUAAAGAGUAACAACCAACAAAAUUCUCAAGCUUAGGUGGACUAGUGUAGUUGAGAUACCAAAGGACUAACUCUGGCUGGCAGACACCAAGCAAACUUUCUGUUCCUGUCUAAAUUUUACUAGAUUUCAUACAUUUUGCCUGGUUCUAGAGUCUAUAUGAUUGGCAGUUGCCCUGGCUGGAUUAGUUGUUAAAUGCUUGACCUGUUACCACUAAGGAGCUGAAUUGAUAGCAAAGAGAAUUAGACACUUAGGGGUAGGUGUAUGAAAGAGUAGGGUGAGUGGUUUGAAAAAAAAAAAUUAAAAACAUUGAGACAGAUAUACUUCUACUACAUAAUAUUGUUAACCCUAACACAAGGCUAUGAUAAAGCUGUGCUUUUUGGUAGACAUUUGAUUUUUUACAAAAUAACCAUCCAUUAGUACCAUGCAUGGUGUACUAGAUGUGGUUCUCACAUAGUAUAAGAUGCCUAGAAUUCCUCUAAAGACUAAGCUUGUGAAAAUGAAUUCAAAAGAUCAGCUCCAUCAGAAAGUCUUGGGUCAGUAGUUACAAUGCAAACUUCUCUGUCCUACUCCAGAAGUAUUGAAUCAGAAUUUUGAGGGUGGAGUAAAGAAAUCUAUAUUUUAAUAAUUCCCCAAAUAAUUUUUACACACUUUGAAAUCUUGUUCUGAGAAAGGUCAAACAUACUUCCUGGUUCCUGACAUGUGUCAGGCCAAGCACUCAAUACAAGUUGAAAUGAUACAGUGUUUUGGUAUUAUCCAAAGUGUGAUCAUACACCUAGGCAUUGCCUGAAUCUAUCAUAUAUCAGAUGGUAGCAAAUGUAUACUUUCAGAACGUGUGCCUUCAAAUGUCUACAGAGUUAGAUCAGAUGAUCUUACUUAAUGCUAACAUAGAAACAACAUUUACAAUUGUUUCUUAUAAAUGUUCAAAAUUUGAAAUAAGUUGGUAUUUUAAAUAAUUUCUCCUUUUGUUUUUUUCUGUUUCUCCUAGGAAUUACCUCAAUUAAUAGAUCUUACUCUCAGUUGCAAAACUAAACAUUUGUAAACAUGCCAGGCUGUGUCUCUUUUCCAGCUGAAUCCAUUUGAAUCCAUGAAGUUAUUUGGCUUCUACUCCAAAUACUCAAGCAGCACAGGUCUUGUUAAAAUUGGCCCAAUCAUGUACAGAAGUUUGUGAAGCAUUCAGUAAAUCUUAUUCUAUUUUAAAAUUUGUAACCAGAUCCCUCAUUGGGUUGUCUCAUUUAAAUUGGUUAUAUUUCUAAACAAAAGUGUUAUAUGUCCCAAUGAAUAUUCUAAUAGUAUGUAAGCCAAAACCUAAAGUAUGGUGCAAAACAACCUUGUUCUCUGCUAUUUCCUAAGUAUACAGAUUAAAUUUUCUUGUCUUGAAUUUCAUAUACUUUUCUAAUAAUAAUAGAGAAACUAGCUUAUACCACAAUCAGUCCUACUUUUGAUAAUACCACAUUCUGGAUGAAAAAAAAAAGUAAGCAUUCCUCUAAAUCCACUGAAUUACAAAAUUAAAAUUAUAAUUGUGUUCCACAGUAGAUAGAGGCACUAUUUCCCUCUACAGAUAAGUCUACAAAAAUAAACAAAUAAUAAAUAAUAAAUAAAUUUUCUUAUUAAAAUUUCAAUGGAAUAUACUUAGAAAGUAUAUAUGAUUAAUGUAAAUUAAAUAUAAAGAUAAAUUUAAAGCCUUCCCUCUGCCCUUCGGAUAUUCAAUGUGACUGAAAUGCUCCAAGAACACUCAUGAUGCAAAUCUGAUCAAGAACAUAGAAUAACAUAUGCCAUACCACAUAGUUGGUCUAUGCUACUCUAUGCUACAAAAUUGUACAGCUCUCAUAUUUUAACCACACUUUACAGUAAGGGGAGAAUAGUACAUGGUGAAAAUUCACUGAAGAUAUAUGUCAAAAUCACCAAUAGGCCAAAUAUAUUGAAAAAGUAUCCAUAUAUAUAUAAUUUGUAUACAUACAAUUUGUAUAUGUAUGUAUAAUAUAUUUAUAUAUAUUAUGUAUAUAUUAUGUAUAUAUGUACAUAUUAUGCAUGUAUAUAUUAUGUAUACAUAUACAUAAUAUUAUAUAUAUACAUGUAUUUGUAUGUAUGUAUAAUAUAUAUAUACACACAUAAUUUGAAGUAAAAUGACAGAGUUUUACUGGCUGCUGUAAUAUACAGAACAAGAAAGCUUUAGAGGGUCAUGGGUUUAAAAUGUUUGAGAAACAGGGUUUCACAGGGUCAAGUUAAUUACAGGCAUGGCUCCAAAUCCACCUCAUUAAGCAUAGACAUUGGCAGCUCUCAGAGUGUGAAGUUGGGAGAUGACUGGAGUUGGCUUCACCUCCUAAAUCAUCCCUCAUUAGAGCUAGGAAAUUCAGGCUGUAUAAAAGUUCUUCCCUAGAAUACGAAAAAGUCAAAUCUGACUGUUUAGAGCAUCUGUCCACUGCCUCGUGAGAGGAAAAUUUUUCUCUUUUUCCAUUGUCUUAACUCAAAAUGCUUUUUUCACUUUUAAUAUAUCUCUCCAGUUUUUAGGGAUAGGAAUUACGCUUCACUUUUUUCAUUCUUUUUUCUCUUUCACAUAUGUGGGCUUUUUUCUUUUCCCAGUACAUUAAAGUUGAUAAUUUAAAUGCAAUCGAAAUUAUACAAGCAAAGCCUCUGCUAGUCAUUUGAGUUGAACCAAUUUACAUCAGUCAACUAAAAGAAAAAAGGUGGGGGCAGGGAAGGACAUAGAAUAUUCUUUUCUCAUCUCUUUCCUAUUAUAGUUGACAUUUUCCAGGGAAUGAGGAGUAAUUAUAAACUACACUUCAAGAAGAGUUUAGGGGAAAAACCGCUUAAUGCUAUAAUUUGUCAGCUCAGAACUACCAAAUUCUCAAUAAUAUGAAUGGAGCCGGCCCUUCAGGCAGUUUUCCAGGGAUGGCAGACCUCCUCUAAUACUUUUUUUUUUUUUCACAUUAAAAAUGUCAGAUUACCUAAAAGACCAACAGACAAAUGUUUCAAUAUUACUUGGGGAUAGUCUUAUCUUAUAAUCACCUAUACAAUUAUUAAUGCCAUAUUUUUAUAUUGCAUGUUAGUCAAAAGGUGGACAAGACUAUAUUUAAAAACUUGGGGGGAUAAAAUUUAUAGUGUCUUUUAUGAAAGGUGUUUCACUGAAACUACAAAAAAAGUAGAUCCUUUCCUUUCAAAUAGCACGAUGAAUAUAUCUGUGACUUUUCUCAUGGAACUUUAAAAUACACAAAGACCUGAGCUAAUAAAAUUGCUUCAGAAUAACAACUGGGCAGUGGAUUAUAAAGUUUGCACCAGUUCAUGCAGUCAUUCAUUCAUCAAGAUUAAGCACCUAUCUCACGUCAAGCACCAUGAAAGCUUUGAAGAUUUAAAGAAAAAUAAGCCAUGCACUUUUCUUUAAGAAGUGCAUGAUUUAUUGAGAUAGACAGACACAUAAAUAAUUAUAGUCACUGUUGUAAGUGCUAUAAUGCAGACAUUGGAAAGUUUUACGCAAGUCCAGAAGACAGGGCAACACAUUUUGUCUGCGGAAGUAAAGAAAGUCUUGGGAAGUUCUUAAAGAGAAAAGAGAGAUGCUACAUUAGUGGUGGGUGUGGGAAAGGGGGAAGGCAGCAAGGAGGCACAGAAACAGAAAGAUGUAGGGAAAGGAAAUAGGACUUCUGAAGACAUGUUUGUGUUUAGCAUGGCUGGCAUGUGAAGAGGAAUCUUACAAAGGUGACAUUGGUAAAGAAAAGUUGGAUGGAGCAUUCUUGUGAAUACUUGGGAGAGACUGCUAAUAUAACAGAGAUCAUGGACCAGGAACAGAACUAUGAAAGAGGCCAGAAGGCAUUCUGUCACCAUCAUUUUAGGAUCAGGCUUCCAUUCCUAAGCCUCAUACAUAAGAAAAUCUACUUUUGGAGGUUGAGUGUUCAAGAAUCUUGACCCAUGUCUGAAAAUUUAGUGAGAAAAGGAGAAGUCAAAAUAUUUCUUUUCAAAGCAAUAAGGAGAUUUUGGUUUGGUUUUAUUUGUUGAAAGAGGAAACUUGUCUACACUGUUAGAGAGAAUUGUUUCCUUGUGCUAAAAUCAAUUAAGCAGGGUAUUAGUUUGGCAAAUGAGAAGAAAAACUACAAGCUGAAAUGUAUUUGUUUGAGACUAUGUAGAUCAAAGGAGCAUUUUACUAGACAAUAUAAGGGAUGGUCUGGAAGGAAGGAAGGGAAAGAGUCUAUGAGAUACUUUUUUAAAGUAGGGAUUAAGGUUCACUUGCUGCUUUUCGAGUAUGAAUCUCAGCUCAAAGUUUUCUUUUACUUGUGUUACUCUAAUUUACUUUAGACUCUUAGCUCUGGGAUAUCAGAAAGCUAACCUUUAGUCUUUUUGAUGAGCUCCCUUCCCACAACACUAUGCUUUAUUUCUGGGGUUCUCUUCACUGUUAAAUUCUGGGAUCACAUCUUGGGUAGGAGGAAGGAGGUGCAGAUAGGAAGAUGUCUCUAGUCUUUGAUCAUUUGUUUACACAAGAUUUUAGAGAUGCCUGCUACCCUCGUCCACCAAACUUCUUCAGGUUGGUGACUGCCUGAUGCUUCCAGGUCACCCCAGAGGCCUGAAAUUCAUACACUGUGGUCCAAACUAUAUCAUAAAGCUAUUUGUUUCUAGGGUCUUACUUUCUCAUUGAUGAGUUGAUUGUCACAUUCUAUGACACAAACACAUUUUUUCUAGUUGUAACAUGAAACCAUUUCUCUCUAGAGUCUUGCUACCUCCUUAGUGAAGUUAUUGGAACCCAGCUUGGCCUUUUUUGGCUCCUGAGAUUUUUCUAUUUUGGAGAAACUCACUUCCUUAUGUAGUUGGGAAGCUCCACUCAUAAACCAAUUUCCAUAGCAAAGGUUUAAAUAAUCUUUUGUGUUUUCUCUCAAGAUCAUCUAUAGUGAUUUAUUGCUUAGACCAUUUACUUUGGCAAUUUACUACCUACCGUAUACUAUCCCUUGGGCAAGGAAGUAGUUAGCAUAUCAGUGAUCUAUUUGAAUGGGGAAAAGUGAUAGGGAGAAACCUGUGAGGUGAAUGAAUUAAAAUUUCAAAAUACUAUUUUGACAACUCAUUUCCCAGUAAAAUCCAUGCUUCCUUAAAACAAAAAUGAUAUUUGCUCCCACACCCAACCCCUAAGUUGAAGAUGGAAUUUAUAUUCCUGAACUCAAUGGAUUAUUUAGGAAAGUGUAUCCUACAUUUACAGCAUCACCUACUUUGAAAGCUGAGACUGUUCACAGGGUAAAUUAUUCAACUUGCUCACCUGGGGUGGAGGAUAAUAAUACUGCUGUAUUGAGCACACACUCUGUGCCAUGUACUCUGCUGAGUCUUUUACAUGAAUGAUUUCAUUUAAUUAUCACAGUAGCUAUAUGAAAAAGGUAAUAUCAUUAUCCUUUUUUUUUUUUAACAGAUCAAUAAAUGAGACAGAGACAGGUUACAUAAUUUUUCAAGCUCCAGCAGUAGAAAGUAUUGUAGUUACUGGUUGUGACUCCAACCAGUUAGUCUCUGGAGCCCAUGGUCUUGACCACUAUGCUAUGCUAAGAUAUGCACUCCACACCUCUCAGGGCAAAACAGAGAUUAAAAAAAAAACAAAAAACAAAAACAAGCAAACAAAAACAAACAAACAAAAACCCAACAAAACAAAACAAAAAACACAGAAUCAGUAGAAUUUUCUCUGAGACUUGAUAAGACAAUCAGCCAUCUUUAGUUUCAAUUCUGCUGUGUAAGCAUUCAAUUUUGGUAGAAAGUAGGGGUUUAAUCCCAUCAGGAGUUUUUAUUAUGCCCUCUUAAUACUCUUUGUUGUUUCUCUACAGUUUGGGUAGACUUUUACCCCUCCUGUCUAGAGGAAAGCCCUACUCUCUACCCUCACAGCUACUGAGUUUCUCCAAAUAACAUUCUCCAAACCCAUACAUCUUCUUCUCUUGGUAUUUCUUUUAGAAACACUUCACUUAAUCUCAUCAGAGUACUUAAGACUUAAAACAACCUAUUAUCCUAGAAACAUAUUACCCUUAAAACAUGUUCAGAAAGGCCUGCUAUCCUGUUGAACAGGAGGAAGUUAAAACAAAACAAAAAUAAGACAAAAACAGGAAAGUAAUUAAAAAUAAUAAUAAUAAACCCACAUUUGUUUUAGUGGAGUAUGUAUGAAAGUGUAUUUUUGUGUUGUUUGAUCAUUUAUUAAUGAGAACAAAAGGAACGAUUGUCAUAGACUCUGAGUCUAGAGUUCUCUCUUGUCUAGCAAGAGAGCAGGACACAUGAUGAAACACAAGAAAUGGCUAAUGUCUGGGAAAAGACAGGAGCCCCAAAUAAGGGUCCUUGACCCAUUUUUAUUAGGAUCAGAAGGCUUACAAACAUGACAAUGGACACGCACAAAGAGACAAUGAAUCUAUGAACAUUAACUUGUGGUCGUGAGGAAAAGGGGGUCUUGAAGAUAUUUGGGGUUAAGGGUUUGGGUUAAUAGGAAGCAAAAUCCUGAUGCUGGGCAGUAGGGUGGAAGGUUGUUUACAGUGGACAUGAGGCACCACCUCUGUUUAUCUUAGCUAGCCUAGGGGAUGAGACAGGUAGGGGAAAUAACUUCAGAGUUAACAAGGCACCUUUUCUUUCGUUAAUCAUCUCCUCUCUGGGCUGCUUUACCUGCAUCACAGCAGGUCUAUAGUACAAUUUACCUGUUUACCUAACUUGCUUGUUUCUUCCUGUGAAAGCAGCUUUCUGCUAUAGUACUAAAUUGGGGGUGCUUCCAUCCUAAAUAUCUAAUCUUGUUUAUUUCCUUUACCUAUGUAUUGGGCACCUUUGUGCCCUUAUUUUUGGGCUUUGCCCCUCCCUCUCUAUUCUGGGGGCUCUGCACCCCCUCUUUAUUCUGAGGUGCCUUUGCACCUCCCUAUUCUUGGUUUCCUUAUCUUGUUUAUCCAAACUCGGGUGUGAGCAUCCUAUGGCUUUGUAAUUCUUUAUGCCUUUUUAACCCAUUGAUGUAAGCCCAGGGAAUUUCUAAGCUUAUUCCCCACAAACGAUGUUCAGAAUUUUGUGAGAAUUAGGACACGAUUCUAAUGGUGCCAUUUCAAUUCUAGUGGUGCCAUUUCAACACCAAGAUAUCAAAGCAGCUCACCAAGUUGGAGAAGAAAGGCUUUUACAUACUUCCAGGUUGAAACCAGAAUUUCUUUACCAACCCAUCCUGUGACAAAUGUGUGUGCACAGAGGGACAGCAUCCAGUAGAGGCUGUGCCAAGAAGAGUAACAUUAUCAUAGAGAGCUCACAUCCCCAGGACAUAGAGGGGAGACCAAGCCAGGCUUAGUUCUGGAUUCAUCUGAGACCCUUCAUUCUGGAUACUCUUGAAUAUAAUGGGAGUAGAAUGAAGGAAAGUGGACCUUGAAUAUUAGAUGGAGGGUUACAGUCAUUUCAAUUUAGGCCCUAAGAUAAAAGUGGCUUUCAUUAGAGUGCAAUUCUUGUGAUGUACACAUUAUGCUAUUGGACAGAGGAACUUAAACUGAAAGUUAGCAUCUGUUAAACAGAAAAAUAGCAUCUGAUAUGAGACAGCAUUUGUGUUUCAGGAACAACAGAAAAAAAAUCUAUGAAAUGAUGAAAAUCUGUACUAGGAGAGUAGUAACAAAAAACAAAUAAAUUUAUAAUUUAGAGACAGUUGUGAGAUGUUAACUUAUUGCAUGUGGAACAUCAAGAAGAGGAAGAAACUGGAGGUGAUUGCCAUGGAACUACAUAUAUGGUGAUGCUGUAAACCAGUAUGAGCAAUAUAAGAAGUAAAGGAACAUAAUUUCCAGAGAAGACAAUGAAUUCCAUGUGGGACCCAUUUAUUUAUAUUUCCUGUCCAAUAUCCUUCAAAAGAUAGAAAUUGGCAGUUAGGAACUUGAUAAUUAAUAAAGCUCAGUAAAGAGAUCAAUGGUAGAAGAUUGAGUGAUAAGAAAGAAAAUGUCAUUGGUGAACAAGUGGGUUAGUAAGCUACCAAGUUAAUUAUAUAAUCAAGAGAAAAACCAUGUAAAAUAUAAGAAAAUGACCCAAGAUAGAAUGGUAGGAGAUGAGAACAUUCAAAGAAUGGAUUUAGGAAAGGAGGCAGAGGAGCCCUGAUCACAGAGAAAGUUGUGGGUAGGAGAAGGCUAGGAAAAGAAUUGGAAACCUGAUGCCACAACAUGAGCAUUUAAAGAAGUAGGAAGCUGCGAUAUAAUGUCACAGAGAGAUCAAAUAAGAUGAGAAGUGAGAAUGUGUGUGUUCGAUUUUGGUGGUCGUUAAACCAAUGGGAGGGAUUUUUCUAGAGUGAUGUACAUAAAUGAGAUUGUAAAAAGUUGUUGAGGUAGUAAAGAUCAGACUAUGGAUUGUACUUUUAAGAAGUCUGUGUAUGAAGAAGAAUGAUUUGGGAAUCCACCAAAAAUAAUAAGAGAAUUUUGAAAAAAAUUAAUAUUUUUGAAUAUUAUUUUUGAAAUAGAAGCUAGAAAUUUACCCACUUCAGAUGGAACAUAGAAAGAAUAAAUCCUAAGAAUAAAAUUUAUUCCAUAGAUUUAUUUGAUUGUCAUAAGAGCUAACUCUAUACCACCACUUUUCAGAGGAUCAGAAACAUCUUGCCAUAAUACAUUAUAAUGACCAACAUGUUUGUCUUUGUAGCUCUCUUCCAUUUCUCUGAGUAUACAUAUUCUUAAUCUUCAGAAUCUGUUUCUGUAUCAGAAAUUUAUCUUACCCCAGGGAAAAACCUAUUCCGGGGACAGUGUUAAAAUAUCUAAGAGCUUAAGUGACCCAGUCUAAACAACUGUAUUGCUAUUUUUUUCUACAUUGGGUUUAGCUCUAUAAGGUGCUGUAACCACAUUCUUACUUUACCUGCCUAGUCUAGUAACUGAUGCUCUUUCUUGAAUACCGGAGUGUCUAAGAACCCAUGAUAAUUUCUUGCUAGAUCUCCCUGAGUGUGUUUUGUUUGAACUAUUGCCAGCACACUCUUCAGAUGAAUAUCUGCCUGCAUUGAGAACACCUAAAUUCCUGCAUCUUUUCAAAGGGCUAGUCUCAUUUCUAAAUUCUAAGAUUUCCCAUGCAAGCCUGACUCUAGUGGUUCUGAACCUGGAAUCUGACUUGUUCAGACUCUUCUUUAUGUCUUUUUCCUCCUUUCUUAUUGUAUAAGUUUUCAGAAUGAUAGGUUUAGUGAUGAACUGGGAGUGGAGGUGGUUGUCAUAUUUCUAGAUGGGGGGAGAGAUCAAGUUCCCUGUUGUUCAUGACUGUCAUGUAAGUAAAGAACAGUUACUUUCUAGGCCACUGUAAGUUAUUUUCUUCACCAUUUUUUAAGCAUUACAAGGAAAGAGUAAAAAGUCCAAACUUGAGAAAAGAAAACCUAAAGGGUCAAGAAAAGUUGCACUUCUCUGCAAUGUAGAAACGGGGAAAUGUAGAAUAAGGAGAUGAUUAUAAGUAAGGGAAAUAGUACACGGUAUUAAGAAGUGGUAGAAUAAUAUCAGCUGUGCUACAGCAGACUUACUGUAUAUUGACACUGCUUUAUUUGGUAUGCCAUAUUUGGAAAAAUAAUCACCUAAUAUUGCUAGACUUUUGUAAAGUGAAAGGAAAAAAAAAUAUUUGCCUUCAUUUUGGAGUCUUUGAAUGAAGGACCCUAUUAUAUGCUCACAUUAUCAUUAAUGCACAGGAAAACAUAUCCCAUUACUUCAAGUGGUUUAGUGGCCAACAUGUACAUUUAAUAUGGGUUUGUCUAAAUCAGUGUCCAUGUGCACUGUUAAACAGGAAAAAAAAAACAAAAAACAAAAAACAUAAAAACAAGAAAACAAAACUUCCAUUAGUUUGGGCUAGAAUAAUUGAGCCCAUUUAUACUCAACAGUCUACUGGCAAGUGACCUGUAUAGCCUGCUGAGAGAAAUCAGUUUGAUGUGGGCCUUCUCCCAAUGUCUGUAGUUAUUGGAAAUACUUCCCUGUUGUUAUAUCUCUUAGUUUUACAUCCCAUGUAGAGCUUACUCUCUCUUAACUCUGCAUGGGCAGGAUGAAUUUUGAAAAAAAAAAUUAGUUUGCAAUCUGACUAUCCUUUGGUGGAUAGUCAUCAUAUCUUUUUCUGAUUUAGUCAUUUUAUUUGUCUGUUGUCAUGGUACUAGGGUCGUCUCUAUCUUCAUGGAUGAUUAAAAGUAUAAUCUUCUCUGAAAACUGUGUGCUAAAUUUAUAUCACAUUAAUAAUCUAGUAAUUAUUGCGGCACCUGGGUGGCUUCGUCAGUUAAGUGUCCAACUCUUGGUUUCGGCUCAAGUUAUGAUCAUAUGGCUUGUGAGUUCGAGCCCCUGUGCUGACAGCACAGAACCUGCUUGGAAUUUUCUUUCUCCUUUUGUCUCUCUCUCUCAGAAUAAAUAAAUAAAAUAAAAUAAAUAAGUAAUUAUUAUUUUAAGGCAAUUCCUGUAUCUUAAAACAUGAAAUAUUCCCUUCCAUAGAAGGGUGCAAUUGAGCAAAAAGUUAAUUAAGAACAAAAAUGAUGAAGUAAUGAUUCAAUACUUCAAUAUUUUAAUCAAUGCAGGCUCUUAAACCAAAUGAUCAGACCCAAUACAAAAUUUUAAAGCUCAACUUACAUGAUUUCAUAAAGAAAUAUAUUAAUGUUUAAUGAGUCACAUACUUUUAAUUGUCUUACCAAAAGAAAAAUGUGGUAGUCCACAAUUAAGUGAGUAGAUCAUGUUUUUACAGAAUGCUUACAACUCACACUGGGGAGGCUGUUUUGAAAGGAUUACCUAAUAAAAAGGGAGAAAGAACAAGCGGUUACUAAUGUAUAUCAAUACCAAACAUAACUCAGUUACCCUGUCUGGAAGUCAAAAUCUAUUACACUGUCAUGAAACAGAUGGAUUUUCUAUUUUCCAAUUAUAGUCAUGAUUUUUACUGAGGUCAAUACACACAAAUGUUAUGGGACUUUCAUAAUAUUUUUUCCCAGAGAAAUAUAUGGAUUUUAAGUGCCACACAGUACAUUCCAGUAUAUAAAAAUGGUAGCAAAGAUAAAAAUUUAUGAGAAUCAGAAGCAACAGUCGCACUGAGGAAAAAAUGUUAUGCAUGGAAUUACAUCUUCCUACAUUUAAUUAUUCCUUAGGCAUCCUAAUGAAAUCAGAAUCUUCCUCUCAUAAUUUAUGUCUGCUUUCUAAAAAUGCUUUCUUCGGUAUUAAAAAAAACCUAUUGAUUUCAUAUCAUUAUUUUAAAGGUUAAUCUUAGGCUUUUAAUUAUUUACGUAUUUACUUAUUUAUUAUUUGUGUUUUGCAUUGUAGUUUAGAACUAAACAAAAUACGGUGCAAAUUUUCAUGAGCUUAUAAUUCUAAAAUCACUUUUUUAGCUUUUAAUUUUUUUUAAUUUUUAUGACAAUUACCAACCUCUUCUAAACUGAGAAGAAAAGUUCAAAAUUAGUUUUGAAAAUAAGUUGCUGACCUAAUAGCCCACCACCAUCAAACAAUUUGAGUGUUUAACUCCUACAGACAAAGCCAAUCUGCUAUAUAACCACAGCACAGAGCACACCACCGCCAAAACCAGAAUACUAUUUAUGCAUGACUGUCAUUGAAUCCUCAGAUCCCAUGCCAAUUUCUUCAGUUGCCCUAAUAAUGACUUCCACAGAAAACUUCCAGCAUAUCAUCAUAGGCUGCAUUUCAUUGGCAUGUCUUUUUAUAUUCCUUGGUCUUUCUUUGACUUUUCAUGACCUCGAUAUUCUGAAGAUUGUAAGCUACUUAUUUUGCAUAACGUAUUUCAAUUUGUGUCUAGAUUUCGGUUAUGGAUUUGGGGUGGUAAUAUCACGCAACGAUGUUGUGCUUUUUCUCACUGCCUCUUAUGAAGUAACACACAAUUUCAGUCUGUCCCAUUACUGCCGAUGUUCAGUUUGAUCAUUUGAUUAAGAAAAUGUUAGCCAAGCUUUUCUACUGUUAAGUUGUGCUAUAACUCUGUAAUUAAUACAUGCUUUAUGAGGAAGUAUUUUGAAAUGAUAAAUAUCCCAUUCUUCAUCAAGUUUUCAAUAUACCCAUCAUUUUAUAUUUCUAUUGACUCGCCAUUUGCUGUUUUGUUCAAUGAAUUAAGUCCAUUAUUAUUGCUGUGUAUUUUGAUGAUCUAAUCCUUAUUUGGUUAGCAGGACCCCAUUUAAGCAGACUUCUGGGGGUUUACCCACCAUUUUUUGAGCCCUUUUUGACACUGCAUACAUUCCAGACUCAAUUUGUUCUUUCUUUGCUAAAUUCUGAUUUAAAAUAUAGGAUGCUUCACACUACAUCUAUUUAUAAAUGAUUUGUGCAAGGAAGAGAAAAGUUUUCCUAUUGAGAAGCUAAACCUCCAGAGCAGAUUCACACUUUUGAUAUACUUCAUUUUUUAAAUUGUUUUUAAUGUUUAUUUUUGAUUUUUGAAAGGGAGAGAGAGAGAAAGAGGACAAGAGGGAGAGGGGCAGAGAGAGAGGGAGACAUGAAUCCAAAGCAGGCUCCAGGCUCUGAGCUGUCAGCACAGAGCCCUACACAUGGCUCAAACUCACACACUGCAAGAUCAUGACCUGAUCUGAAGUCGGAUGCUUAACCAACUGAGCCACUCAGACCCCUGAUAUAAUUCAUUUUUCUCCAUAACACACAAGCUGUAUAAGACACCUAAAUGAAAUUUGAAUGAGGCAUUUUUUCUAUCUAUCUGGAAUUAACGGUGGAAACAAAACAAAGCAAAACACAACAAAAUAAACAAACAAUAUGUUACCGAAAAGAAAAGGUCAGAUCAAGUUCUAAAUGCCAAAAUGACUUAUGAAAACUGUUUCAGAACUUUGUGUAAAAGAUUAGAAACAUGAAUAUAUGUUUAAUUUUGAAAAAAAAAUUACCCAGACACUGGAAUAUGUAUAUAAAGAUUGUAUAAAGAAUUAGUUUCAUGUUGCAAUUCACAAAUAAUUUAGAGUAACUGAUUUACAUGCUACUAUUGUCAAGAAGAGUCAGCCAAAAAGGACACAUUUGGAGAAGACAUCAUGCAAGUAAAAAAUUUUGCAAAAUAUCUUAGUUUACACUAAAAUAUUAGACCUAAGUGUCCAAUAAGCCUGUUAUUUAGUUUAUGCUUGCUGUGUCAAAACACACUUCUCAAGAAUUGGCAAACCUAAUCUGAACCUAAUCCAAUAUGCUAAUCUCUGAGAGGAACCGGUUUACUGAGUGAUGAGUAAAUCCCUGAGAACUGAAGUCUGAAUGAGCCUGCAAAUAGGAAGCCUAGGACCCAGGGCUCCACAGACCAGUGGCCAGACCUGCCACGAACAGAAAUAACCAUUAUGUACUCAUCAGGCUUUAUGAGACCGUUCAGAUAUAAACAGCACGAGUAGCAGCAAAUCCAGUCUUUCCACACCUCUCUUCUCUGUAUCUGUGGCUAAAACCUGAGCCAAUGACCACUGAGAUUUGUAACACCCUUGUGCAGUAACAGAGGCCAGACGGUCAUUAAAUUGGAUAUAAACAAGGCAGGAAUUAAGAAUGGGGCAUGGGCCCUCUGGACCUCCUAUGAAACCAUCUGGAGAAAACCCAGAUUUCCCAGAUUGUAAUCUUAGGCCCUAGAGUUCAUAUCAGCAGCUCUGCUCCAAAAUAAAUGAAGAUAAGCACAUUUGUGUGAGGAUGGGGAAAAAAUAAAAAAAAUACCACUAAGCAAUAGGACACAUACAGUACAUUUCGAAUUUCCCAGGCUCACUCUAACUUUGCAUACAUUUAUGUGGGUAUCUCUCACUCUCAUUUUGUCAAUAUAUCUGUAUAUUUACUCACACAUGAAGUUGACGCAAAUUAAUUUUAACAAUCAGUAUAUUUUUAUUAAUUAAAUAAAUUUUAAUUUUAUGCAAGAAAACUAAAGAAAUCUACCUAAAAAGGACAUUAGCUCUCAUAAAGUUUUAAAAUCACUCUUCAAGUUAAGUCCCACUGUGUUUAAUGGAAACAAUUCCUCAGGGCACACCUCCUCAGUGGAACCCUCUGUGAUCUCAUCUUUCCAGGUCGGUCCAGCCCAAGGAGAGUCGUUCAGGUAACAGUGACCUAAAACAGAUUAUAAAUCCAGCCACAGAGAAGACCUCAGUGCUGCUCCAUUAUUACAGUACAUUAUCAUAGUAUUAAACAUAGAAGCAAAAUUUUCAUAUAAUUAAUGAAUCUGAGGCUUUAGAGACGCUCAUUUCCAUGGACCACUUCCACAGCACUGAGAGGCCCCACAAUUUCAUAUUUAUAGUUUAUUAUAUAUCUUAAAUGAGACCCCUCAAAUUGCAUAAUUUUCAAGCUCCCAAAAGCAUAUGUGAGUAAAAUUAUCCUAUUACCUCCUAGCCAAAUUUGUUUCUAGGCAGGAUAUACAGUUGUUCUUUCAUACACUCAAAUGAUGUCUAAUCAGCACUGACCUUGUAUUAGGGAGUGAGGCUGUAAGCUAAAAUGUGUGAAAAAAAGAAAAAAAAGUCACAAUUGGCUAUCAAAGAGUUUAUAUUUUGGUAGAAGCAGAAACAAAACAUAAAGAAUAGGAAGUUAAAUUAUUACAAACAGUGGCCCCUUACCCAACACAUUCAGGUUUGCAGAAAACUAGAAGGAGAGUUCAAUACAAAAAGGCAGUAGGUCAUUGAAACACACGUCGGACUUCGGAGUAUGCCAGGACUAUAUUUAUAUUGUUGUUAAGAUAUCUUUUUUGGAUAGUGCUGUCUAAAUUUACUAGAGGUCUUUAGGGGGAUGUAACAUAAUGGGCAUAAGACAGGAAACGUUUGGUAAACUAACAUCAUUUAAACAAGAAAAAAAGUUAUUAUUCAUACUUGAAUGCCACAUUGUGUAUUGAAAGCAUAAUGACCCUUCUUAAUCAGGUUGUGGAAAGCCAUAAAAUGCCACCCAAAUUUAACUGUUACUUCAAAGCUAAAGAGGAUGUGUGGUGUGUGUGUGUGUGUGUGUGUGUGUGUGUGUGUGUGUGUGUGUCUUCAUUAGGUAUAUAGACUUUUCUCUGGUAGUCUGAAAUCUCAAUUCACUCUAGUGUAUACACUUUUCUUGAUAAUUUCUAUUGAGUUCUUAAGAUGAAGUUAGAAAUAGAGCAACAUAAUAUUACACUUCUUUAAAUGCCAUGUACUUUAAUUUUACUAAUAAUUGAUUAACAAUUUCACAAAUGUGUCACAUCAGGAUUUUAUUCAAACAGUGUGUGAAUUGCAAAUAUCUUCUAAAAUAACUUAUAUGUGAUACACGCACAGUAUUUGGCCCUCUGUUGACAUUAAGAACAAAUUUAAAUUAAAAGCAAUUCCAAUAAAAGUUGAUAAUUUUUUAUUUCUGUUGUGUUGGUUGUGAUCUCUCCUCUUUCAUUCUUGAUUUUAUUUAUCUGGGUCCUUUCCUUUUUCUUCUUGAUCAAACUGGCCAGUGGUUUAUCAAUUGUGUUAAUUCUUUCAUAGAACCAGCUUCUGGUUUCAUUGAUCUGUUCUACUGUUUUUUUUUUUGGUUUUGAUAGCAUUAAUUGCUGCUCUAAUCUUUACUAUUUCCUGUCUUCUGCUGGUUUUGGGUUUCAUUUGCUGUCCUUUUUCCAGCUUCUUAAGGCGUAAGGUUAGGUUGUGUAUCUGAGAUAUUUUUUCCUUCUUUAGGAAACCCUGGAUUGCUAUAUACUUUCCUCUUAUGACCGCCUUUGCUGCAUCCCAGAGGUUUUGGGUUGUGGUGUUAUCAUUUUCAUUGACUUCCAUAUACUUUUUAAUUUCCUCUUUAACUGCUUGGUUAGCCCAUUCAUUCUUUAGUAGGAUGUUCUUCAGUCUCCAAGUAUUUGUUACCUUUCCAAAUUUUUUCUUGUGAUUGAUUUCAAGUUUCAUAGCGUUGGAGUCUAAAAUAUGCACAGUAUGAUCUCGACCUUUUUGUAUUUGUUGAGGGCUGAUUUGUGUCCCAGUAUGUGGUCUAUUCUGGAGAAUGUUCCAUGUGCACUGGAGAAGAAUGUAUAUUCUGCUGCUUUAGGAUGAAAUGUUCUGAAUAUAUCUGUUAAGUCCAUCUGGUCCAGUGUGUCAUUCAAAGCCAUUGUUUCCUUGUUGAUUUUUUGAUUAGAUGAUCUGUCCAUUGCUGUGAGUGGGGUGUUGAAGUCUCCUACUAUUAUGGUAUUACUAUCGAUGAGUUUCUUUAUGUUUGUGAUUAAUUGAUUUAUAUAUUUGGGNGAUAGCAUUAAUUUCUGCUCUAAUCUUUAUUAUUUCCUGUCUUCUGCUGGUUUUGGGUUUUAUUUGCUGUUCUUUUUCCAGCUCCUUAAGGCGUAAGGUUAGGUUGUGUAUCUGAGAUCUUUCUUCCUUCUUUAGGAAGGCCUGGAUUGCUGUAUACUUUCCUCUUAUGACCUCCUUUGUUGCAUCUCAGAGGUUUUGGGAUGUGGUAUUAUCAUUUUCAUUGACUUCGAUAAGCUUUUUAAUUUCCCUCUUAACUGCUGGGUUAGCCCAUUCAUUCUUUAGUAGGAUGUUCUUCAGUCUCCAAGUAUUUGUUACCUUUCCAAAUUUUUUCUUGUGAUUGAUUUCAAGUUUCAUAGCAUUGUGGUCUGAAAAUAUGCACGGUAUCUCGAUCUUUUGGUACUUACUUAGGGCUGAUUUGUGUCCCAGUAUAUGGUCUAUUCUGGAGAACGUUCCAUGUGCACUGGAGAAGAAUGUAUAUUCUGCUGCUUUAGGAUGAAAUGUUCUGAAUGUAUCUGUUAAGUCCAUCUGGUCCAAUGUGUCAUUCAAAGCCAUUGUUUCCUUGUUGAUUUUUUGAUUAGAUGAUCUGUCCAUUGCUGUGAGUGGGGUGUUGAAGUCUCCUAUUAUUAAGGUAUUACUAUCGAUGAGUUUCUUUAUGUUUGUGAUUAAUUGAUUUAUAUAUUUGGGUGCUCCCACAUAUCUACUCCUGAAAUCAAUGUUUCACUAUAUGCUAACUAAUUUGGAGGUAAAUUUAAAAAAAAUAAAAAAAUUAAAUUAAAAAAAGAAAUUAUCAAUUGAAAUUGAAAAAAAAGAUAAUUUUUUAAAUAUUUGUAUACAAUUAAACUCAACUUUAAAACAAAUUGCUUACCACUGCCUCAGCUAUUCACAGCAAAUAUGGCAUUCAUAAACUUCAACUAUGUGAAGAAUACGUUUGUCUCCCUUAUACGAGUCAUGUUCUUGUAACAGAGGUAUACUCUGGGCUAAUUACUCAUCCAAGAAUCAUACAUUCAGUACCUAAAAUGCAUCAGGUAAUAGGUUAGGCUCCUCUCACAAUAAACUUGAAAACCUGUGGAGAUAGACACAUAAACACAAAAAUUAGAGCAUGGCAUAGAAAGUACCAUCACCUAAGUAAGAACAAAAUGUUGUCACAGAAUACUGAAGAUAGAACCAGUCACUCCACCACUGGCCACGAGGUGAAUCUCCAAGAGGAAAUGUCAAUUUCUAUCUUUUAAAGAAAAAGUUGGAGCUUUCAGCUAAAGAAGGAGAUGGAUUUUUCAGGCAGGGGAAACAGAUGGCAAAGUGACAUGAAGUCAUGGCAAAACCUGGUGUACUUAGGGAAUGACAGAUUCUGUGACUGGAUUUAAGAAAUGGCUCAAACAGGUGCUGAAGAGGUUGGUAAGAUAAACCGCAGUCAGACUGUGGAGGGCAAGACACAGUCCGCUGGACAACAGAAUGCCAGGAGAGGUUUGAAGCUGGAAAAUGACAUAAUCAGACUUAUUUUGUAGAUCUGCAGUGCUUUGGCAAUGUGGGUAAUGAAAUAUAAGUGGGAAGGGGCGCCUGGGUGGCUUGGUUGGUUAAGUGUCUGACUCUUGGUUUUGGCUCUGAUCAUGGUCUCACGGUUCGUGAGUUCGGGCUGAAUCAGGCUCCACAAUGACAACACAGAGACUGCUUGGGAUUCCUCUCUCCCUCUCUCUCUCUCUGUCCCUCACCACCUCUCUCUCUCUCUCUCUCUGUCUCUCAAAAUAAAUAAAUAAAAAGAAGUAUAAGUGGUAAAAAGUGACGAAAGGCAUGACCAGAUGAGAGGCAUCUGACUCAGACCCUGUAAGAGAUGGCAUGGCUUUGACAUAAAGGCAGUGGAAAUAAGGGCGGAGAGGAGACGUUAGGAUUUUAAGACGAUGCUGAGGUAGAUUCUCUAGUAUUUGAUGACAAGUUUACACCAGUCAUGAGAGUAGUGGAAGAAUUCAUUUAGAUUAUAUCUGCUUGCUCAAAACAUUUAGAAUUCUCUUAAUUGAGACAUAGAGGGCAAUAAGACUAGAAAGAAAAUCUAUUUUGAACAUACUGAGUUUGAGGUUUCUUGAAAUAUUCCGGGUAAAACAGAAAUUUGUCUCCAAAUUGAUAGGCUGAUAUGAUAGCCUCCGGUUCCUAUGCAUACUCCAUCAGAUCCAUUUUCUGCAUUGCUGUCAAAAUGACUUUACAAAGUUUCAGCUCUGAACAUGCCAUUCCUUUCCAUCUUUCACUGGCUCCAUAUUAACGUAGAAAAAAGAGUUUCAGGUUCUAUUCAGAACAACACAAUCUGGACCCACUUGCUUCUCUAGCCUCUCCUUUGCUGGGCUCCUUAAAAAAAAAAAAAAAACAAAACAAAAACAAAAAGACAAAAAUAAAAACAAAGAAACAAAAAGCAUUUGCUUCAGGUAAAGUGAUUUAAUGCUCUUUCACACUUUCCUCACCUUAGUUUUUCUGGCUGUUCAUUCUGCCUGGAAUGCCCCAACAAACAAAGACUUUUUCUAAGACUCAGAUCAAGAGUUGUCACCAUCACACCUUUGCUAAAGUUAGAACUGAGCAUCCCUCUGUGCAGUGGAGGUGCCCAUUCGUGCACUUCGCAUGCCUGUAACCCCUUAGUGCUCAACAUGUAUUCCACUAGGACACCAGGUACAGUAAAACACUGUUUUUACUUCUCCAGUGCAUUGCACAGUGGUUGCGUUUGGAAGGAAGGAGAGAAAAAAGAUUAAUAGAAUGAAGGGGAGAUAUUAAAGUGCACAUGUCUUCAAAAAUAAUUCUACUCUGAAAAGUGUAUUCUACAGAGGGGACAUCUGUGCACAGACACAUGCAGAAAAAUGUUAACCGUGUUGGUGUUAGUGGUACCAAUCAAUGAGAAACGAGCUAAAUGACCAUCAAUGGAAUAUUGGUUAAAUAAAUUUUGAUACAGCCAAAUAAUGAAAUACUUUUAAGUUAUUCAUAGAAUGUGGUGUAUGUAUGUGUGUCAGGUAAAAACAAAAAGAGUAUGAAAUGAAUAGUGAAAAUUAUUGAGUACAGUAUAUUCCUGUUUUUGUUUUUUUUUUAAUAUUUAUUUAUUUUUGAGAGACAAGGAGGCAGAGCAUGAAUUGGGGGAGGAGCAGAGAGAGCAGUAGAUACAGAAUCUGAAACAGGAUCUAGUCUCUGAGCUGUCAGCACAGAGCCCCAUAUGGGGCUGGAACUCAUAAGCUGUGAGAUAAUAGGCUGAGCCGAUGUCAGCCACUUAACUGACUGAGCCACCCAGGCACCUCUAGUAUGUUCCUGUUUUAAUUAAAGAUCAGGACUGUCAUAAAAAAAAAUUACUAUAAAUGUUGUGGCUUAAAACCAGAGAAAUUUAUGGGGCACCUGGGUGGCUCAGUCAGUUAAGCAUCAGAUUCCUGAUAUUGGCUCCGGUCAUGAUCUCACACUUUGUGGGAUCAAGCCGUGUGUUGGGCUCUGUGUUGACAGCACAGAUCCUGCUUGGGAUUCUCUCUCUCCCUCUCUCUGCCCCUAUCCCACUUGCACUCUUUCUUUCAAAAUAAAGAAGUAAACAUUUAAAAUAAUAAUAAAGAAAACCACAGAAAUGCAUUGUCUUCCAGUUCUGGAGGCCAGAAGUUUUAAAUCAAGGUGUCAGCAGGGCUGCGUUCCUCCCAAAGACUCUAGGGAAAAUUAAUUAAACGUCUCUUUUAUCUCUUGGUUGUUACCAGCUCCCUUGGCUUGUGGUUACAUUACUCACUUUAAUUUCCCCCUCCAUCUUCAAGUCUCCCUUUUUUUGUGUGUAUCUCUUAUAAAGACACUUCUCAUUGGAUUAGGUUUCAACCAGAUAAUCUAGGAUGGUUUUAUCUCAUGGUCUUUAACUUAAUUAUAUCUGAAAAGUCCUUUUUUCCAAAUAAAGGAAUAUUCACACUUUCCGGGGUUUAGAUGUGGAGACAGCUUUUGGUAGGCUGCUGUUCAACCGACUACAAGCAGCUUCUUGUAUUUGUUUAAAUAUGGAAAAUUUCUGAAAGGACAUGUAAGAAAUAACUGAAGGUUGGAUUUUUUUCCCCUUCCACUGAAAGGUGAGAGUAGCAUGGAAAAGAAAAAUUUCUUUGUAUACAUUAAUUUAUUGUCUGAAUUUUAUUUUUCACUACGCUUAAGUUUUUACAUUUGCAAUGAAAUGUAAUCUAAAUCUUAAAACAGUUACAAAAAUUACCUGAUUUGAUGUUAAAUCAUUUAAGAAUUUCAACUAUGCUGAAAUCCUAAUGCCCAAUGUGAUAGUUUUAGGAGGUGAGACUUUUGGGAGGCGAGUAGGUCAUGAGGCUGGAGCUCUUAUGAAUGGGAUUAGUGCACUUUUAAAAUAGAACCCACAUUGCUUCCUAAUCCCUUAUGUCAUGUGAAGAUACAACAUAAAGUGCCCAGAAUAGGGCACUCAUCUGACAUGCUGGCACCCUGAUCUUGGAUUUUCAGCCUCCACUACCGUGACAAAUAAAUUCCUGUUGUUUGUAAGCCACCCUAUGUGUGGUAUUUUGGUAAGGCAGCCCCAAGGGACUAAGACACCCCUUAUAUGAACAAACUAAGUAAAAUAGAGGCAGAGUAGCCGAGGGGUUUUGUUAAGGCUAACAUACCCUAAGACAAAGACAAUCUAGAUAUGUUGAGUUUUACUGAAUAAAUACACUCUUAUCAUUGGGGGGUAAAAAAAAAAAAGGAAAUACUAAUUCCAGAGGAUCAUAUUAUUUAAAUAUAUUUCCAUCUUAGCUCCUUAAAUAUUAGAACUCUAAAACACAUUCAUACUCUAUCAAAAAUAUCAGUGUUUUGGCAUCACAAAGGAGAGCAGUCAUUCUCCCACCUUAGUUCACUACAGAGUCACUGCUCUGGCCCCUUGUACCUUAGGGUAUCCACCACUGGAGAUGUACUGUAACUGUGGAAUUCUAAGAGUUGCUGUGGAGCAGCAGGAAGUACUUCUAGUAUCAUCUGGGGUGAUGAAAGUGAUUUGCAGAAUGACUUUAAUUAAUUUGGUGGAAAUGACUAGCUCUUGAACACAUAUGAUAUUUGUUAACUCCCAGACAUAACCAAUGUAGUUUUUUUCUCAGAAACAGGAGGUCUUCUAAGAGAAUGAGCUAAUAAGUUUUCAUGAUUAAUUAUAUUGUUGACUGGUUAUAUUUUGCUAAAACAGAUUGAAAAUAUUUUUUCUGCAUUUUAUAUACUUUGCAUAUGUACAAUUAAUUAAAAGAAAAUAAUACCAAUUAUUAUGUGCCUGCUUCCUAAGAGAAAUAAAUGGUUCCCCACUAUCAACUCAUUAUAUAUAGAUAAAUUUUUAGAGCAGUUUUAUAUUCAUAGCAAAAUUGAGAAGAGCUUACUGAGAUUAUCCAUAUAUACCUGCCACCACACAUGCAUAGCCUCCCCCAUUAUCAACAUCCUCCACCAGAGUGAUAUAUUUGUUAAAAUUGAUGAACCCCUAUUGAAACAUCACCCGGGGCGCCUGGGUGGCGCAGUCGGUUAAGCGUCCGACUUCAGCCAGGUCACGAUCUCAUGGUCCAUGAGUUCGAGCCCCGCGUCAGGCUCUGGGCUGAUGGCUCAGAGCCUGGAGCCUGUUUCCAAUUCUGUCUCCCUCUCUCUCUGCCCCUCCCCAAUUCAUGCUCUGUCUCUCUCUGUCCCAAAAAUAAAUAAACGUUGAAAAAAAAAAAAAACUUUAAGAAACAUAUCACCCAAAGCCCAUAGUUUACCUUAAGGUUCACUCUUGGUGCUGUACAUUCUAUGGAUUUUGACAAAUGUAAAAUAAUGUAUAUCCACAUACCAUAGUUUCACUGCCCUAGAAAUCCUCUGUACUCUGCUUAUUCAUUCCUCCUGCCUCCUUAAUCGCUGGCAAUCACAGAUCUUUGUAUUAUCUCCAUAAUUUUGCCUUUCAAAGAAUGUCAUAAACUUGGAAUCAAGACAGUUCUUACCUUCUACAGACCGACUUCUUUCACUUAGUAAUACAUAUUGAAGUUUCCUCCAUGCCUUUUCAUGACUUAAUACCUCAUUUCUUUUUAGUGCUAAAUAAUAUUUCAUUGUUUGGAUGUACCACAGUUUGUCCAUUCACCUACAGAAGGACAUCUUGGUUGCCUUUAAGUUUGGACAAUUAUGAAUAAACAUCCAUGUGCAGGUUUAAUUUUCAGAUGGUUGUGGUAAAUAACAAAGAGCAUGAUUACUGAAUUGUAUUUUAAGAGUAUGUUUACUUUUGUCAGAGACUGCCAAAAUGUCUUCCAAAGUGUUUGUACCAUUUUGCAUUCCUGCCAGCAAUGAAUGAGAAUUUCUGUUGUUCCAUACCUUCACUAGUGUGUGGUGUGGUUUCUGUUCUGGGUUUUGGUCAUUCUACAAGUUGUGUAGUCAUAUCUUGAAUUGUUUUAAUUUCCAUUUCCCAAACACCAAAUGAUGUAUAUCUUUCAUGUCCUUAUUUGCCAUUCAAGUAUCUUUGGUAAGGUGACCAUGGCUUGCCCUUUGACAUCAUUUCCCUGAUGAAUCUAAGAGGAGUUAUGUAUUUUUCAGUCUGUUCAACUUUUUACUUCUUAGAAUAGAAUGGGAACUUGCCAGCUUCUUACAUGAUUGGAAAACAGAAAAUUGUAUUUUUUUUUUUAUUUUAGUGUAAAUUUUUAUUCCUUUCAGGGUCUAGCCUUCUGCUUAUUUGUAUUAAACUGUAACUAAAGUAAAGGUUACACUGUAUAGGGAAUGCCGAUUCUAUGAGUAAAUAAUUAUACAAUUCCAGACCUAUUUUUAAUUGACAACACUACACUAAUUGGCUGGGUAUGGGCCACACGCUUAUCUGUGAACCAGAGUAUAGUACUCUCUGGCCAGUUUGGGCCAUGUGCCCGGUGCUAUUGUGGUGGAUACAGAGGAAAUAGGGCUAUAGGCCACUGGGUGGGGAAAACAAAAGAGUCUGGGCUGACUAAACUUAAUAUCACUACAGUUAAAAUAAAUAAAUCAAUCAAGGGUCCUUUACCAAGGUAAAUAUCAAACAGACCCUGUGAUUUCAAAACUAUAAAAACUAUUCUAUUCAUAAACAAAGUGAAUAUAGCAGCACAAUAAUGUGUGAAAAAUAAAAGCUAAAAAAAAAAAAAAAACUUGACAUAUAGGAAGAAUAUGUGAUUUUGUUAUGUGACUCUAGAUACUUAAAUUAGCAGCUUUCAUUUUUGGAGAAGCUGUUUAAUUUUCCCCAGUCUUAAGGGAAUCUAAGAAUAGAAAUGAAAUAUAAAAGGACAAAAUUAAGUGAACACAUCAUGAUUACAAUACUGAAGUGCCAGCUGUAACCCCAUAUACUCAUGCAUUAGUUCAUUUCCCUUUGAAGCUUUCUGUACACCCUGCUUUCGUCUGUUAUCACUUUUGAUGACAUCCUCAUUCACUUUUCCCCAGCUGCUCUGUGCAUGUGUAAUAAUUUCGUAUCUUGGGAGUAAAGAUUGAUCUUUUAAAGUCAAAGAAUAAUUAUUACUUUAAGCAGCCCUCCUUUUUUAGUGAGAAUCCUUUGGGGUCAGUCUAGCUUCUAGCCUUUAUGUGAAUGAGAACAACAUUGUACUUAUUGGUGCUGAAAUUCUGUAAGUUGCAGUGAGGUUUUGGAUUCCAUUUGUUCCUUCUGCCCUCACUUCUUCUGCUCUUCUAUGUAGAGCUCUUUCUUCUACACAUUAACUUGAGUAUGUGGCGGUAAGAUACCACAUAUGACAUUAAAACUGCACCUAAUGUGAUCUAUAAUUUUUUUUAUCCUACAUGAGCUGAAAAUUUGACUUCUAAAAACAAAAUUAUGCCUUUCAGGUAACACUGACCAAUUUCUUAAAGCUUAUUUAUUUUUUAAGAAUAUUUAUAUUUUUUUUUAAUUUUUUUUUUCAACGUUUAUUUAUUUUUGGGACAGAGAGAGACAGAGCAUGAAUGGGGGAGGGGCAGAGAGAGAGGGAGACACAGAAUCAGAAACAGGCUCCAGGCUCUGAGCCAUCAGCCCAGAGCCUGACGUGGGGCUCGAACUCCCGGACCGCGAGAUCGUGACCUGGCUGAAGUCGGACGCUUAACCGACUGCGCCACCCAGGCGCCCCCAAGAAUAUUUAUAUUUUAAAAAUACUAUUCUUAAAUAUUAUUCUUCCUUGUCAAGAUAUUGGCAGAGUUUUUGGAAAUGCUGAAGAUUUUUUUCUUUUGAAUCCUAUAGUUUUUAUCAAUAAUAGGAAAUAUUAGUUAAGGUUGGUUCAAGAUCCUUUUUAUAUACGUAUGUAAUUUUAAAUACAGCUAUUUGAAAAACCAGAUAAGCACUACAGUUUGUGAUUUUUUCUCCAUAAAAAUGUCUAAUUUCAGUGAAAAAGUAUUUUUUAACUCAACAGCAGCAAUACUCUUGGUAAACAAAUAUUAUUUGAUUAAAUAUUUUAAAUUAUUUACCUGCAUUGUGUUAUCAGUAUUAUAAAAUUCUUGGAAAAUCCUUUAUGUCAGCUCAACUGAGAGACCUCUUCUAAUAAGCUAUGAAUAAAUGAAGUCUCUGCCAUGGAUAUAAGGUUUCCUAAAAUUCUGAGCUGCCAUUAGAUAAUGAAAGGAAUGACUGGAAGAGAGAAGGAACAAAGUUUUCUGCCUAUUGGUAGGAUGUGCCAAAAUCAAUCAACAAGUGGGAUUGAAAACAAACAAACCAACAGACAAACAGCAAUUACAUAUGCUUCCUCCAAACCCAGCAAUGAGAUUCUGAUAUAAAGGUCCCAUACCUUGAAAAUCACUGUCUCAAUGAGCCACUUUACUGCUGGGAAUGUAUAUUUCAUUCCUCAUGUUGUUGAGAUGAUGAAAAAUUUGAGAACAACUAAGAAAAUCAGGAAAAUAUAUUAAACCCAACUAGCUGUUUAAUGGUUAGUAACUAAAACACUCAGGUAGAUUUUUUUUUCUUUUUUCACUACAUAUUUUCUUGUGCUACAGAGUAGUCUGUAUUCACACUUGCUAUUCAUUUUAAAUUAUAUACAUUAAUGUUUUCACAACAAAUAUCUAAGAAUGAAUUAUCUUUCUUAGAAUUUUAAACAUUUUAAGUUAUCUUCUUAACAGAGUAUGCCAUACUGAUUACAGAAUGAUUUAUUUGCUCAAAACUAGUCUCCAGUGUAGAUGAUAAAUUUAAGGGGUCUCAAGAUCGUGUGUGCUUUAUGUUCCAACCUCAACACUGUGUUUAGUACAUUAGGCACUCAGUGAAAUUUUUAAAUCAAAGAAGAUGUUGAUUGGUGGAAAGAGAGAACUUCAUAAUUUGUUUGGAAUUUACUUACAUUCGAAAUAAUCACUUAUUAUGUAGACCUUAGGAUCAUUAUCAAAAGGAUGGCUUAACCUAACAAUAUUUUUUAAAACAGACAUAUAGGAGGGGGGAUAGCUAUAUCCCCCUAGGGGAUAACUAUUAAAUGGAAAUAGUAUGAGGAUAAUACCCAAAGAUCUUAUAUAACACUGAUAACAAAUAAAAUGCAUAUAGAAGAUUUUUAAAAUAUGUAUUAAGCCAAUAAUCUGUUAUGAUGAAAAGCCUCUUCUCCAGAAAUACUUUCUACCAGUUUACAGAAAUGUAUUAUUUCCUUCAAACUGCAGUUGUAUUUGUGGAAAAGUAAAACACUAAGGCCAUAAUCCUUACCUGGUAGAAGUAACCUGUAAAUACUUUAAAACAGUCAAAGAUCAUAUUAGUUAAAAGAUGAGAAAAUCUGAAACCAUUUUAUUAAACAUUAUCAUCAUUUGUUAUCACAAAUUGUUUUUCAGGGAAAAUGACCAGAAGCCUGCUGCUAAGUCAAGGAAGGACUGUUUCUAUCAUCAGAAUGGCAGUAAACAAGCAAUACAAAAUUACAGUUGUGUAAACAAGCUAAAGAUUAAUGGUUCCCACACUGUUUUCCUUUCAUUGGCCCCUUUGGUAGGUCAAAUGACCCUGUAGACCACCUACGCACAGUCACACCACACACGGACAGUAGCUCAAGUUUUCUCACUCCCUCACCCCUCAGCUUGAUUUUUAUCAUUUAAUGUUACAGGGCAAUGAAAAAUAGAGGAAUCAAUUAAUGGAAAGAAGGAAAGAAAAAAUCCAGCAUCCUGACAUGUGUUCUGUUGCAAGUUGCUAAUCAGAUACCUAACUUGUGUAAUGCUUCAACCUUAGUUCUCAAAUCACUAAAUGGAGACUACAGAAACACUAACACUAAUGAUACUACUUCUCCAAAUGCCAUUGAAUUUUUCCUUGCAAAUCAAUGACGUUGAUUCAUACCAAUAAAAUGAUACAGUAGAAAUUGAGGUCUAUGGUUUGAUUUCUAUGAUAUCUGUGAUUUGAGAUCUCAGAAACUUAGAACUUUAAACAAAACACUGGUACAUAUGAUUCUAUGCUUUCAACUCUACCCUUCUCCUCAUCUUUAGUGAUAUUUUCUGAAAAGCUAACUGAAACUUUGAGCUGAAAAAUGAUUGUUUUAGUUCUGUCUUUUAUUUCCUAAAUUCAUUCUCUUCUUUUAAAAUCUAUCCUCUUUCCAGACAAAUACUAUCUAAUUUCACUCAUAAAUGGAAUUUAAGAAACAAAAGAGAUGAAAAAAAAAGAGAGAGGAAGGAAAACCAUAAGACACCCUUAAAUACAGAGAACAAACUGAAGCUGGCUAAAGGGGUGUUGAGUGGGGGGAUGGGCUUAAUGGAGGAUGGACAUUAAGGAGGGCACUUGGAGUGAGAACUGGGUCUUGUAUGUAAGUGAUGAAUCACUAAAUUUUAGUCCUAAAUCAAUAUUACACUAUAUGUUAACUAGCUAGAAUUUAAAUAAAAACUUGAAACAGACAAGAAAACAAAAAGACUUCUCACCCUUACAAAGAAACUGAUAAAUCUGCUUUCCUUUUUUUACAAAGAAGAGUUUCUGACCUUUAGCCUUAAUUUAUACUUCUAACACUGACGUUUAAAAGCAAAAUGGAACACUUUUGCUUAAAGAACAUGUAUUUCAAAGUUAAAAAAAUACAUUAGUACACUGUAUUGAUUUAAUAUUUGGAAGAUAUUAUAUUUUAAUAUUUUGUGAACAUUUAUGAAGCUUGCUCUACUGUUAACAUAUUCAAAAUAGCAUUUUGUUAGAACCCACAGAUCUGUACUUUAUGGGACAUAUUUGAAAAUACCCUCUAUCUUUUAUAACUGUUAGGUAAUUUUACUAAGCAAGCAUUUUUAUUCAAAUUCCAAAAAUGCAUUUUUCCUUUAAAGGUAGAGAAUCAGCAACAAUUUAGUUUAUUUUGCAAAGUUCUGUGAGCCCUCUGUAAAGGUUCCUUUCAAAGGCAGAGGGCUCACUAAAGGUGAUAAUCACUAAAGGUGAUAAUGAGUGCAUCCACAUGCAGAUAUGUCAAAAGAAAAAAAAACAUAAAAAAAUAUCUCUAGACUGAAAGGUAUUUCCUUUUCUAAUCUUAGAUGUGUUAUAAUUUUACAGAUCGUUUUCCCCACAGCAUCUUUUAUCUGGUAUCUUUUAUUUGGGAAAAAAAAAAGUCUGAUUCUAUCCAUUACAAAAAUCAAAUAGUUUAUAGUACUUGUCCUGCUUUUAGGAGAUUUACAAAUAUGAAAUAAUUUUUGUUUUCUACCACACAGAAAAUGUGUCUUUUUGAAGAAUCCUGGAAGUGUUUUACAAAUGCUACAUGACAAAUAAGAACAAAAAAAUGUGCUAAUAGAUAAAUAGUCCAAAACACCAAUUUGGGGUGUUACAGGAGUAUAUUCCUUUUGUAGAGGAAUCUGACAAGCCUUCCCCCAGAGGUAUAAGAAGGCAGAAAAAUGGAUGUUACACAAAGAAAAAUGAAGUCAGUUGGGAGCAGAGUAGAGAAAGUGAAGCAAGCCAAGAUAGGCCAUUAAGUCAAGGAAGAAAGAGUAUUAAGAUAAAUAUAUGUAAUAUUGAAUACUAAAAGUAGAAAACUUAUUUAAUUAUAAUACCAAUGUUUGAAAUUAAUUUUUCAUAGCAUUCAAUAUUUCAAAAUUUGUGAAGGAAAAAGCAUUAAUAUGUAUAUAAGGGAAUGAAUUAUUCAAAAUCUUUUGGAAUGAUCAGUUUUAUUCCACUAUAAAGGAAGCUCAGAAACUAGUUUAGUGAAAGGAAAGGACAGAGUUGUGCUUUGGGCCUUCUAUACACGUCUUGACAAAUAUACAAGUUAGUAUUUCUAUGAAUAUUUAUUUCUCAUAACUUCAGAAACCUUAUAUCCAUGGCAGAGACUUCAGAGUACUCAUAGCUUCUUAGAAGAGGUCUCUCAGUUGAGCUAAUAUGGAGGAUUUACCAGGACCCGGGCCCAUGACUUGAGCUGAGGUCAGAUGCUUAAUCGACUUAAGCCAUCCAGGCGCCCAUAUGAAUAUGUAUUUCAAUAGAUGUAUGCAUGUUAAUUCUCCAUGUUAGCUACAGAAGUUAUGAAUGAUCUGCUUAAAAUAGAUUGAUACAAUCAAAUAUGUUCUAACUUACAUAUUGAGGAUCAUUCUAAAUGCUAUUUUGGGAGAAAGAGUAAGAAUGGAACCUGUUACGGGGCAUCUGGGUGGCUCAGUCAGUUGAACGUCCAACUUUGGCUCAGGUCAUGAUCUCACUGUUCAUGAGUUCGAGCCCCGCAUCAGGCUCUCUGCUGACAGCUCAGAGCCUGGAGUCUGCUUUGGAUUUUGUCUCUCCUUCUCUCUUCUUCUCCUCCCCUGCUCACGCUCUCUCUCUUUCUCAAAAAUAAAAAAAAAAAUGAUAUAAAUAGAAUAUAAAUGGCUUUUAAAAUUAUGAGACCAUCCAAGAAGAAAGAACAGACAAGAAAGAGUUCUAAAGACCACGCUUGGGGCCUCCAGCCUCACACAGCUGGGCAGGACAAGAAGACCAGAUAGAGGCCUCAGUGCGUGGAGAAAAUCCGAGAGUAUAAGGCCCCACCAGCCAAAUGUAUACUAAAAAUUAAAAUAGAGUAAUCAGUUUGGUCAAAUACCAGCGAUGAGUCAAAGUAACAUGAAAGUCAAAGUAACAAAGUAACAUAACAUAAAAGCAGAACCAACUGUUGAAUCCAGCAACCUGGGAGACAUUUAAAAUUUGUCAUUUUUCCAUUAUAAAGUUAAUACAUGCUUGAGAAAGACUAGCUGAAUACAUUAGAAAAAUUUCAAGAAGACCUCAGGGAAGGGGGCGGGAAAUACAUCUUUGGGUGGCCCUGCCACCAAAAGCAACUGGUUUAACAUCUUACAAGAGACAAGGGAAGACGCACAUAGACAACUCUUUGCAGGGAUAUUACUGAAGAGGAACAGAAAUGAUGCAAAAGUUUAUGGCCAAUUUUUGCAGAGUCAUUUUCAGUUUGUUUCUCUUAAGAUUGUGAAAACAAUAGUAUGCUGCCAUGCAGACGAGAAUGAUUGAUUAGAGGGAAAGUUGAUGAGUUAGGAGAGAAAGUGGAACAGUGAUAGAAGGAUACAGUGGAGCAGGUUAGAGUAGGAGGAACCUGUUAAGCAGGAGCAUGGAGAAUUCACCGAUGUUAAUGGGCAAAAAGGCAGAGAAUAGCUAACAGGAAGGUGGAUGUGUUGUUGGGAGCUUUGGGAAGUUGAUUUCUGGUUGUUUUUUAGGCUCUCACUAAAAUAUUCAUCAAUAUCAUCAGCUGAAAGUGAGACUGAGGAGAGUUAUUUUGGGUUUGAGCUUUGUGGCCACAAUUUGAAGUUGGUACAAUGCACCUAGUUGAGAGAUUUUACCCAGCUAUUUUCUGCUACCCAUAUCAUUUAUAUUUUCACAAACAAUGUUGUCAUGUCUUUUCAGAAUUGCUUUUCAAAAUGAACUGUUAAAAUGAAUCUUCACCUACUCUCUUUCACUUUAUCCUUUGAACUGAUUUUGUAAUGCCUAUAGUUCAGUUAUAUAUAUUUUUGAGGUUAACAAUCAGAGCAGCAUUUAGUUCUUUCAAAUUUUGUAAAACAAGGUAGGAAUUCAGUAGAUUGCUAGAAAAUAUCCAGAAAAGGAAUGCCACGCAUGCCGAGUAUUUAUCCAUUUACUCCUUAAUUCAGUGUUUCUAUGUGUGUGUGUGAAAGGGAUGUAUGUAAGAAGUGUAUGACACUCAUAUGUAAUGGAAUAUUUCCAUUGGCACACAAUUUUAACCUAUUUAUCUAUAUAAUCUUAUAAGGCAGAAUCAUUCUAGAAGCCAAUGAAUUCCUACUUAGGCUGGAAGUAUACUGACCUCUGGAGUAGAGGUGAGGCAUAAUAUUCCUCUAGUGGAAAACAAUAGCGAGGUAGUCUUCAUUUACUCCUGUAAGCUCCUAAUUGCCCCAAAUUCAAUCAAGGAGAACUCCUUCAAAGCAUAUGAUAUUAAAUAGAAACUAAGUUCAUGGGGCAUGAGAACAAGUGAUCAUUUGCUAUUCAUUUAUUGACUUGCUCUUAACUUUGACAAAAAUUAAAUUUAGAAGUUAUAAUUUUCCUCCUUUGAAAUACUGAGGUAUUUUGAGCAAAAUAUGGUCACAACUUACAUUUUUUGCCAAGUGUUAAUAUUUAUUUUAUCCAAGGGAGUUUUCUUAGCCAAUAUUUAAAGAGCACAUAUGGUCUUUUUCUGUGGAAAAUAUUUAAUAUAUGUUUUUAGAAAUUUGAACAUAAUAACAAUAAAAGGCAUCGAUCAAUCGUGUAUUUCCAUGUGCUCUGACACAAAAAAGAAAACAAAAUACAGGAGUUUUAUUUUCUUAGAUUUUACCCAGCAGUUGUGAACUCCAUAUUACAUUUAAUUUUGGAAUUUUUGUUUUACCAUUUUGAUUCAUUAAUUUUCUUAGUUGUUUGGAUGUUCUUACCUCAUUUCUUCAUUCAAAAAAAGUAAUUAUAAUAUUGUUUUUAGUUGCCAAGAUAAGCUAAGAUUAACCACUACUUUUUAAUACUUAAGUUAUUAAAUAUAUAAAAUGCAUUCACUCAUUAUAAAUAUCUAGGUUGCAGAUAGUGUAUAUAUAAAACCAAAUAUUUCAAGUUAUCAAAGUUAAACUUUAAUAAAAUACAAAUUAGAAUUACAAGGUUUUCUACAGUUUUUGCCAGUUUUUUUGUUUAUCUUUUCAUUUUUAAACAUGACAUUUUAUUUAUCUCCAGAUGUGAAGAACUGGGGACCUUAUUGAAUAGCAUCAACAUAUUUAAUAUUUAUUUUUGAGGGAGGAAGGGAGAGAGAGAGAGAAAGAGAGAGAGAGAAAUUGCGCAUGAGUGGGGAGGACCUGAGAGAGAGAGGGGGACAAAGGAUCUGAAGCAGGCUCUGUGCUGACAGUGCAGGGGGCAGAGGGCUCAGACUCAGGAACCAGGAGAUCAUAACCUGAGCCAAAGUCUGAGCUUAACUGAUUGAGCCACCCAGGUGCCCUAAUAGUGUCAUCAUUUUUAGUCUAGUCUCACUUCAUCAAAUUUCGUUGAUAACAGUGGAAAGAAAGAUAAUUCAACUUAGAAGCACAAGACCUACAAAGAUUAAUAUGAGAGCAUUUUCAAAGAAGUAUAUCAUAUGCAUAAGAAAAUAGAAAAGAGUUAGGGCCUCUCCAAAGUCCUCUGCAUAAAAGAUUCCCUAUUUUGGAAUCUUACCUCCUUGAUUCAAAUGGACCAGAAAUUCCAUGAAAUUUUUUAGGAUCUUAAACAUGUUUCUUUGUAAUAAAUGAGUAUUUCUAUUAAGUCAGUGCAUUACUUCAGGAACGUAAAUGUAAGAGGGCUUAAGUGUUUAAGGAAAACACAUGUAAAUAAAUUUUAUAUAUGUGCACUCUGGGAAAAAGUUUAUAGCAAGUAAUAAUGGCAGAAAGUAGUUAGGAAUAAAUGUGAUACUCAAUCAUGCAUAACAGAUUGUAAAAUUCUCUCAGCAAGACUCUAUGCCUCAUUCUGCAUUCUGCUUACCAUAUCCUGAAUGCUUUUUUUGAUCACUUCUUUCUACAUAAGAUCAUAUUGGGACAAAUGCUAGAAUCCUUAGAGACAGCCUAAAAUGGAUUAAGAGAGGAAAAAAGGAAAGAAAGAAAGAAAGAAAGAGCUCACACAUUGUUUGUAUUAAUAAAUAAAGGCUGGUAACUGAUGAGAUUACCAUUUAAAUAUAUUACAUUAUUAUUUCAAUAAUUUAACAUAAAUACUAUAAAAUCUUAUUUAAAUUCCAUUCAUUUUCACAAACAAUAUAAAAAUCAUCAUUUUGCUCUUCACUGUUACAAAAUCUAUAAGGAAAGAUUAUUUUCAUAGAGUGUCUGAAUAUGUAUUUAUUGAUAAAAAUAAAUAGAAACAAAAUAUUGUGAACAAGAUCAUGUAACCUAGUUUGAGCAUUGGCUUCUUAGACAUUUUAAUUUGACAUCCUAAGUAUAAAUUUAUUUUUUAAGAUUUAUUUAUUUAUUUAUUUAUUUUGAGAGAGAGAGAAAGAGAGAGGGCUGGGGGCCAAGAGAGAGGGAAGAGAAAGGAUCCCAAGCAGGUUCCACACUGAGGGGCUCACACUCACAACAUGACCUGAGCCAAAACUAACAGCCCAACGCUUAAUGGACUCAGCCACCCAGGCACCCCAAUAUCCUAAGUAUAAAUUUAAAUAGAAAAGAUAUCAAUAGUUUAAUGUAUACAGUAGAAGUCAUAUUUGAAAAAAUAAAAUAUUAAAAGAUUGUUAUCCUGUGCAUUUUCAUGACAUGACCUUCUCCCUAGUCAGCCCAGACACAUCUGCUUCAAAGUGAUUAAAACGUUAGAAUAGGAGUAUAAAAGGAAAAUAAAACACCAAUAUUCAGGUUAUAUUAUAAAUAAGAAUUUUCACGAAGAUAUUAGGUUUGCAAGUCAAGAAUUGAGGAGGAAGAAAUUAGUUUUUAACUUUUUUUACCUCCCAUUUUAACCAAUCGAGAUUCAAGUUCUGUGAGCCAGACAGCAGAAGGAAGUCUCAGGCUGGCAGGAGUAAAUUAGCAGACACUCUGAAUCUGGAUUAUUACAGGGAAAGUACGAGGCAAAGAAGCUGUCAGGUAGAUGUCUUCAUUUCUUCUCUCUGGGUUUGGCCUUCAGGAGUGAAUGUAUCAAUUAGUUUGAUCAGGUGAGGACAAGGACCUCUUGUCCAGUUCUCCAUUUGGGACACUUGGAAAAUACUGCCAUGCCCAACACUGUGCCAGCUUGAGGUGCAGCAUUUUGGUUCCGAACAUGGAGAAAAAAAAAAGCCAUAAGGAAAAAGAGUCUGGAAUCAACUCAUAUGCUUAUGUUGGUCUCCACAUAGCAAGACCCUUCUGUGGUGGAAUGGAGUGACUGGACCAAGGAUCCAGAUAGAAACACUGCCAGAGUCCGCACCACACAAUAAGAGCUGAGUAAGUAGGGAGCCAUUGAUCAAGCCGGGAAAAUUUUCAAUUUGUGUUCAUCAGCCCCAGAUGUCAGCAACAAAUACCAGCUGAAGAUCCUGAAAAAGACCAAGCCAAACAAAUACUGCAGCAGACACAGAACACCCACUCUGCAGCAGACUGAAAACCAGUAAGUAACUGAUCGAUGGAUUCAAAGACUCUCCCUUUUUCCUCUGUGUGUUUACAAAGGUCCCCAACUGGCUCUGUCCCUGAGCUCAAUUUAAUGCCAUCCUUAAGAAUAUCGAGUGCAUGGGGAAAGUGGAAAUACCAGUCAAUAUCUCAUUUUCCAAGGACUACUUUCUUAGAGGACUGUUAAAAUUAUUGGAUUGGAUUAAGUUUUAAAGCAAAUUGGACUAAAUGUAGCUUUUUAUUUUCAAGUAAUCAUAAAAGAAGUCAGAGCAAUUACAGACCAAAUAAAACAAAGAAACUACUUUUUUUUUUUUUCUCUUCUGAUUAUAAUGUGAGCAACAGUGGCAUCUCUGGGACACAGAUAUCAAAUGAGCAUAAAAAGGUAUUGAUAUUGCAGAGGUUAAAGAUUAAAAAUACUCUAUAGGAACCAGAAAGGAGAACUAGAGAGUAACAAUUAUCAAGUUUUUUGGCCAAACUAAAUCCUGUUUUAAGUAUUUUACAUACAUACAUUUUUUUUUUCUUUACCCGGUUACCUUUACUCAGUUUUACAACUGAGGCUAAAAGAGUUUAAGUGACAUACUUGGUCUCAAGCUUCAAAAUAUUGACCUCGAUAUUCUUCUUUAUAUACUAGUCUGCUAAGGGAUUAUGUGGUGUCAAUCAAACACUUUAUUUAUAUUCAUAUUUUAGUUGCUAUAUUAUAUCGUUAUUUAAAUAACUGUAUAUAUAGGGCCACCUGGGUGGCUCAGUCGGUUAAGUGUCCAACUUCAGCUCAGGUCAUGAUCUCAGUGCUGGUGGGUUCAAGCCCCGCGUCCGGCUCUGUGCUGACAGCUGGGAGCCUGGAGCCUGCUUCAGAUUCUGUCUCCAUCUCUCUGCCCCUCCCCUAUUCAUGCUCUGUGUCUCCCUUUCUCUCUAACAAAUAUGAAAUAAAAAAUAAAAGAAAAUAAAAAAAAUAACUGAAUAUAUAAUUCAAGGUGUAGGAUUCAGUUAUUUAUAGAAUCUUCUUCUAUAAAAAAGUAUACAAUUGGAAUGAAGUAUCUCUGCCUAUUAUGGGAUUCAAAUAAGUAGAUGCGUACAGGCAUGAGAAGUUGAGAUUGUAAUUUGUUAGGAAAUGUGAGUUGUAAUUAUUUUAAACCUAAACAACUAUAAAACUAACUUUCAUAAAAUUAUGUGAAAACAAAAAACACAUUUAUCUCUCCCCGAAGUUAUAAGAUAACUAUAUUGGAGGUUAGAGAGAUGAACCAAUUUAUUUGGGAGAACUUCAGUUCCCUGCAGUAUUAGGGAAAUAAUACAAUAAGCACACCAAACUUGCAGUAGCAUAAAUUUAAGCUACAUGAUGAAAAUGAAAAUAAUUCCUAUUGACUUUUAUCAAUCUUAAUCAAAUAUUUAAGACUGGUGCCUCAGUCGGUUAAGUGUAUGACUCUCUUAAUUUAAUGUUUAUUUAUUUAUGAGAGAGAGAGACAGGAAGGAAGAGGCAGAUGGAGAGGAAGAGAGAGAAUCCCAAGCAGGCUCCACACUUUCAAGCACAGAGCCUGAUGAGCUGUGAGAUCAUGACCCGAGCUGAAAGCUUAACCAACUGAACCACCCAGGCUCCCGCAUCCAACUUUUGAUUUCAGCUCAGGUCAUCAUCUCACGUCAGGUUCUGUGCUGACAGCAUGGAGUCUACUUAGGAUUUUUUUCUGUCUCAGGGCCUCUCUGUUCUUCCCCUGCACCCCCUCUUUCUCUCAAAAUAAAUAAAUGAACUUUAAAAAAAGAGAAUAUUUAAGACCUCACAAAACAGCUUUUGAUAUACUCUUCAUUCACUGAAUCCUAUCCUAUCAGUAAAAGGUUUCCUUAAGUGGCCAUCCCAAAGUUAUCUAUUGCACAUGCACACACAUACUUUCAAAAUAGUAAUCAACAAGUAAAAGUGUUUUAUUAUGAUCAUAAUUGCAACUGUAGCUGGCAUACAUAGGUUUAGGAACAAACACAAAUUACUUGUUAAGCCUUUAACUAAAUUUAUGGAAGUAGAAGUACUCAGGCAAAUUUUAAACUGGCUACAAAGCAUUCAGAGUGAAAUGGUCAAAGGUCAAUGCUUUUCCGGGAAAAGUUAAUCAUUUUGGUUAAGAGUGUCUCCUAUAGCUUUCUAUUAGUUUUUAUUAUAUUCAGUGCAUAUAAUAAGCUACUGUUAUUGAUAUCUUUCAUAUUCAGAAGGUAAGGUACAAACCGAAUUAUUAUAGAGUAUGUAAAAACUGUCUUAUAAAUAGUUAAUAGAAGACGGUGUUGAGAUUUUUCAAAGUUAGGGCUUUUGGAAGUUAAAUCAUCUGAAAAAAAUUGAAAUAUAUUGUGAAAAUUAUUAGUUUUUAGAAGAAUGCAUGUUUAGUAAAAUAACUAGAAGAAACAAGAUAAUAUUAGAAAAAAAACCUACUAGCUAUGUUAGAAAAGUAACUUGUAGUUAGUUCACAAAGAUUAUUUUCCAAUGUCAGGAAUAUAUAUAUCUACAUAUAUAUAAAAUAUAUAUAUAAUUCUUUUGUAAAAGAACCUGAUUCCGAGUGAAAGAGAUUAUAUAGGAAAAUAUAUUGUUUCUAUUCUAACUUUAACUCUAAGUAAGUAAAAAGUCAAAUGUAAAGUUUUUGGAUUGAGACUUUGGAAACUGAGUUCAAGUUCUGAUUUAGUCACUGAGUAGCCCUGAGUAAACAACUUAACCUUUCUGUGCCAUGCUCAGCAAAACAAAAGUGUUUCGUAAGAUCAUCAUCAAAGUUGCUUCCAACAUUAAACAUCUAUGACUCUAGGACUUCCAAAAGUCUGGAAAAAAUGUAAAAAUUCAGCCUAAUGAUUUAACAGUGAAAGCAAAUAUAUAAGAUAAUGAUUUUACUAAAGAAGAUUUCUAUGACUUCUGUAGUUUGCUUAUGGCAGAGGGUGUGGGUUAAUGGUGAAUCAGCAACAUUUAAUUUAAUCCUCUCAGACAAACAUGGGUAACAAAGUGCCAAAUAAUUUCCCCGUCUCAUUUACUGAAAUUUUGUCCAGAUGCACAGUUUCAUCCAGAUGUACAGAACAGACAGUUCAGUUCUGGCUGUGCAGAGAGCAGUUGGUGACGAGAAUGGCACAGGCCCUGUAGCCCAAUCCUGCACAGAACAGCUUGGAACACUGCGUGUGCGUUGAGUCUUCCCCUUUGCGGUAGGCAUGCUCCCAUUUAAUAUUUCAACGGAACAGAAACUGAAACUUUCUCUCCCACAACACACACACAUACACACACACACACACACACACACACACACACACACGCAACUUUGCUUUCCCUGAUUCAGAUUCUUCUGAAAUAUUUUGGGCCAAUUCAGCUGAACAUUAAGAAUCAUUCCAUUAUCAUCAUCAGAAAUUAGAUAAAUGUCACUCUUGUAAACGACCAAAGAAUGAAUUAAAGACAUUUGUGUUCAUUAUUAUUACAUCAAGCAAGACAUAAUAGUUUUGUUCUCUGUAUUCUUUAGUCAUUUAUUGAGAAUUUACUGCAGUCGAUAGUCUGUUGUAUGCCUGUAGGGAAGAAGACCGAGGGAGAGAUGGCCCCUACCAGCAGAGAGUACCCUACUCAUGCAUUACAUAACAUGUAUUAGUAACACACAUGCAUUCAUAACAAAAAAGUACUUAGUAAAGUAGUAGUUAAGAUGGAAGUGAAAGAAAACCUGAACCUAAUUAAAGGUAAGCACACACAAAAAAAGGAAUUUAGAGUUUCACAAAUUCAAAGCAUCCAGGGACAUUGGACUUCAGGUAUGAUUUGGUUCAAGGCUCAAGCAAUGGGACCUGGACUUGGGUUUUCUCACUCUGUUUCUCUGUUUCUGGCUUUUUGGAUACUGGUUCUGAUCUCAUCCCUCAGUAUAAGAUAGUUGUCAAUAAAUCCCAGGGAGUAGAAGAGUUCCUGCCCCUUACUGCAAAACAAGUACCCAUGGACUGACUCUCAGUUGCCCAAAUUUAAAUAUGCCCAUAUUGGAGUAAACAAUUGUGUAGCUGAUUAAUUCAAUACCAAACAAAUGAUUAAAAUUGAGAGAGAGAGAUAUGCCAAAGGAAAUUUCUGGAAUUCCUAUACAAGGAAAAUUGAUGUUGAGUGAUGGCAAAAAAAAAAAAAAAAAAAAAAAUCCAAAUGCCCCAUUUAAGGAGCAGAGUAAGAGAUAAGGCCCUCGAUCUAAAUCAGAUUGUCUAGAGUUAAAUGUGCUCCAAACUAAGAAAUAUUUUAAUCUUGAUAACCUUCUUUUCUCAUGAGUUGAAUGAUGAUAAAAACAGUAUCACUAGCCUAAAAUCAUUUGAGGAUUUUAUAACAAUCUCUGGUAAGAGUUAUCACAGACUUGGUAUUUAGUAAGCAGUUCAUAAAAGUAAACUAUAAUUAUUCAUUUCAUUUUCUAACUGCUUCCUUUUCAACAGAGUAAAUUCUGUCCUUUAUUGCCUUCAAUGAUAACUUAAAUUCAUCUAUUGAAUUUUAAUUCCCUUAUCAUUUCUCCUUAUCACAAACACCCCUAUUGUCACCUAAUUUUGAGAUCUCUUUAUCUUACUCUUGCAUCUCAACCUUAGCCUGCAUUUCUUAUGACUGCUACAUCAUAUUUCAUAGAGUUUAUAGCUGCUCAGACUAGAUUAUGCAACAUUAAAAAUCAAUCCUAAAAUACUGAUGGCUUUCAACAAUAAAUGUUUAAAUUCACAUUGUACGAUCACUUGGCUUUGCUUGGAUCUGAAUACUCUUCACAGUGGGAAACUGCUGGCUUGCAGUCAAGGAAAAACAGAAAGGUGAAGUUAGGAAAUAUCUUUCAAAGUUUCUUUCCAGAAGUGGCAUCCAUCACUGUUCAUGUUUCAUUAGCUAAAACAAAGCAUGGUUAAGGCUGAUGUCAACAGAGCAGGAAUAUAUAAUCCUUCUAUACAGAAUAGAGUUAAUAUUUUGAUAAUAAAAUAUGAAAUCUGACACAGCAAGCAAGCUUUUUUUUUUCCUUCUUUCUCUCACCACCUGAGAAUCAUUUAGGGGUAUUUUUCAAUCUAAAUUUCACCCACAAUACCUACUUUAUUAAGGUUCAGUUUGUGUGUUGGUUCACCAACUGGCCCUGUACACAGAGGUCAAGGAGAGAAUGAAGACAGAGACAGGACACUCUAGAUUGAUAGGUGGCAGUUUUAGUAAGCGAGGACACUUACUUAUGAGGCUUAUCUUGAAUGGCCACAAGGUAAGUAGAUCUCCACAUCUACUCACCAGAAUCUUACAAAUUUAUAUAGAAGACUAAUUGGGUUAAGUCACAUAUACCAUCCAGAUGGCCUCAACACCUUACUCUCUCAAGACUAUAUCCUUGGAACAGCUCCCACUGUGGUAAAAGUAAGCAAAAUGUACAUUCCAAGAAUAGAGGAGGGGGUGAGGAACCUUUGAUUGCCUGGGUCUAGCUGUAGGUGAACAGGUGGUCACCUUUUCUGAUGACUUCCUCCUCCUCCUUUAGUAGGUUUGAUGAGAUCAAAACUAUUUUCAUAAUAUUCUAUGACAUGAACUACCUAUUUCACUGUGUUGACAUUUGUGCUAAUUGUCUAAAAGCAAUGGUGGAUAAAAUGCCCAGUGCUUUAUUACCAAUCAAGGCAGUGGAAUCAAAAUAUUCUAUAUAUUAAUUCUUUUAUUCUUCAUUACCACUCUUUUUUUUUAAUAUUUAUUUAUUAAAGGAGGAGCACAGAGCCUGAAGUCUUGAACUGAGAUCAUCAGCUGAGUCAAAAUCAAGAGUUGGACACCUAACUGAUGAGCUACACAGGCACCCCACUACUCUAAUUCUUUUUAAAUCAAAUUACACUUUAAUAUACCCAUAAUGAAGUAGUAAAUAUUAGUAGUUCUAUUUAUUUAAUUAAUUUUUUUAUUUCAUUUUCUUGAAGUUCUUCAUCUGAACUUGAGCACACAUCUAUGUAAUAUUUUUUGGGAUGAAAUGGAAAGUUCACACAAGCAUUUCUGCACAUUGAAGUAUGAUGGCCUUCUUGAGGAAAAGCAUUUGCACAGUUGAGUUGUGAGCUGAGCUAGCUGUUUUUUUCUUUUUCUUUUUCUUUUUUUUUCUUUUUCUUUUUCUUUUUUUUUUUCUUUUUUUCUUUAGUAGAAUCACCAUUUUUACUUGAACAAAUAGCAGAAAAACAAUGGUUAUUGAGAUUUGCUUAUUUGGCAGACAUUUUCUCAGAAAUGAAUGAAACAGGACUAUAAUGUUAAUCAACUGACAACCAAUGGCAAAAUGUAAGCUUUAAAUGAAAACUCAAGGUUUUGGAAGACUCCCAUAUAUUAUCGUAAGCUUGACAGCAUCCCAAUAGUUCAACUUAUCUGAUGAGGUUGAUAGUGAUAUUAAUAAACAUGAGUUUCAGAUGGUGAAUAACAAAAUGUGUAAAUAUCUAAGGAUCUCCUCAGCUUGGUAGACCAAUGUUUUACAGGUAACAUGUUUCAUACAUGGGUAAAAGAUCCAUUCAAAGGGCAAGAUAGACCAAUGGGAUUUAAAUGUGACGGUACUAAAAUAUAAUAUAUUUUCAGGUUCUACAUUACAAAUGACUAUUAAGAAAUUACUUGUUGGGGGAGUGUCUGAGUGACUCGGUUGAGAGUCUGACUCUUGAUUUCGGCUCAGAUAAAUGAUCUCACGGUUCCUGAGAUCAAGCAGUGCAUAGGGCUCUGAGUUGACAGUGUGGAGCCUGCUUGGGAUUCUCUCCCACCCUCUCUCUCUGCUCCUCCCUUGCUCAUGCUGUCUCCCUCAAAAUAAAUAAAUAGACUUUAAAAAAUUACUUAUUAAGUUGUUAAUACCUAAGAAAAUAUCCACAAUUAUCUGAAAUGGCUAUUACAAUUCUCUUACUUUUUUUCAGUUAUGUAACUAUCUUCCUUUCGUCCUUCCUUCUUACCCUUUCCCCUUUUUCCUUCCUUCCUUCCUUCCUUCCUUCCUUCCUUCCUUCCUUCCUUCCAGUCUCUCCCUCUCAACUCCCCCUUCUUUUCUUUCUUUCUUUCUUUCUUUACUUCUUUCUUUCUUUCUUUCUUUCUUUCUUUCUUUCUUUCUUUCUUCCCUCGCUUCCUUCCUUCCUUCUUUCUUUCAGUGUUUAAAUUGAGCAACUAAAGAUGUAUAAAUAAUUAUUGCUGACUUAAAAAAAUAAUUUAGGGGUAAUCAGGUAUAUUAUUUUGUGUCUAUUACACAUUUAUUCCAUAUAUAAUGAUAAAUCUAUUUUGUAUAUUAUUUUUAUUUUGCAUUUUAAAUAAUGUUAAAAAAUGAAAGAGACUUUUAUAAUGAAAAAUACACUAAAGAAUCUGAGUACAGUUGUGGACUUGACAAAUAAGCUGAAGACUCAAAGAUUAUUUGAGGCCUGUCAAUAUGUGUCAAAAUACUAGUUGGGUUUGAUCCUGUGAAAGUUUAAACACUAGAAUUGUAGAAACCCAGUACAAGAAGGGACCCAAGUGGAGACUUGUUUCUCUUUUGUCCCUUUAUGACUAAGGAGUUUGACUGAGGAUGUUUGGGUAACUCAUUUGAGAUUACACAAAUGGUAUCAGAGUGAGGACUAGAAAGUAGUGUUCUGACAUCAAUCCAAAGCUAAUUCAUUUCCAGUCCAGCAUAGGCCUUCCUAGAAGUUAUUCAUUACACUAUGCUUCCCACUACUUUCAAGCACCCCAAAUACUUUGUAUGUAGACUUUGAUAUCUUAUCGCAGUGAUUUUGUCUGACAAACACUGGAUCAGCACUGGUAGUGUUGUCAUCUUUAGAUACGAGGGUUAUCCAACUAUUUGUAUUGGAAUGUAGUACUAUUUUGUUACUAUCUAAAAGAACAGAAUUAAAAAAAAAAACAGGACAAAAACACUACAACUAGUAAUUGAAAUCAUUGGCUCAUAAAAUUAAUCAAUUUGAAGUAAGGAAAAUUGCGCUUUUCAAUCUGCAGCAUCAGUGUUCACUCUGUUCAAAAGGUAUUCAACGAAUUCUUGUGAAAAUGAAUUGAACAAAAGUGAAUUGAACUGAAUUGAGAAGUGAGCUGCCCACACUGGAAAUUGUGGUAACUCUAUGAGGUCAUUAGGAGGAGUUGCAAUUCAGAACAUUGAAUUAUUUCUAAGAAACUACAAAUGCUGACAUUUUUCCAACCCUGAGUUCUAUUUGAGUGCUGAAAUUUAAACCCAUGUUGUACUUAGCAUUCCAGAAGAAGAGGAGAAUAUCCCAGUAUCAACUUUUUUUUUUAUUUCACUAGGUUAGGUAAAAAGAUACUCUUUAUUUUGAAUAAAAAUAUUUGGUGCUGAGGGGCCACAGUAGGUUUAUUGCGGGAAGGAGGUGAGAAUAAGGGGUGCGGAUAGUCUGGGAAGGACCUUGAGAAUGUCCUCACCAUCCAAGAAAGACAACUAUCUUUCUUUUUACAAUAUUCUCCGGAGAUGGGAAAAACCUAUCUUGGUCUGAAUUCCCUAUAAACAAAGAAACAAACAAAACCCUGCCUGCUGUUAAUCUUAAAAUGUUUUACACAACACAGAUGGUGGUAAUGAAAGAUGCAGUUGAAUGCUUCUCUAUUAUUGAAAAGUUUUAAACUGUGUAAUUGCUGUACUAUUUCAUUUCAACCAUUUCUGUCACUUUAACAAUAUUUCUAAGACAAACAAAGAAAUGUCUAUAAUAAAUUAUUGCAGGAGUAUACUUGGUUUUCUCAAGUACAAAUCUGAUGCGAAUGGAACUUUAAUGAUUCUGACUCUGUCUAUUCAGUCGUACAUGGAACCAUUAGAUCAACAAAGCCAGCUGUUUUUAAGUUCCAUUAGGAGCCAGUAUUAAAAUAAAAGUAAAUAUUAAGUCUGAACCUAAUUCUAUUUUACAAAUAUUGUCGUUGAUUUUUAAAAAUACUUUUCCUGAUUUAUCUUUUCAAUUUUAACUUCUUCAACUUGAAUGUAAAAUAUUUUUUCCUUGUCACUUUGUGUGUCAAAUAGUAUGUGUUUCUCCCUGGAACUAAGAUUCUUUGGGCUACCCUCACUACUUCAGCCACUACUUCCUACCUCCAAGGACUCCAAAAUAUCUUAAAGAAGUAUUAUGGUAGGCCUAUAGAGUGAUUUUCUAUUAAUUUAUUCAAGUAUUUUAUAAAAGUUCUAUAUGAAGUUUUGCUACUUCAGUAGCAUCCUCAGAAUUUGGGGAUGCUCCAAAACAUUUGGGUGGAUGGAGAUUUACACUCCUAUCGUAUCAGAUUUCAAAACCAGAAAGUCAAAAGUCAGCUUAUAUUCAACAAAAAUGCAGAGAAUGUGGAAGGCGUGUAUACUUAGAACUUACUAUUUGCCACAUAUUUCAUACAUAUGAACUCGUAUGAUAUCUCACUGAUAUCAUGAUAUCAGUGUUAACACCAUUUCACUUUAAAAUUCUACACCUUCGCGGGGGGCAGGGGGGGGGGACGGGUUGCGCCUGGGUGGCUCAGUCCAUUAAACAUCCAACUUCGUCUCGGGUCAUGAUCUCACAGUUUGUGGGUUUGAGCCCUGCAUGGGGCUCUGUGCUGACAGCUGGGAGCCUGAAUCCUGCUUCAGAUUCUGUAUCUCCCUCUGUCUCUGCCCUUCCCCUGCUAGUUAGUUCUCUCUCUCUUAAAAAUAAAUAAACAUUUAUAAAUUUUUUUAACGUUUAUUUAUUUGUGAGACAGAGAGAGACAGAGCAUGAAUGGGGGAGGGGCAGAGAGAGAGGGAGACACAGAAUCGGAAGCAGGCUCCAGGCUCCGAGCCAUCAGCCCAGAACCAGACACGGGGCUCGAACUCACGGACCACGAGAUGGUGACCUGAGCGAAGUCGGACGCUCAACCGACUGAGCCACCCAGGCGCCCCAAAAAUAAACAUUUAAAAAAUAAUAAAAAUAAUAAAAUUCUAUACUUUGGGAAAGUUAAGUAAUAUCUUCAAAGUCUCCCUGUUAUUAAUCAACAAAGCUAAUAUUCAAAUGAUUUUUUAUCUUCUAUUCAUGAUCUGUAUUGUUUUCUCUACUAUGCUCAUUUCUCUGUUGACUUUAUAGUCUCCAAAGAGUCUCUUAGCUCAUUAGAUUUGGUAGCCACCUGUUUACCAGCAGUAGUGAGGUCCCUACUAAGUGUUCAAAUGGAUCGAAAAGCAAAUGACUAUAGUUUUCUCUAAGAACCUUCUGACUUCUUCCUUUUCUAGCCCUGGUCUCUGAAGACUGCAAAUGCCCUUUAUAUAUCAUUUACUCAUAGACCAUCUUCUGACCUAACCUAUCCAGUUUAGCCCUUUAAUUAGGAAUUUUUACUUCAACCCCAUUGUUUUAGCAACCUUCAAACUUUUUGUUCACAUAAAGGCAAUGCAGGAAAAAAUUUUUUUUUCCAUUAAUAUUUAGAAGGCUUAAAAUUAAAUUUCCUCAUAAACACCUAGGAAAAUUAGUCUAGGCCAAAAAAAAAAAAUGGUUGGCAUUUGAUGCAUUUGAAAUUGAAAUUAAUUUAUUUGCAACUUGAGCCUGAGGAGAUUUUUAUCUUUUUGUGGUAGGAGCCAUAUAUGUGAUCAAGCUGACAGAAAGAAAUAAUGCGAGGCAACAAAAGUAGUGGCUUAGUUAAGCAGCUGACUUUGGCUCAGGUCAUGAUCUCGCUGCUCGUGAGUUCAAGCCCUCGCAGUCUCUCUGCUGUUAGUGCAGAGUCCACUUCAAAUCCUCUGUCCCCCUCUCUCCCCUCUCUCUUUCUCUCUCUCUCUGAAAAAAUAAACAACACAAAAAAUUUAAAAAGAAAAAGAAAUCUAAGUGUCCAAAAAUGUACAAUUAGCCCAUCCUGCAUUCUCCAGAAUAUCUUGAUAUAGAGCACGCAAAUCAACAAAUGAUCAAUUACAAAAAUUAAUUCCAAGGCACCUAUCUAUAAUCAACAGCAAUUUCUUGGCAGCUCUAAAAUGUCCUAAUUUUCUGAAAACUUGUAACUAUUUCUAUGAGCUUUGUUCCACUAACCCUUUAAAAAAUAUUUUAAGCUCCUAACUGCUUGUAUUAAAUACCUUCCUGCUUAAAUUACGUAUAAUACUUUCUGUUUCUCUGGACAGACCCUGACUGUUAAAAUCUGCUUGGCUUUCUUAUAAUUAAAACCACCUACUAAAUCACCACUUCACAGGUAUAUAUUUAAUGUGAUUACAUAAUCAUAUUCUCUAAUAAAAGAAUGGCAAAUUGUAGUGAGCAGACAGGCUGAAAAAAAUAGACCAGCCGAUUUUUUUUUUAUCAUUAUUGUUGUUUAUCAUCAUCUACAUUAAAGAGCUAUUUUCAAGCCCAAAUAGCAGGACACCAAAAUGGAUUAUAACUCCCAAGAUUUUAAUUUCUACUGCCUUAAUGUUAUUAUAAAAUGCCUCUGGAUUACUAAAAUGCUGUACAUAUCAAUUAAAACAAAAAACAGAAUUAAUGUUACUAACUAAAUUCAUCUAAAAGCAGUUAAUAACAUAUAGUCAUCAAUUCCUUACGAAGUAGGAUUAUUUCUAUAUGCUGGUAAGAUCAAAUUAUAUUGUUAAUUGCUUUAAGACAUACUUCUAAAAUCAUGGUUUAAAAUUUGGACAUUCUUUAAACCAAAUAAUAUUGACUACUAUAAUAGACAAAGAUGCAUCUUAAUUGCCUUCCAAAUAUUAUCCAAAAUAGAAAUAUUAUAAAAUCCUCUUUUUCACUGCUUUAUCAAACAUAUUCAAUAUAUAAUUGGAUUUUUCCCUCUGAAUAUUUCUUGAGGUAUUCUCACAACAUCUUUUAAUGUCACUCUCAACAGUCUCUUUCUUUACUAUCUUCCAUCCACAACCACAAGCAGAGUGAUUUUUCUAGUCAAACAAGAUUAUUUUACUCUUUUCUUCUAAAAAAAAAAUCAUUUCUAAGCUAGAGUUAAAAUUGCCAGGAUCAUAGACCUUCUGCAAGGCACAUGUCAGCUGUGCAUACAAAAGAGGCAUAGAAUAUUUUCAACAUGACAGAAGAUGGAUGAGUGCUGAGUAUAUGACAGGAAUUUCCAUCUCCUUUAAAUGCAUAAUAUGAACAUAACUGGCAUAUUUGUGAAAUAUUUACCUAGUCUGAGUUCCACUUUCUUUGGUCAGGAUGUAUUUUUCUCUACCUCUUUAUAUAUAGGGAGACACAGAGAGAGCCCCAUUAAAGAUAAUAUCAGAGCAUAUCUGAGUCAUAAUUACCCCAGCACUGCAUCAGAAUUCAACUGACUACAUAAUGAAAUCAGUGUAUGUUUUCAUGUGGAAAGAGGCAUGGAGAACAGUGCCCCACCACGCAGACAUUCUGGCCUAAAUGAUCCAGGGCAAGGGAGACCAGCAAUUGCCUGAAGAUGACCAAAUGCCACACAGCAUUUGAGAGAGAAAUUGUCAGCAUCUCUAUCACUUAAAGAUAAGACAUGAGAUUGCAAGAUUUAUCAUGAAUAGAUAUUUUUACAGGUACUUCUUUAAUAAAGAUGUAUUUUGUCAUAUAUCCUUCUCUUCUUCCUGAGGCGGGGGGGGGGGGUGGAUCCACAAAACUUUUCCUAACCACACUUCAGGAAGAUUAUAAGAGCUAGUGAAUUUUAUGAGAAGUGGAGGAGACCUAUCUCUAUCUCUAUCUCUAUCUAUCUCUAUCUCUAUCUCUAUCUAUAACUUUAAAUAUAUACUUAAUAAAUAUAUUAAAUUCUUUAUUCUAUCUCUGUCUCUCUGUCAUAUAUCUAUUUCUCAUAGGAACUCAGAAUAGAGAGCAAGGCAAUAUUAGUAAAGAUAUUGCUUAAAUAAACAGAAUUGUUUAGAAGUCCUACUCCUGUCCUGACUAUAGGGGGAGUAUAUUUCUAACCAGUUAGUCAGUUUUUCUAAUUCCACUGAGAUGUUGGAUUCAUUGUGCAUAAUAAGGAAUGUCCUUACUCAAAGCGAUUGUGACGUCACAACCAUUCCAUUGUUUCUGAGCAAUGUCUAUUUUAACUCAGCACAUUUCAAAAUCAGCAAUUAUUGCAAAGGAAAUCUGUAUUGUUCAUGACAGUUCCACUAUUCUUCUCUAAAACAACGGAGACUUUAUUAAAAGCAAAGUUGUAUAUGGCUAUUUUUUUGAGCCUUUAUUUUAUUACCAGUAAAAGAACAAAACAUCAGACAAGACUAUUGUCUGAUCCAUCUGGUGCUAUAUUUCCUCCACACAAGCCUUGUAUAACACACACAAUAUUUCAACCGCAAAUAUUGUUUAGCUUUUAAAACAAUUGCCUAUCAAAGCAUCCAGGUCCCAUUGAUAAUGUAGCAAAGCCUUUCCUGCAAUUGUGAGUCAGGAAAUGCUGGCCCCCUUGGCAAGUCUCAUAUGUCCUGUUGCUUGUAAUCUCCCUCCCUCCUUGCUGGAAUGUGUUAUUUUUAAGCAGCUAGACUAACAGGAAGAGAAAGUUGUUACUUCUUUUCAUGUGAUGGAACAACCAGGGGAAGGCAACUGUGUUUUAAGAAUAUGGGCUGAUGAAAUCUUAAAACCACUUACCAGGUACCAAGCUACUGCUGUGAGGGAAAUCUCCAGUUCCAGGCAUACUUUUGGAUGGAUGGUAACUUCCCCAUUCCAUAGCCCCAAUACAUUUUGCAGGCACCUGAACUGAAAAAUAAAGACACAAACUGUAUUGAAGGUGCAUAGAACUUCAUUGUUCUGUAUUGCAUGGAUGAAAGAAUGUGUUUCAUUUUGCAGAGAACUACCCUGAAAAUAAAUCACUUUAAAGAGAACCACAGAAAUAGAGACACAUUUUAUUUCAUGAUGAUUACUGAAUGUUGAAAAAAUAUUCAAUGGAACAUUUUACUGACCAGCAUAAACAGAAUUUCAUAAUUUGAAAAAGAAACACACUGUCUCAUACUUACCUAUGUAAAAACUAAUAUUAUAGAUUUAAUCUAUCAAAUCUACUUAUAUUAAAAUUAAUCUGUAGCCUUACUUAAUCCCUUUUUUUGCUCUGUAAGAAAGUUUGCUUUAAAAAAUAGAUAAGUUUUGGGGUGCCUGGGUGGCUCAGUCAGUUAAGCUCAGGCUCAGGUCUGACUUCGCCUCAGGUCAUGAACUCGUGGUCUGUGAGUUCAAGCCCUGAGUCAGGCUCUGUGCUCUGGGCCUGAAGCCUGAGUCAGAUUCUGUGUCUCCCUCUCUGCCCCUCCCCCGCUCAUGCUCUGUCUCUCUCUCUCAAAAAUAAAUAAACGUUAAAAAAAUUUAAAAAAUAUAUCAGUUUUGGGGUACCUGGGUGGCCCAGUUGGUUGAACAUCCAAUUUCGUCUCAGGCCAUGAUCUCACAGUUCUUGAGUUCAAGCCCCAUGUCAGGCUCUGUGCUGACAGCAGGGAGCCUGGAGCCCAUUUCCAGUUCUGUGUCUCCCUCUCUUUCUGCCCCUCCCAUGCUCCUGUUCUGCUCUCUCUCUCAAAAUUAAUAAACAUUUAAAAAUAGAAAAAUAGGGGCGCCUGGGUGGCGCAGUCGGUUAAGCGUCCGACUUCAGCCAGGUCACGAUCUUGCGGUCUGGGAGUUCGAGCCCCGCGUCAGGCUCUGGGCUGAUGGCUCAGAGCCUGGAGCCUGUUUCCGAUUCUGUGUCUCCCUCUCUCUCUGCCCCUCCCCCGUUCAUGCUCUGUCUCUCUCUGUCCCAAAAAUAAAUAAACGUUGAAAAAAAAAUUAAAAAAAAAUAGAAAUAUAAAAAAUAUAUCAGUUUUAAAAAAGCAGAAAAUAUCCAAGGACAUGUGGAAUAUGAAAGACAUUUUUCCUCGCUCCUGAAGAGAGAGAACAUGUUUCUGCUUUAGAUCCUUUGCUCUUGCUGUUCCUUCCUUCUAAAAUGCUCUUUCCCCAGACUUUGGCGAGUCCCCUUCUCUCCCUUAAUUAAGCCUCUGUUACAAUGUGACCUUCUGAUGACUAUAAAAUCACACACCCCACCCUGAUAAUCAGUCUCCAUGUCUUUCCUCACUUUAUUUUUUUUUUCAUAGACUUUAACAUCACUGAUAUAUUCGAUACCUUUAUUUGUUUAUUUAUUUACAACUUCUCCUCAUAAGAAUGUCAUUUCCAUAAGAGUGGAGACUUUGUUCUGUUCACUGCAGCAUCCUGAGCACCUAUGAGAGGGCUGGACCAUAGCUGACAGUAGACAUUCAAUAAGCAAAUGUGGAAUGGUUGAAUGAAUUGAGUUCUAGGUACUUCCUCAUUAAAUUCUCAUGGUGUACUGUUGGUUCUAUAUGUCCUACACAUCCAAAUAGUUCAAAUAAAUUGAGACUAUGUUAUGGAACACUGUUGUCUAGUUUACAUAAAAGAUGUCACCAGGGGCUCCUCAGUGGCUCAAUCAGUUAAAGGUCUGACUCUUGAUUUCUGCUCAGGUCAUGAUCUCAUGCUUCGUGAAUUUCAGCCCCACAUGGGACUCUGUGUUGACAGUGGAAAGCCUGCAUGGGAUAUUCUCUCUCUCCUUCUCUCUCUGCUCCUUCAGUUCUCAUUCUCUCUCUCUCUCUCUCUCUCAAAAUAAAUAAACUUAACAAAAAGAUGUCACCAGUAUAUCAUAAAUCCAUAAGCAUUGCACACAUGCAAAUGUUUAUGUGUGUAUGUACCCAUAAAGGUACUGAACAUUACAAAAGGAUCUUGGAUGUAGUUAAUUUAGCAUUAUUCUUGCCCUCCCCCACCCUUUAUUUUCUCUGAUAAUUGAACAUUAAAUCAUUAUUGUUAGAUAAUGCAGCUGUCUACAUCUGCAUACCAAGGAGCCAGCACCCUUUUAAUUCUACAAACUUUGCUAAUAUUCAUCUUCCCUCCAUUGCUAGUAAAGGCCUUCAGCAUCUAGCCCAGAUUUAAACAUCCAUUCAUGGCACUGUUUUUUUUUAUUUUUUCUUUGAGAAGUCAGUUAUAAAUACUAGUAGAUUCCAAGCUAAUCGAUUAGCAUUUAGAACAUUUCUAAUAUCUCUCUUCUGCCAUCCCUUAGCACUUUUUAAUACUUUAUCUUAGAAAGUAACAGAAAGGGGUGUAGAAAUAACAAAUAAGUAUUGAAGAGACACUAUUUUAUUGAAAGUGAAUUCUUAACUUGAUUUUUAAGUCCUCUGUAUGGGUUCAUCAUUAAGGAGAAAAGAGAAAAGGCAAUACUCCUUGCAACAUUUUACCUAUUUCAACUCAUGAGGCUGGUGAUCCAUUAAUUGCCUCUGGGUCCUCUUUCCUUUAUAUCACAAUGAGGCAGAAUUCAAUACGUGGUGUGGUGCAGCAAGGAGGACAGUGAGUUUGUUGUUAUUCUACCCUCCUCAGCAGCGAAAGGUUCUUCAUUAGAAGUCUCAAAGGAGUUAGAGGUUCUCCCAAAUCAGCCAUUGGUAUUGGUUUACCUCUCCACACUGUCUUCAUUCUCCCAUUCCCACCCCUAAAUGAUUAAUGAAGAUUUCCUGCAGGGAGAAAUUAAAGAAAUAAAAUUUGCAAGAAUGAGUUAAACGUUUCUAUUUUCUUCAGGAAUCUCCACACCUGAGCCUUGGUUUGGCAAAACCCAAUCUCUAGGAUGCAGUAUUGUCAUUUCAGUCACAUGGGCCUCCAGCCCUCCCAGAUGUUUGCACUGAAGACGUGCGGUUAUUGAACAGGUCAAGUGCCUGGACCACCCUUAUAAAACUUCAUUUAGUCAUAACCCAGUGUGAACUCGUAUGCCCAUACCUAUAUCUAGUCCCUGCACAGGAAGCCAGUUUCAACUAAAACCUGAGAAAAGAGCAGCAUCUUUUUAUGCAUCCGUUGAUUCAUCAACUCUGAAUGUUAAAUGCCUAGCACUCUCUCUUCUCCUGGCCUUGUUCUGUGCGUACUGUCUACAGAGCUAUGGUUUUGUUCACUGUCUCUGUGUUUUGUGUUUUCUUGUUGUCUUAAACCCUGACCAGUCAAUUAGGAUCCAUAUAUCACCUAACUGACCACUCGUCAUUUCCCCUUGACUUUCUUUCUCACUAACACCUCAAACUUAACAUGUCUCAAAGUAAAAUCAUAACUAUCUUCUUCCCUUCAAAAAAUGUUUUCUUGGAGCCCCUGGGUGGCUCAGUCGGUUAAGUGUCCGACUUCGGCUCAUGAUCUCACAGUCCAUGAGUUUGAGCCCCGCGUCAGGCUCUGUGCUGACAGCUCAGCCUGAAGCCUGCUUCGGAUUUUGUGUCUCCCUCUCUCUCUCUGACCCUCCCCCGUUCAUGCUCUGUCUCUCUCUGUCUCAAAAAUAAAUAAACAUUAAAAAAAAUUAUUUUUUAAAUGUUUUCUUCCAGUGUCCUCUAGGUCAAUACAAAGCACAACUAUCCAUCCAGAUGUUUAAUCCAAAAUUCUAACUUGUCCUUACUUCCUCUCUCUUAUUCAUCCCAUUCACAAUCAAACACCAAGUUCUGUUGUUUGUUUCCCUCAUAUUGCCAGAACACGUUCUCUUCUUUCUUUUCUGAUUACUAAAAGCUCUCAUUAUUUUUUUUUAAUUCCAGUAUUUACACCGUUUCUUAAAUUCACUUUGCAUAAUAUUUUCAGGACAUAUCUUUUAUAAAAUACAAAUCAUGUCUAUCAAUUCCAUUGUAUAAAUCCUUUGUUUCCAAUUUACUAUGGAAACCAAUUCAAAAUUCUUAAAAUGGCCUACAAUACCCAUUACAAUCUGGCUCUCCCUACUUUAAUCUCACCCCUUAGCACAGUGCCCUAUAUUCUCUCAGCUUUCACUACAAUUCCAUGAAUAUUCCAAACCAUCUGCUGGAAAUGCUCUCCCACGUUAUUAAGACCUAGGUAAUCAGCAUGUAUUGUUCAGAGGUCAGCAUUAAUACCAUCUCCUUAGAGAAGCCAUGCUGAUUGCUCAUGACAUAAUUUGCCACUACAUUCUUGAUCUUGGUAGUUUUUGCUUUGUAUUAUUUUUUAAUUUUUUAAUGUUUAUUUAUUUCUGAGAGAGAGACAGAGUGCAAGCAGGAGAAGGGCAGAGAAAGAGAGAGACAUGGAAUCUGAAGCAGGCUUCAGGCUCUGAGACUGGAGCACAGGCUCUGUCAGCACAGUCUGAUGUGGGGCUUGAACUCAGGAACCACGAGAUCAUGACCUGAGCCAAAGUCAGACACUUAACCCACUGAGUCACCUAGGCUUCCUGGAUCUUGGUAGUUUUUAAAAUUCAUAACAAUUGAGUAUGUUAUUCACAGUUUUGCUUAAUUCCCAAUUUCCCAUUCUAUUGCAAGCUCCAUGAAGACAUGAAAUCAUGCCAAGCCUGAUCACCUGAAUGCCUCAAAAUAUCUGCUGCAAUGCCUGAUAUCUAGCAAAGACCCAAAUGUUUGAUAAUUGAAUGAAGAGAAACAAUCAACGAACAAUUGUUAGAGCCAAGUCUAUGUUCCCCAACUGAUAUUUCAAUUUUAUGAAGUCCAUUCAAAAUUCCAGCUGCUGAGAGGAAAUUUGAGUAAUGUCUCUUGGUGAGUCACUAUACCUUUUUUUCAUUUCUCUCUGUUUAAAAGUGUUUUAAGUCUCAAAAAAAAAUUUCAGUAAAUAGUCCUAAUAAAUAGCAGCUAAUAAAAGAAUGAAUGUAGCAAACAAGCAAUUGAGAAAGACAAACUAAAGAUAAAUGGAGAGAAAGAAAAUCUAAAAUGACAUUAAGAGACUCUUUGAAUUUUGAAUCUAAGGAAGGUCUAAAGAACAAAUAUUCUAUUGGAAAUGUAGCAGAAAGAACAUUAGAUUUAGUUAUUUAAAAACUAGAGAUAAAACAGGCAAAAACAGUGCCUUCCUAGCUGGAGGAAGACAAUAAGCUGGAAAAUAAACAGAUGGUGAGUAUACCAAAGAUCUAACCUAGAAAGGUGUGUAUCAAUAGGAAGAAAAGCAUUAUGAUCUGUUAUAUAUUUGUCACAUGUCUCAAGACAGAAGCAUCCAUUAGCAUCCUCACAGUGGAAAAUAAGUAGCCCAGUAGGAAUGUCAAACCAGGAGGAUGAGGCUUAACAGAGCAACACUAUGCAGGACCAACCAGGCGGUUGUGUUGUUAAAAAAUCACACAAUGGCAAAGCUGAUAAAAACACAUCUGCUUUCUUUCCUUGAACACAAGACAAUAAAUGUUUCUAGCUAACUUCAAGUCUUACCCCUGGAAACUUUGAUAUCACAUAUGUGAAAUAAAUUAAGACAAGACAAAAGGAGGCAAAUUUAUUGGGACCAAAACACAAGCACAAAUUUAGAAAGCUCAGCAUGUAGAUAAUUGAAAGCAGUGAAGGAAAUUGUUUCUAGAUAGUGUUCUAAUUCACAUGGUUUAAUUUUCAACUGAUAAAGUAUGGCACAGCCUUGACCCUGAAACAUUUGAUUUAACAAGCAAAGUGCUUUGGAGGAAAAUGAUGUCUUUUCGUGGCUCUCAUAGGGAGCAAGUCUAUUAUACCACUCAGGUAGACUUUUCUAGGUAUUAAUUAGUUUUUAAUUAAUUUAUUUUCAUCAUCAGGCUUUCCAAAUUUUCUUAAUUUUACUUCCUUAUUUUAAACCCUUUACUAGUUUCUCAUUGGGUAUGUGCACCAUGAUGUGGUGAUCUGGGUUUCUACCUCCCCCAACCCUUUCCCUCCCACUCCCCCAACUCGUUCCUUCUGCCUCUUCCUUGCUGAUCUCUGAGCUGUCCCUUGAACACAUCAAGUACAUUCCUAGAAAAGGGUUUUUUAUCUCCAUUCCCUCUAACACAGGGGAUCUUAACAUUUCCCGCCCCGGAGCCCUCUCUGGAAGUCUAGCAGUCAGGCAAAGCCUAGAAUGAUGUUUGAUAAUGCAUAAAAUACAAUUCACAGGAUUUACAAGUGUAGCCAAGUAUAUUAAGAUGAAACUACCGAAGUGAUUUUUAAGCUAAAUGUGUUUAAUAAAAACAUAUAUGUUUCUGUAUUAGUUUAUCAGAAUAACAAAGAUCCAGUAGCAGAUAUAACAAUGACCACAGUGUCAAAAUAGUAGUCAGUGUAAAUAUUUUUUUUACAAUAUCCAAACACUGUUCUCUAAAAUGAAAAUGCCUUGAAGUUAUUUGGGUAACAUUACCGCUGUUGCUAUGACUCCUAUGGAUUCUUGAUAAAAUUCAAAAUUAAACAGAAUAGUAAAUUUCAGUUAGAGAUUAAUAAAGUGACAUUUUAAUUUUUUUUCUAAAUCAAGUUCAUAGACUACCCAAAUUCUAGGGGGACAUCCAGAUUGAAAACUCUUGCACAACAGAACAUUCUUUUUCAAGGUAUCUACUCUAUUCGCAUCUCAAAUCCUUUAAUUCUCUACCUGAGUGUCCCUUAUAAUGACUUUUUCCCUGAGCAGCUUAGGAGAACAGCACCUUUUGUGUUAAGUUAUUGCCUAGCAACCUAAAGCUAUGUUAUUUUUCUCAGUAGGAUUAUUGGCCCACUUUAUAUUACUCAUUUAUUUAGUAUUUCAGCUAGUAUUUCAGCUAGUAUUUCACUAGUAUUUCAGCUAUGUACAGAUAGUGUUUUUCUUCCUCCUUCAAUCGCUGCCAUGUGUCCAGCACUUAGAACAGUGCCUGAAUAGAUUGAGCCUUCAGUAGAUAUUUGUUGAAUGCAGUGGAUGAGUGAAUGAUCUUUUAGCAUGCCCUAUGAAACGCUUUAAGAUCUCACUUCUGAUAGUUUUGCUAGUUUCAUCUGGCACUGCUCCCUUUCUGUCCUACCAUGUCCCAGCCACCCUCAUCUUCUGCUUUCAGGAAGAAGCAAGUACCAUCCUGCCACAAAGCCCUCAUCAAGACAUCUCAAGCUCCCCAGAGUGGUUCUCCUUCCUCCAUCCCUUUUUCACUCUACUUGGCCUGGUGAACCCCAAAUCACCCUCAAGUAUGCGAACACUUUGCAUGAGGAAGAUCCCUCUUUAUAAGUGUAAUUUAAUAAUUAUUUGCAUAAUCUGUCAUUUAGUGUCUGUUGUUUAAGCUACACUAUAGCUCAGUGGAAGCAAGUCACUAGCAUUUAGAAGUGCCCAACCAACAUUUUUAGGGGUGCAUAGGUGGCUCAGUUGGUCGAGUAUCUGACUUUUGAUUUCGGCUUGGGUUGUGAUCUCAUGGUUCAUGAGCUCAAGCCCCAUGUUGGGCUCACACUGAGAGUGUAGAGCUGCUUGGGAUUCUCUGUCUCCCUCUCUCUCUCUGCCCCCCCCCCCCACCUUGAGGACACACAUGCCUGCUCUCUCUCUGUCUCCCAAUAGAUAAAUAAGCUUAAAGAAAUAAAACCGAAGUGCCCGAUCAAUGUUUUAAAAAAUAAAAUGAAUAAACCAAAGAAGUCACCAAGACCACCAUCUACAAAUUCUUCUAAAUGUAAAACUUGGAACAUAACAAAGUUAGUUGGCCUAGCUUGAGCAAUCACUGCUUGCACCUGUUGUCUUUGAAUUAAAUUCUAAUGAGAUGGCAGAGACCACUCAUAAAUAUUUAUGAAGAGAAGGAGUUUGGCACAAACUGCCACUGGGCUGCAAACCCCAAGUGAUGUUAUUUCUUGUUCAGUAGCUUUCCAGUAUCACAGCCACCAGUUCCAUCCUAAAGUGUUGCCAAAAAUUUGAUCUCCAGAAGGAGCUUCUUUUUUCUAGCUUGAUUGUAAAGCCUGAAUUUAGAACAGACUCAACAUUUUCAUAUAAUUUUAUCUUAGGGGCAAUAAGCUUCUUCGUUUUCUCCUAAAACCACUAAUUUUUAGUAAACAAAAUACUAUGUAAGAGAUAUGUUUCAUAUAAAGUAAGCAGUGUAAACAAAAGGAACAGCAGUCUCCUUUUUCUUAGUCCGAUUGUUUACAGUCCUGGUUAGGAGAGUGAUGUUGGAUCUUAGGAGUGAAGAAUAUUCAGUGCAGAUGUCUGAGUUAAAGGAGGAUUUGUAAAAACCCAAACCAAACCAAGUUAACAAAAUCAGAAAUAUUGUUGGAGUCCUCAAGAAGUGUAAGUUAAUACGUUUGAGGGGCAACUUCUAAAUACAAUUUCAUGUCUUCAGAACACACUUUCAGGUUUUCUAUCAUCAAUACAGAUAUUUUGUCACAUUUCUUGAAUAUUUCAUUACUAUCUGUCUGGUUGUGAUUAGCUGGUUAGAAUGUUUUUUUAUGCCAGUCCACUCUGUCCUUAUUAACUGUCAUAAGACUGUACCUCGGUGCCAGUAUUUGGCUAGCGUUCUCACAAAGUAUUGAAAAACUGAUAGUUUCAUCAACGAACAAGGCAGAAGAUGUCAGUAUUUUUAUAAUACAAAAAAAAAAAAAUUCAGGAAAGUUAAGUAGAUUAUUCUGAAUUUUAAUUCCAGGUAAUUAUUUGAGAGCAGAAAAAUAACUUAAUUAGUGUCAACAUUGUUACCUGGAAGUAAUUUUUGCUUAUAUCUAACAUUCUAGAAAAUGAAGCAAACACACCCAAGGAUCUCUUCAGAGUCACAGAAAUAUUGAUAGUUGUAAGAGAGAAUUUUUUUUCACAAAUUUGGAGCUAUUAUAGAGGGUUAUUUUAAAAACACAUAAGCCUGUUAUUGAGAUGGUUACUAGUAAAAUGAAUUAAAGCACUGAAAAGAAAGAAAUUAUUUUGGAUAAAGAUUAAUUGAUAUAUUCAUGAAUUAUUUUUAUAAGAGCUUGGAGCUUUUAAUAAAAAUUUCCAUGACAAAUGGUAUACCCUGUCAGUAUACCUAUAAAAGAGAGAUGGUGAUUAAUGAUAGAAUUCUACAUCUCGGACCUGGGUUCCAUUGAUCAUAGUAAAGUCAUGACACUGUUGCAUUUCACUAGAAGGAGCCCCAUGCUUGGCCUGUUCAUGUGUUUGCGUGCACAUAUAUAAUUGGCACUGGCCAUUGUUUAGCGAACUCUAUAAUGUGAUCACUGAAGCAAGAGGCAAUUUUGCUCUGUAUAUUCAUACCCAUACUCACAAACAUUCCUUCUCUCUUUCACUCUCUGUCUCUCUCACAGAUACACAUACACACGUAGGUUCACAAAGCUAGUUUUGAGAAAAGGCAGGCAACAACUUUUGUAGUUAUCUACACUGCACAAUAUAAACAACUAAGCUUCAUACCAGUAGGAAACAAGUGAGCAGUCGUUUCUUAGCAAUGUACUGAUUUUGAAAAAAUCUUUUUGGUUCAUCUUUGUAAAAAAAUAUUUGCUUAUGGAUAAUUUUUGCAAGUCCAACUGUGAGUUUUGCUCACUUGUGCCCAUCUGCAUGCAAUGCGUUUUGCUCAUUGAGUAAGAAAUCAGUUGCAAAACAGCUACUUCUUGAAAUUAACAUCUGAAAAGCCAAACCAGUAAUCUCUCUCAUCAGCUUCAAUAUAUUCCAUUAACAUCAAUCAUGUUCUAUGUGGCAGAUAUUUUUUAGGCAACAGGAAUAUAAAGCAUCUGUAAGGGUGGAAGAGAAGGAAGUUUAUAUUAAAAUAAUAGGAGAAGCAAGCAAUUCUGAAGAGGCAGUGAUUAACUCAUCUUAAGCAGGGAAAGGAAGGGCUCAGAAAGAAUUGUACAUUUGAAUAAGAGUAUAUAUUUUGAGGAAGGAUAAAUUGACAACAGGGUGAUAAAGCAUUAAGACCAUGAGAUCAUCAUAUCCCCUUUUGAACCAAGAUCACAGAGUAGCAUCCGGAUAUGCCAGAAGGAAGGGAGCCGGGAAUAACAUAUAUGUAUGUGUGUAUGUAUAUAUGUACAUACACACACACACACACACACACAGCAUGUCAAACUAGAUGACAUGUUAAGGAAUAAAUCAUGAAACAUGAAUACACAUUAAAUCACCUAUGUACUUUUCAAGAGAAAAAAAGUAAACCACAGUACUAUUUAUUCUUCAUCCAUGUAAAUAGCAGACCAACUUCAUGAAGAAAGACAUUUAAAUUAGAAAUCAGCUUGAGCACCUUCUCAUCAUGUUUGAUCUUGUUGUCUCUACUCAUGCUGGUGGCUGGAGGGCCUGGUCACAGGUUGCACAGACUGUGUUCAGGGCCUCCCAGACCCACUCUGAUGCUGUUUUACCCAGGAAGACACUCAAGUAGAGAGAAAUACAACAGUAUGUUCAAAGCACGUGAAUAGGUGGAAAUGGCCAUAGCUUCAAACAUAUUUCAUAAGGAUUCCUAUUAUUUCUGACCGAGGCAAUUUGAAUGGAAUAGGUUGCCUCUGUCAGGGUGGGAAUGGGCAGGGAAUGUUGGAGAAAGGGGACUCAGCGCUUUCUUUUGUCUGUGCUGUUUUCUAAGGAACCUCCCCUAAGAAAUGAACUAAUUUCAGGGUUUUGUUUUGCCAUGUAGAUUAUUUAAACUAAGGUUGGAAUCUCUGGAAAAUAAAAAAAGAUUUGGAGAGAUUCUCUGGGGAAGAAAGGAAUGAGACUGCUAAUAACCAGGAGGGUUUCAGUGGGUAAAACUAACAGAAUUUCAAAAUAUACCUUAGAGAAUUUUCCUGUAAGGUGGGCAUCUCUCCCUGAAAUCUUUAGUUAAAUCUGCAUUACUUGCCAUAACAUACUAUGGUUGGAUUGUUGGCUUUCUAACGUGUCAUUGUACGAACCACAAUGUGAAGUAAGAGCUGAGAGUAUUGAUGGGAGGCCAAGCAAAUAUGGAUUUUAACUGGAUUUUGUAAAUUAUAAAGUAUUAUGUUCUUUAUUGAAAGAAAUAUAAGCUGUUAAUUAAAUAUGAACAAUUAUAUAUGAAGCUUUUACUAGACACACGUUAAGAAAAUAAACUCAAUCCUGCACUGUUUAGAAUAUAAUUAAAAAUGCUGAAAUAAGGAAUUCUAAUGAUAAAAAAUGUUUAAUUUUAGCCAUUUUUGGUGGGAUAAAGAGAUUUCUUGCCUUUUUUUUAAAAUUUUUUCUUUUCAGAAGGAAAUAUGAUGAUGCUACAUGUAGCCAACAAGUCUUGUUUAGAACAUGGCCACUUUGGGGCGCUUGGGUGGCUCAGUCAGUUGAGCAUCCUUCUCUUCAUUUCAGCUCAGGUCAUGAUCCCAGGGUCAUGGGAUUGAGCCCCCUGAUGGGCUUAGGGUGGAGCCUGUUUAGGAUUAUCUCUCUCUCCCUCCUUCUCCCUUGCUCACAUUUUCUCUCUCUCAAAUUAAAAAAAAAAAAAAAAGUUAAUUAAAAAAUAAUAAAUAAAACGUAGCCAUCUUGUUUUGUUUGUAUUAUAAUAAUUUAUUCGUGAGUACUUACUAUGCUCUUGUCAAUAUAUCCUGCAAUUUUACACAGGGAUUUAAGGAAGAGCUUUGAGACACAUCUGUGUUUUAUAGGUGUGGAUGCUGAAGUACCCAGAAGAGAAGUAGGAAGCAUUCCCACCAUCCCAGGGAGACAAUACUGCUAAGUGAGGAUUCACACCUAAGCCGUUCACCCCUAGUCCACAUGCUUGCUCCAACAGUGCUCUGCCAGGUCAGGAAGGGAGCUGCGGUUGGGGGCUGGGGUACGGCCAGGAACCAGCCCCGGAGGGGAGCGGCAAGGCUGCCUGUAUGUGAGGCUUGAAGAGAGCAGCCCAGUAUCAAGACUCAGGUUCACAGUCAAUAUACAUCCAAAGUUUAAUUGAAAUUGUAAAAGCAGGGGCGCCUGGGUGGCGCAGUCGGUUAAGCGUCCGACUUCAGCCAGGUCACGAUCUUGCGGUCCAUGAGUUCGAGCCCCGCGUCAGGCUCUGGGCUGAUGGCUCAGAGCCUGGAGCCUGCUUCCGAUUCUUUGUCUCCCUCUCUCUCUGCCCCUCCCCCGUUCAUGCUCUGUCUCUCUCUGUCCCAAAAAUAAAUAAAAAAGGUUGAAAAAAAAAAUUAAAAAAAAAAAAAAAGAAAUUGUAAAAGCAAAAUGACAUGUUUUGUUUUUUCCUCUAGCGAAUGCUAGCUAUCUCCCACGCAGAGUGACUGGUACAACUCCAGCCAAGUUAUCUACAAAUAGAAACAAUUUCAGAUUCCUCACGCGUUAGUAUUUCACAAUAGAAACUUUGUUUCAUUUUUCUUUUAUUCCAUAUACAUGUAUGGUGCACAUAUACAUUUUGUAUUUGUCUAUGUUGUGGGUUCCAUGUCCAUUACUGCCAAGCUGAGCAUCUUUUCUGAGAGAAGUAUCUCUGAAAACGUAAUUCCUAAAGUUACUUUUUAAACAGUCUUUAGAUUUUAGUUAUUUUUUCUUAAUCUUCAAGGAGCUUUGCUGGUAUUUCUCUUCUGUUUUUGUGGGGGUUUUUUGUCUCUUUUCGCUUCCUAUACUGUAAAACUAACUUGUAGAUGUUUCUCUCUGCCUUUUCAGAAACACCAUGACUCCUCUCUGCUACCAGUUUUUCAGUGUUGCACUAAAUUUCUCGCUUGGGGCGGUCUUCAUUCCUGCUUUCUUUGGGUACGAACCCCGAGUACACCACUAACCUCAGACCUGUCCCAGACUGAUUUUCAGCUCUCAGCUCUCUCUCACUCCCAGUGGGCUGAGAGGGAGAAUUUCUUCUGCCUGACGGUUUGGGUGAAAUAAGGCAUAUACCACAGGAAACAGCAUGUUCAUUUUCCUGUGACCUUUUCCUGAUUUCCUUUCCAAAGAUUCUUCGGCCCCUAAUGUUUUCCAAGCCCCAUUGCUCAGUACAUUGAAGAUGAACUUUAAUCCAAAUUAUUGCUCUAAUCCCUAGCCCUCUCUUUGGCUUUAACACAUUUUAUUGCUGCUCCACCAGAGACCCUUGAUAUUAAGAACGAACUUUUCCUCAAGGCAAAGUCAUAAUUAAGCAAUAAUAUAACCAAUGUUUUUUACCAAAAGCCUGGAUUAAGGUGCCCUAGAAAGCCACUCAGUGUGUUUACUGGAAAUAUCUUUUUGAGGUGGAAAACAUUACAAGUAUAUAGUUGCAGUCUUCAUGAUGGAGACCACAAAAAACAUUUCUCUCAUGAAUCAAAAUUAGAAAUUAUUCAUCACACUUUCAUCUCUUGAACACUGAUCCGUCUACCUGAUUGUGUUUCUUUCUCCACAUUAACUGUUUAAAUGGCUUUGAGACAAAUAAUGUUUCACUUCUAGCACAUGCACAGAAUUUCGUGACCUCUCAUCCUGCUGCACCUUGUUUUGCUAUCUCACUAUAACCCCAUCGUGUCUCAUUUUUCUCACCUAUUUUAAUUUUAUUUUGUCCUGCAGACAUCUUUGCCAGCCUCCGUAAAAAUUUUGUAGAAUACAACAGUGUAUAUAAAUUAUACUUAAUUAAAGAAAUUCAACAAAGGAAAUUCCGAGGGGAGGUUCCAGUUUGAGCAAUAACAAAUAACAUUUACAUGUCGUUAUAUCAAUAGUUGUAAAUAUUUAAAAAAGUAACUAAAAAUAUAAAUCUAAAAUGACACUCAAAUGUAUGGGUAAAUAUAAGCCAAACUCCUUAAUUUGGGCGUGGGGGUGGGAGGGGGGAGGCUUUAUGAUGUCUGUAUUAAGUGUUGGUGGGCUGAAUCUACAUAAAGUUUUACUGGAACUCAGCUACAUCCACUCAUUUAUAUAUUGCCUGUGACUGCUUUCAGCCUACCUACAAUAGCAGAGUUAAGAAGUUGUGACAAAGAGCAUUUGGCCUACAAAUUCGAAAAUAUUUACUAUCUGACCUUUUGAAAGAAAGUGUUUGCUGACCCCUGGUCUAGAUGAUUGUGUUAAAUUUGCUGAGCUAUCUUCAGUCAGUGACUGUUGCACCUGUGCGGUGCCACCUAUGGGGAGCUGGCAGGCCGAAGCUGGAAAUGUGCUAUAGUGUAUGUAUCUGCUAAAGAAAUACCGGAAUCUGGUUUUUCCAUCAGUAUUAAUUACAACACAGUCCUUUGGGGUCAAACAUACUUAUCAGGGACAGUUAUUUAUUUUAGAGCAUGUGUGCAAACGUAAUUCACAUAUCUAUCUUUGUGGGGUGAAUACCCAGGCAAUAUAUAAUAGAUUCGUUAUGUAACAAAACAAUCUCCAUGUACAUGGAGAAAAUAUUCAAUUGUCCUAAUGGACUCACACAUGAUGCAGUUCAUAUACUUAAGAUACUCUUCUACUUAAAAAAAAAAAUGAACUAAAUUUGUCAGGAGACCAAACAUUCCCUAGUAUAAACAAAAUGGGUAACCUCUGUUUUGAUCAGCUUAAUCCAACUACACAUCUCACAAAAGCAAAGCCAUCUUUUUCCACCCAUAUCAUAUGUGUCUGUCUGCAUGUUUGGGAAAGGGCUAUGAAACCUAAGGGGAGUUAUUAUGUUACUGAUGAAAAGCUCAAAUCUGUAACACAUAUGUGCAUUUCAGUAUAUAGUAUCUGCUUAUUUUCAUUAAAUUGCAUUAAAUGCUUCAAUAUGUAACGGAGUCAUCUUCCUUAGGAAGCGUACACUUGUGGAAUUCUUUGUGGUAUCCUUGGGAAUCCCUUUACCAUGUAUCCAUGGCAUUCUGCCCCUACGAGGCUCAUUCCUUCCUGUCCCCUGGUAUAUUUAUUAAGACAGGGGAAUUUUUCCUUUCUUACUCAAAGAUUUUGCUCUUGUCCCCAAGCUACUGUUUUUGAACUGAAAGAAAAGUCAAAGUAUGAUAUAUCUGAGGAAACAAUAUAACAUUACUAGAAAUUACUGCAUGAUAUCUGUUUUUUUACUUAAAGACAGAAACAGAAGUUUUCUCUCAUUUUUUCCCCCUUAAACUACUGUACUUCAGACCUAAGCUGAGGCCUGAAGUAGCGGAACAAAGAAAGCUGGUAUUUUCCAAGAAAGGGGAAUUCACUGUUCAUACACAUUCACUACAGUAGUCUAUGGAAAUGAAUAAUUAUCUUACAAAAUUCUAUUCUCUGCUGUAGGGCAUGCAAGUCUACAUAUGAAUGUUUUUAAAAAGUAGUUGAUUUUAAAAUUUCCUCUUUCAACAUUCUUUGAUUAUGUUAUUACCAGAAAAAAAAUAAAUGCAAACAUACCUCAAUAUUUAAAUAUUAUUUUAUAAAUAUGCUUUUGUAAGCAUCUGAUAACGCACAGCAGUUUAUCUUUUUACUUCUUCUAAGUUAAUCAUUCGUCUUUAUAUCCACUUUGACAUUAGUGUGCCAAGAGAGGUAUUAGAUACCAGAUAUAGAGUUUCUUUCUUUUUUUUUCUUAAAGUUUAUUUAUUUUUGAGAGAGAGAGAAAGGGAGACCGAGCGAGAGCAGGGGAGGAGCAGAAAGAGAGGGAGACACAGAACUGGAAGUGGGCUCCAGGCUCCGCAUUGUCAGCAAAAAGCCAGACUCGGGCUCAAACUCACAAACUGUGAGAUCGUGACCUGAGCUGUAGUCGGAGGCUUAAGUGACCGAGCCACCCAAACGCCCCAUACAGGGUUACUUUUUUUUCACAUUUAUUCAUUUUUUGAGAGACAAUGUGAGUGGAGGAGGGGCAGAGAGAAGGACACAGAAUCGGAAGCAGGCUCCAGGCUCUGAGUUUGUCAGCACAUAGUCAGAUGUGGGGCUUGAACUCACGAGCUGUGAGAUCAUGACCUGAGCUGAAAAGUCAGACGCUUAACCUACUGAGCCACCCAGGCACCCCUACAGGGUUUCUUUUUAACCAAACUUAACUUCAUGUCCCAAAUCCAUCUUAUUUAUAAGUUUUCCACUUUAUUAGCUGAAAGUCAUCUUCGUGUUAAUUUUGAGGGCAAAUAACCCAUUUUUCUGAAAUAUAGAAAUCAGAGACACAAAGUGCUAUUUAUUUUUUUGUGCACAGAAAAGCAAGUGAGAUAUCAGGAAAAGAUCAUUCUAGAUAAACUUUAAUUAUUGCUUUUUAAUUUCAAUUACAAAUAUAUGGAGGAUGUUUGCCUCCUAGAAAGAAUAAAAAAUUGUGUGGCUGGGAGGCAUAUAUGAUACUGUGGUAUAUACUAUAUGAUCAAUAAGUGUAAUCAGGAAAAUACCUGUAAUUGUGAAAAUCAAGGAAGUGCAGAGCUUGAUAAGACUGUUUUUCUCAUCUGGGUGAGUCAUUAUAACCAGCAAACUUACACUUAAUGGUUUAUAGACCUGUGUUUACACUCAUCCCAGGAUUGAUGUAGCUUUGCCACAUUUUAUACCCUAGUGGGGGAUUUCCAGGAAGGUAGCAGACAUGAAGAGAUGACUAUCACAGCACUAACCUGUAGGCACUUGUCAGUCACGGUCCACAUAACUGACUUUCUGAUUUUUUCUAUUCUACUUUUAGAAGAGGAGAAUCAGUAUCAGAGAGCAGGAACAGGAAGAAUUUUGUCCUAAGUCUAGGUGCUUAUACCAAAAGGAAAUAAGCAAUUCUUCAUCAAGUUUAGGUGGAAGAAGUAAAAUAAGUAUUAAAAUAAUAUUUGUUUUUAUGUAUAUAAGUUGAAUGUCUUUUAGAAUAGCUCACUUAUGUAAAAUAUAAUUCAGAAUUUAUUAUUGGUAGUAAUGGCAAUGAUAAUAUAUUUUUAAAGUUUAUUUAUUCAUUUUGAGAGGGAGAGAGAGGCAGAGAGAGAGAGAGAGAGAGAGAGGAGAGACAGAGGAUCUCAAGCAGAUUCUGUGUCAUCAGCACAGAGCCCCAUGCGGGGCUCGAAACCUUGAACUGUGAGAUCAUGACCUGAACUGAAAUCAGGAGUUAGAUGCUUAAAGACUGAGCCACCCAGGCGCCCCAGUAAUGACAAUAAUUAAUAGCAUAAUAAGAGUAUAUAUGUCAGUCACUGUUCUAAGCAAUUGUACAUACUUAACCUGUAAAAUCUUCAACCUUUCAUAAAAAGUCUGAAACAAAAGAAAGUAAAUAAUUUGUCCAAGUUGACACAGAAAGGGCAGACACUCCAGAUCCAAACCAUCUCUCCAAGCUCUUAUUCAAAUAAACAUGUAUGUAACUUGAAGUCUUAGAUUUUUAUCAAAAUCCUUCCAGCUUUAGUAUUACACACAGUUUCUACUGCAAAAGAGGUACUCAAAAAUAUUUGCUUCAGUGAAUGAGUCACAUAUGAUUUAAGAGCUAUAGACUGUAGUGUUUAAAAGCACCAACUCUUCACCUAGGAUUGGUGGCCCUGAGUAAAAUCUCUCUGCUCUGCUUCACUUUUCUGUUGUGUGGAGAUAAUAAUAGUACUUACCUCAUAGUAUCAUAGAUGAUAUAAUGAACUACAUUCACAAAGUGCUUAGAAUAGUACCUGGCACAUAGGAAGCACUACGGAAUGUUAUUGAUGAUUAUGAUUAUGCUUUUGUGAGUUACAUGUGUCCCUCCAAAACAUGUGUUGAAGUCCUAAUACCCAAUGAAGAUGACCUUGAAAAUAGGAUCUUUGCAAGAUGUAAUCAGGUUAAAAUGAGGUCAUACUAGUAUUUAGAGUGAGCCCUAAAUUCAAUACUUGUGUCCUUAUAGAGAGAAAGAAAUUUGGAGUUACAAAGAGACACAGGGAAGAAGGUCAUGUAAUGACAGAGGCAGAGAUUGGAGUUAUGGGGUCACAAGCCAAGAAAGGCCAAGGAUUGCAAGCCACAAACUGGGAAGAGACAAUAAAGGACUCCUCCCUUCAGAGGGAGCAUGGCUCAGCCAACACCUUGAUUUUGGACUUGUAGCCUCCAGAACGGUGAGAGAAUAUUGUUAUUGUUAUUAUUGUUACUAUUAUUUAGCCUCAGGACAAAAUUUAUUAAUUCAGUCUGAACUCCCUAUCAGCCAUUAUAUGUUUAAAUUUAGUCUACUCAUCAUAAGUCUUGAGUGUUUCAGAAUCAGAAUGCAAAAUUUGGAAGUGAAAGUGAAGUUUGUGAAUUUCAAGUUGUUCACACCAGGUAGUGUGAAUAUUUUAUUACUGGUCCCCACCUUACAUCUCACAGAUGGUAAUUAUCAGACUCUAUCACUCUGAGAAACCACCCGAAGAAUUAAACUAGAAGGAAUUCAGCACAUAUUCCUAAAGGAUUGUGCCAUUUUGAAAUCUGGAAAUUCAUUUUAUUACUUGGUUUCUUCUGGUUAAAUUAUUUUAAAGAUUUAUUCUCUUAUCCCUGUAUCAAGAAUGUGUUUUCUGCUGCUCAUUCCCAGAGAAAAGGCAAUGAACAGUCCUGGCAAAGCUUAUCACUUUUGCUGAAUUAUAAUAUGGUAAAUUAAAUACUGAGAUUUAAAUUAAACUAUCAGAUGAGAUGAUGGCAUGGUUUCCAGACCUGAGAAUGAGUUCAUGUUCUCUUUUUGGGCCAUGACCGAAGAAAAGUAUUUCAUCCAUGGGGAGGAGUAUGGAGAAAUAAACUUUUUAUGUUAUGGAGCAGAAUUUGCUAGCUAUGCACUCCUAUUUCGUUGGAGCCAGUGUAUGUUUUGGAGGUAUAUGUGUUAUAUCACUUAGCGUACUCUAAAAAAGAGAGAAGGAAAGAGAGAAGGAGAGAAAGAAAGAAAGAAAGAAGAAAGAAGGAGAGAAAGAAAGAAAGAAAGAAAGAAAGAAAGAAAGAAAGAAGAAAGAAAGACACAUUGUAAUGUGUCUUCUCAGUUGGUCAUGACAUCAAGUAAAACAAAUGAUACAAAAAUAGCUAGAAUAAGAAAAAAAAGAUAGAGAAAAUUGAUGUAUUUUGUAUUCCUGUUAUGAGUUCUAUUUCUUUCAAUUCAGCCUCAAAGGUCAAACACCAUUACAUCAAAAUUUUAAUUCUUGGAAAGAUAAGAAAGGAAAUUUGCUCGCAUAUGUGUAGGAUAUGUGUUUAUGUGUGCACUCUAUCAGGUGAUUCUAAAAUCAAUACUGUAAGUUGAUAUGUGCCAUCGAGAGAAAAGAUGUAAUUCAAUCUGAUAACAUAGCAAUAUAUAUAUAUAUAUAUAUAUAUACACACAUACAGAGAGAGAGAGAGAGAGAGAGGAGCACAGAGAGAGAGAGAGAGCCUUUAGCAGGCUCCACACUCAACACAGAGCAGGCUUGAUCCCACAACCUUGGGAUCAUGACCUGAGACGAAAUCAAGAGUCAGAUGCUCAACCGUCUGAUUGAGGCUCCCCUAUUUUUCUUUUUACUAAAAAGUAGAUUAUCACUCCCAUUUUUUCUCAUUCAAUUCAGGUUUCAUAAUAAUGAUAAAUCACUUGAAAUUAAAUCAGAUAGAUGACAGUCUUCAGAAAUUAAUGUUGUGAGAAAAGAAAUAUGCAUAAAUCAUAUAAAUAUAGGGGAAAAUAUGUUGUUUUUUAUUUUUUAUUUAAUAUAAGUAAAUAUCUCAGAUCAAAUUUCAAGACACAUAGUAAGGAGUAUGGUAGCUAAGCGGUCAAUUUGGUUUUGCCAAACACUACAUUCCCUUACAUAAUUCUCUCCUCAUCGUACUCUUUAUAAUCCACUCACUCUUCCAGAAACUGAAAAAUAAAGAAAUAAUGGCAGUCAUCAAGUUAUUUAUCCUUUGUUCAUACAAAACUCUUUAUGAAGUCCCAAUGCAUACAGUGCAUUAGGAAAAAUGAAUGAAAUAAGACAACUAAGAGAACAGGUACUCAUUCAAUAGGUUUUACGGGAACAUACAAGACAAUCCAUCUACAAGUGAACAGAUAUUUCUCUUCCCUGGUGGUUUGGCCUUGACACAGGUGAUCUUCCCCUGGCUAUCUCUUCUCUCACAGCUAUUCUCUCCCUGAAAUUCACAUAUCUGGAAAACAAGGGCAGAGAUAUAUGCUCCCACAUUGUGAAGCAGAUGUGCAGACUACUGUGAACUGCAAUCACAUUAAAUGCUACCAAGUACACAUAUUUAGUGGCUUUUUAGGAAACAUGAAUGAGAAAUGGCAACGGUCUCAAUGAUCUAGCAUUUGAAUCUCGAUCAAAGUCAUAGGGAAAUUUCCUUAUUAUACCUUAGAUAGUUUGCAUGUGGGUCAUUAUAGGAUCAUUUGAUCUGAAGCUGAUGUAAUUAACUAAUUGGAAAUUAUUUAGGAAUUAAAAAUACUAAUUAGAAAUUAGUAUUUUGUGCUUUUAAAUGAAGAUUAUAAUAAGUUAGAGUGUGAAUUUUAAUUUACUUUUAGACUAAAUGGUUGUGUUAAUCUACUAGAACUACCAUAACCAAGUAACACAGGCUGGGUGGCUUAAGCAACAGAAAUUUAUUUUUUCACAAUGCUGGAUGCUAGAAGUCCAAGAUUAAUUAAAGGUGUUGGCAGGUUUGAUUUCUUCUACAGGGGAUGGAAGAUUGGCUUGCAGAUGGUGAUCUUUUCUCUGUGUCCUCUGUAGUCUUCGCUUUAUCUUUGUUGUAUGUGUCUUAAUCUCUUCUUUUAAAGGACACUAAUCAUAUAGGAUCAAGGUUCCCCAAAUGGCUCCCCCCCUUUUUUUAACUUAAUUGCCUCUUUUAAGGCCCUUCCUAUCUCCAAAUGCAGUCACAUUCUGAGGAGUUAGGACUUUAACAUGUGAAUUCUGAGGAGACACAAUUCAGCCCAUAAGAAAGGUGUAACUCAAACAUUCAGAUAUUACUGUAAAGUUAAAUUUAGCUAAGAUGUGAAACUAAGUACCCCUCUGAAACAUGAAAGAUGAAAUAAAACUUUCUAAAACAUUAAAUUUAAUCAGAUUUCAAAUUUGGUAGCUAAUUAGUUUAGCUAGGCUUAUAUUUUUCUUGAAACUCUAAGCUGUAAAGGAUCCACUCCAGACAAAAAUGAAUUUCUCAUAAUAUCUAAAAUGAAAAAAAAAAAAUUCCAAAACCUACCAGAUCGGUAGUACUUGUUUGCAUAUAUAGAGGACUUUUAUUUUUUAAGAUGUAAAGGGCCAGAGGUGGGGGAAGGAGGGGGAAGAGGGGAAGAGUGACCCUCAGGCUCUUCCCUACCAGCAGCUGGUGUCUCUUCAGCCCUCUUUAGAGGGCUUUUAAAUGCUGUGGUAAUAUUUUUAAACUAAUUUCCUCCUGCUUCAUAAUUAGAGAUACUCAUUUCUCAUGUAAUCUCUAACCAGUCACAAUUAUUUGAGCUGUUUUAUGACAAUGAUUAUUUUGUUCAAUAUAAAAUACAAAUAAAAGAAUCUCUAAAGAUUGAACUAUGCUGCUAAGAAUGAGGGGCAUUUUUGAGAACAGAAAAAGAAACAAAAAAAGUGGUAUGUAAUAUGAUAUGCUUUUGUCUCUCAAAUAUCUCAACUGUCCACAGGGAGAGGUUUGGGGCAGUAAAAUUAUAGAGUUUAAUUUUUUUUAAUUAUUGCUUUGACCUAAAUCAAACUGAAAAAACUGCUAGGGUAAGAAUUUAGGCUACUUUCUGUCAUGUGCUUUUUUUUAAGGAUACGUUUUAUUUUUUUUUUUUUAAUUUUUUUUUCAACGUUUUAUUUAUUUUUGGGACAGAGAGAGACAGAGCAUGAACGGGGGAGGGGCAGAGAGAGAGGGAGACACAGAAUCGGAAACAGGCUCCAGGCUCUGAACCAUCAGCCCAGAGCCUGAUGCGGGGCUCGAACUCACGGACCGCGAGAUCAUGACCUGGCUGAAGUCAGAAGCUUAACCGACUGCGCCACCCAGGCGCCCCUAAGGAUACGUUUUAUAGGAAGGAAGAAUGAGACGUUAACAUCCAAGGCCUAAGUGAAUGUGUGUUUGAUGGCGAAUGGAAUGGUUGCCAAGGGUUGAGGUGUCUAAGAAGAGUUGUUGGGCAAUAUUGGCUGGUGGGUGAAAUGGAAGAAGAAACAUGCUAGAGGUGCAAGUGAGAAAAUGUGAGAAUGUUUGAGACGCUGAACAAAAUACUCACUUAAGGGUAUUAUUUCAGAUCAGCACUUUAAUCGUACAGACCUAAGAGUACCAAACAUUUUAACUGUGUUCAUUUUUUUAUCUUUAAAAGUUUCAAAAGUCUCUCCUCCAGUUGAUAGUUCCAGAAUCCUUACAAAUUAAUUGUAAUCAGUUGAAUCACUGAAGAUUAGGCUUGGUCAUUAAAAAUUUUUAUUUUUAUUUUUUUAAGUUUACUUAUUCAUUUUGACAGAGAGAGAGACAGAGAGACAGAGAGAGAGCGUGCUUGUGCAUGCGCAUGAGCAGAGGAGGGGCAGAAAGAGAGGGAGAAGAGAGAAUCCCAAACAAGCUCUGUACUAUGGGCACUGAGCCCUGUGCAGGGCUUAAACUCACAAACUGGGAGAUCAUGACCAGAGAUGAAAUCAAGAGUUGGAUGCUUAACCCACUGGGCCACCCAGGCGCCCCAAUCAUUAAAAAUUUUUAAACAAAGAUAUUCUGGGGAUACAAAAGUCAAUUUAUUAAUUCAAAUAAAUACAUUUAAAAAACCAACAGUAGCAUUUUGCUAUCAAAAUUCUGCAUAGCCCUUCAUACACCUGCCUUCACAAGCAUGUUUCCAAAUGAUUUAGUACUUUUUGGUGCUCUCAUUGGUGGCUUUCUCAAAAGUAUUUUCAUCUUGUGCAAAUUUUAGAAUCUGAAGCAGAGCCUUAUUUGAAUGAAAUUCUUACUAAGAGUAAAAGGUUUUUUUCCUGAUUCUCCUUGAUAUUAUCUUUUUUAUCCUAAGGGCAUAUAUCAUAGCAAUUGAAAUUAGGGACUUUCCAGUAAAAUAGACAUGGCUCAGGGAGCCCCUCUUCCUUUAGUUACAUGUGUGAUUUUUUAAGCAAGUUACUUAACCUAUGUUAUUUAAAAGGGUUAUUAAGUGGAUUCAAUGAGAUAGUGGUGGUUACAUUCUUUUCAGAUCACGUUACUGUUUCUAACUGCGCAGAGUUUAUUCUACAUAUGUACAUUAUUUUAAGAUAUGUUUUCAAUAAUACAUAAAGUGACAGAACUGUUUGCUCUAAGAAUUCCUUCAGCAGAAGUACAACUCAGUUUAUCAAAGACAAUUAAAAGUGCACUUGAUACUGAUUUAAGCUUGGUCUAUGGAUGAUAAGAGGCUCAGGAAACCAUAGGGAGAUUUUAAGGUGGACUCUGGAAGGUUAUUCCAGAUAGGACCAAGAAGCACAUGUCUUUUGUGACUAAUGAGAGCCGAUCCCCAGAAUAAGCAGCAAUAUGGAAGAAGAUGGCUGUCCUUUGCAGCCUUAGACUCUCAGUGCACAUGAAGGAAAGGCUUUGAAAGCCACGGCGACAAGCCUCCAUCCUGGUGUCAGAGUUGCUGCAAAGGCUGCGGUUGUUUGCAACCACGCAUGUGUUUGAAAGUAACAAACACUUAUUAGAUGCCCUGUUUAGUUGCUGUGGUUGCUGGCGUUACAACAGUUAAUACACAGUUCCUGCUCCCCAAGGCUUUAGUUUGGCCAAAAAGAAGACAGUAACAUUGUAAAACCAAUGGAAGGGCACCAGAAGGUAAUGCUUAAGGAAAUAGAUUUAAAAAAAAAGAGGGAAAGAAUUGGUAAUCUUAAGGUUGAAUUUAUUCCAGUGUUUAAGUUUUUGAAAAUCUGUCUUAAAUAUUUUAUUUUCCAAAACCCUAUUCAAGAAUGUAAUUAGUAUUCAUAUUAAUUGUCUAAUUAAAGGGAAUUUUUUGUUUGUCUGUCUAGAAAAGUCUGUACUAGCAUCCUUGCUUUUCAGACUUCAGUGGCAAGGUGAAACUAAUAUGCCUGGUUGUGAGAGAAGUUACCUUGCUCUCCAGUGGAUGUUAAUUACUUGAAGGCAAAAAGCAGAAGUUCUUAUCUUGGGCCUAUAGCCUCCCAGAAUUUCUUAGUUAAAUGAUGUGUUUAUGUAAAUAUUUUAGGUAAGAGGAUCUUAACUCUUACCAGAUUUUCCAAGUGAUGACCAAAAACUAAAAAGCAACAUUUACUUAGGGGGAUAAUGCAAAACUAAAUGCCAAGCCUUUAAAUUCUAUUUUUCAUGAUAAAAACAUCACAAUGACUCAUAGUAGUUUUGCUAACCUUUUGUCCCUAAGAUCAUUUUUACACUAUCCUCAAAUGAGUCCAACUUUCCCUCAUCUUUAUUUCUGGAAAUCGCUUUUCUUAACUAAAAAAAAGUUGCAUUUUCCAUAAUGUCUGUCUACUUCCUGGAAUAUCAAAGUCAUUUUUCAUUUCAACACUAUUCUCUAAAUUUAAUUCCCACCACAUUCUACUUUACAAUAUUGUGGCCAUAAUCACUAAAGCAUUAUAACAAUACUGUUUAUUCCAAAAUCAAGCUACAACCAUUAUUCAUUUCCCCAAAAAGAAGAACUAAGAAGAAAAUUUGAAAUUUACUAAUUUAUUUUACAAAAUUUUAUUAUGUCUUAUAUAAAAUAAUGCAUUAAAUCACAAAAUGGCAUUUUUCCCUAUUCUUGCAUUGUAUGAAUUCACCUAUGCAAAUUUUGACCUCUAUCUUUGUUAUAAGCCAUUGUCAUCUCUAGAGUGUCUUUUUGGAAUAUACAACACAAUUUUUAGGUGUACCUUGUCUUCAUUUACUUCUAAAAUGCUUGGAAUAUGACAAUUUUGAAACAUGUGCAUGUUGAAUUACAAAUUUUAUCCCACACCACAAAUAGCCACUUACAUUUGUGUACUCCACCACCUUUUUACUACAUUUCUUUUAAAAUGACUGGCAAAGGGGUGCCUGGGUGGCUCAGUCUCUUAAACAUCUGACUUUGGCUCAGGUAAUGAUCACUGCAGUUUGUGGGUUCAUGGGUUUGAGGCCAUGGGGCUCUGUGCUAACAACGCAGAGCCUGCUUGGGAUUCUCUCUCUUUCCCUCUGUCUCUGCUCCUCCCUGACUCAUCCUUUCUCUUUCUUUCAAAAUAAAUAAAUAAACUUUAAAAAAUAUAAAAUAAAUAAAAUAAAAUAAAAUAAAAUAAAAUAAAAUAAAAUAAAAUAAUAAAAUAAAAUAUUGGUAAGAGGCAUCCGGGUGGGCACAGAGCCUUGAGAUUCCCUCUCUCUCUCUACCCUUCCCCACUCACUCUCUCUCUCAAAAAGAAAUAAAUAGACUUUAAAAAGAAUAAAAUAAAAAAAUUAAAAUUAAGUGACUGGUAAAAGACUUCUUUGCAAUAUUUAACACUUAAUAAUUACUAUAUCUAUAUCAAAAUUUUUUUUUUUUUACUUUUUUUAAUGUUUGUUUAUUUUCGAGAGAGAGAGUGCGAGCAGGGAAGGGGCAGAGAGAGAGAAAGACCCAAAAUCUGAAGCAGGCUCCAGGCUCUGAGCUGUCAGCACAUAGCCCGAUGCAGGGCUGGAAAUCAUGAACCAUGAGAUCAAGACCUGAGCCGAAGUCAGAAGCUUAACUGACUGAGCCACCCAGGCGCCCUAUUUUAUUACUUUUUUUUUAUGACUACUUCAGAUGAUGUCUAUAAAUACCUAAAUAUAUACCUAAAUAUCUGAAUAUCUCUAUAUUUGUACUAUAAAUUUAUACAAAUAUAUUAUAUUAAUAUUAAUAUAUAUAUAUUUAGAAACUAGCAACAGUAUGAGCCAUUUUCGGCUGGUGUGUCUUCCCUGAGUGGUACUUUUUUAUUUACAAAAAGUAAAUAAACACAUAGGAAUUUGAGAGAUUUGAAAGGGCAUUAAAAAGUAAUUUCAUAAGAAUAAUUGUGGAAAAAUACAACUUGGUUUAUUUUGUGAUGCAUAAAAUAUAUUAAAUUCGGCAGUCACUUUGCUCACAGUAUAAUCCUCCGCUAGUUGUAAAACUGUCUCUAACAAAUUAUUUCUUAUUUUUCACACAUAGCAAAAUAAUAACAGUAAACUAUAAAUGUAUAGAAACUGAUCUACUCAAUAUUCUAGAACUGACCUGAUUGAUACUCAAAUACUUACCUAAGUAGCACUGGGGGAAAGUAGACCAUGGAGUACUUUUGAGUGUAACAGAGUUAAUCAUCCAUGAUAUAGUGCUCAAUGUGGGUAUGAUUUUUUAUUAUGUUUCCAUUUUGCAAAAACAAAAUUCAUACUUCAGUUGUUUUCCUGAUUAUUCUCUUAGUUUCUUACAUUCUCUUUGUAACUUUUUAGAAUAUUUUGGAAUCAAUUAUAGUUUCUAUUUUCCCUUUUAAUCGUUCCUCACAAUUUUACAUGUCUUCUAUAUUUUUUUCAAUACAGUUUUCUAAUGGUGGUAAACACUGGGUCUACCAGAAUAUACUUCACAUUCAUAAUAAUCAGUUUUAAUCUCAUCCACAUUAGAACAUCAAUCAAGCAAUACAUUUUCUAGUAGCCAUUAACACUCAGUAAUUCAGUCAAUACUUCCACUUUCCUUACAAUUACAAAGCCGGAUAUUCCCUGACAAUAAUAUAUUUUAAUCUUUAGUUCUUAUUAGUCUUCAUAUUGCAGGAAAGAUUACAUAGUACUGUGUAAAACCACAAUCAAGGUAUGAGGUGAUUUGGGCCAUAAUAAAACACUAUAUUUAGUAAUGCCAGUGAAGAUACGGUGUGCUUAUGUUCUCAUUUUUAAAUUUCAGCCAAUACAAUUAUUUUGAAGUGUAGAAAAUUUCCAUGUAAAAAUGUUUUCUAAUUUUCCUUCAGGUCAUCAUUUCUAUCAUCAGAACGAGAAACCAAGAAUGAGUCACAGACAAGAGGAAAUGAAGACAAUUGUAGCACAGUUUAUAUGUCAGAUUUGUGGUGCCAAGUCCUUUACAAGCCUUUUACAUGUGUUCUGGUAUUUUGCUAAUGUAGCUACAAUAUCUCCAGGGCCUUAACAUCCUUUCUUUCGUCUCUCAAAUGACCUAUAAAAGAUGGUUAGAAGAACAUAGAAUAAAAAAAGAAAAUGACCAGAGGGGUUUUCUGGUCACUUUUUCCAGUUUGAUCAUUUAAACAAAUUCCUUUUCGUUUUCAUCGGUUCUGCUUAUUUUAGAGAACAGUUUAGAUAUUACAGAAACCCACAGGCUAACCAAAUAUCUAAGAAAGUUCCACUCCCUCUUCUUGAUGUUGACAGUGAUUUUAAAGGACCCCCAGGUAUAGACAAUGAUAUUCUUGAGUUGGAUAUUUUAUGAGCAAAUGGAAUAUAAGCUUCCCUCUUUCUCUCCCAUAAGCAAUGAAAAUAAGCCUAAAAAAGGACUGAAGUUCAAUUAGGGAUUGUUUAAUUGACCUACUGUUGAGUCAAUCCUGAUUUUCUUUUCACACAUUAAACUACAAAAUUUAUAGCGUCUGAAAAUGUUGCUUUUUACAAUGUGUGUGAAAACUGUGAGCCAUAUCCUCCAGAGCUGCUGAAAUCAUACAGACUGAACAUUAAGUUUACCCUCCUCAGAGAAAGGAAUUUUCUUUCAAUGGAUGGCUUACUUACUUUUACACAUCAAAAUGGUUACAUUUGGUAUCUUUCUUUCUUUUUCCUUUUUUC
Molecule: long non-coding RNA, 116016 nt
Filed under: Lynx pardinus (Iberian lynx)
Lineage: Eukaryota; Metazoa; Chordata; Mammalia; Carnivora; Felidae
Source: RNAcentral